UACCGGUGCCCUCGCAUUGACCAACAAAAACCAAUUAAAAUAUUCGAUAAUGCUCGAAAUAUUUUUUUUCAUUCCUCGGCUUGUUAAAAAGUAAGUAAAUGGUUUCAAUUUUAUCUUUAUACUUCUCAUCAUUUGACCGUGAAAACCCGAAACUAAUGAUCUUUUGUCACCCGCGAAACCUACUGCUGAUGUGAUAUAGUUUUGGCUCGGGACUUGCCACAUCGUCCACCAAACCGCUGUCGGUUUCUUUCUUAUCGUCGCCGCAUGUUGUUUCUGCUAAAAAAUGUCUUUCGUGUAGGGGUGAUGGCGGUUGGUGAGUACAAAAUACGACAAGUGGUGUGUUGUAACCAUGUAAAUCGACGACAUGAUUUCAAAUCAAGCACUCACAAAUCGAUCUCAAGCUUCAACGAUCAUCGCCAAACUGUUGGAUCUGAUAUGCUUGCCCUGAGGGUUGUUAAAGUUUGACUUAGCAUCGAAUCCUAGUGAUUUGAUCAGACGGUUGGUAGCAUCGACAUAGAAAUAGUUAUUAAUCAGUCACCUUAGAAACAACAAAACAGAAAAGUUAUAAUCAUUUAUCCACCAUACAAAAUUUAAUUACGAAUAUGACUUUGUGCCAGACAUCAUUUUCUGCAAGACGUCUGAUAAACUAUGACAAAGAGCCGUUGAACUUUUGAACUCAGCGAGUUCUUUCAACAGUUUUUCUUCUUCUUCUCUUUUGUCUUAUUACGAGGUUUGCAUCUUCUUCCAUAGACCACCUGUUUUACCACUGAACAUCAAGCAAGCUGUGUGGUGUCAAUUGUGUGUCACCUCUCCUCUGCCAGGAAAUUCAACGUGGGCAGCUACUCUCCUACUGGCAUCCAAGCGCGAGCGCUAUGUCUAGUCCGAGUCCCACAUUGGUCCUGAUAAUGAUUCGGAGAAUAUGGGUUGUUGUAUUCCGUAAUAUAUCGCUACCACCUUAUGUAAUAAUGAAAAAUAUCGUAGAAGACUUUACCUCAUGGUCUCAUUGGCUUUGGAAAACCGAUUUAAAGGUAGUCACCAAAUCUUGGCUUGACUAUCUAUGGUUGUGUUUCGCGAUUCAUGUAACUCAGUAUCUUUGAGUAAUGAAAUCCAUUUUGUAGUAAAUCUGGCAAUUGCCGCAGCUUUGUAUAUAUUCAUUUUACAUAAAGAAGACGGUGCUGUCAUCUCCACAUCGACUCAUGCAUGCACGCACAUAUUACUUCGAUCGAUAAUUUCAUUGAUUCGUAGGAGGGUGUGUAAUUAGUUGCUUUCAUGACCGGCUAGUGGCAAUGUGCACUCGUAUCAAACUUUGUCAGGAAUGUCUUCAUUGGAUCGGAAGAAAAGAAUAUGUUCAAUAGAUCAACAAUUCAACAUUGUUGGUCGAAGGUGAGAUCGCUAUUGCACGCUUUGCCCCUGAGGUAAAUUUCCCGAUUCUUACGUUAAUGCCGCAGAUGUAUGUAGAGAAUAUAAAGUAACUUUUCUUAUGCCAAGAGAACAGGAAAUCCCUUUCGGAUACGGGGGGUACAUACGGAAUACUUCCAGCAUAACAUGCAUUAAUUAUCCCCACGAAAGAUGCAUUAACUAGCACAAGAACGGAGCCCCAGCCUGGUCACAUGGUGCACCCAUGUCCGUGUAGUCGAUGUCGAACCCACGUUUGCAAAUCUUGCCUUUUUCUUUUUUUUUUUUUUUUUUGAGAACAUCUUGCCUUUUGCUUGUUCCAGCCAAAGGCAAGCUGUGCACUUGGACCCGUCGGUCGACACGUCUAAGGUUCCUGGAAAAGGCCCAAACCGGCUCCAAAUCAACCCGGAUAUCUUCUCUUUCCCAAAGAGUAGCACGAGUAGAACACGGAUUUCCUUUCCCCAAAUCUUCGCUCCUCAUAUUAACGGGCAACCACCGCACCGGGACGCGAAGCCUCGAACGAGAGGAGAGAGAUCAGAUUGCCUUGCCCACACGACCAACAACGCUUUGCUAGGCGAGGCGCGCGACCAUGAGAGGCGAGGCGAGGCUGCUCUGCGGUCUGCUGCUGGUGCUGCUCUGCGUGGCCGCGAGCUUCCAAGGCGCGCACUGCCGCGGCGCCGGAGGCGGGGGCCACGGGGGAGGAGGCCGCGGCGGGGGCGGAGGACGCGGCGGCGGCAGUUCCGGGAGAGGGAGCGGCGGGGGGAGAGCCCGUCCGAUUAUCGCCGGGGCCGCGGCGGGCGCGGUCGUCGGCGCCGGCGCCGGCUACUUGGGCGGCAGGGCUGCGGGUGCGGGGCGCAGCGCCGCGGGUGAGCCGCAUGGCCGCGGAGUCUGGAGGGCUUCCGGUGCCGCCGCCACCCUCGCGGCCGCGGCGCUCGUUCGGUGGCUCUGAGCGUGCGAGACUUCUUCAACCGUAAAUCUCGGUACACGAGGGGAUUACUGAAUUACGAGUAGUAGCAAUUUAGCAGCAGUAGGUUGACGAGUGGAUUUGUGAUUUCUUACUGCUAGUUUCGGUUGAUGCAUGUGUAAGUAUUACGAGUUCGCACGGUGAAUUUUUUUUAACGAUCUCACACGGUAUUCUGAGUAGUACUAGAAUUUGGUAGUAGUAGUUCUUGUUCAUAUGAUGUGAUUUUUGUUUGGUUGUGUGAUGCUGAUGCAGUUGAAGAAGAUGAGUAGUCAUUAUCCGGCAAUAGUAAAACUUUACUCAUAAUUGUACCUUUUACUUGUCUUUUCGUUCGAUUUUCUUUCCGGCCACGGCGAGGAUGUCUGGUGGUGGUAUGCUAUCACGCCAUCAGCCAUCAGGAUUCUUUCAUGUGCUAUAUCUGUAUGCAGUAUGCCUGUAGAUGAUGCCUUCGUGCGCUUACGGCUUACCCCCUCAGUAUCGGAGAAAUUCAACCAGGUCUGUUUCAGUUUGCGCCUUUUUGUGCGCGUGUGCAGAGUUCUCGUUGCGCCGUUGCGCAAGUAUUGACAAGAAAAUGCAUUCAAUACGAUCAAAGAGGCAAAGAAUGAGAUGCCUUUUGCAACAACUCAAACAAUUUGGAAACGAGAAAAGUAUUCUUCGUCCUCUAACUUACUAAAUAAAUACAUAUAAUGAAAAAAAAUGCACGUCUUCCAGCUGUAGAAAUCCGACACCGAUGGUUCAUCAUCCUCGGCAGAGCGGUCUGCGGCACUACUGCUAAUGUGACACUUUUUUGGUCUAGAAAUUGCAAUGUCGCCCGUCAAGCUGGCAUGCAGUUGACUAAUCAGUUAGAGUCACACAUUCUAACUUCUACGACUAAGCUCACUUCCUCAGUUCCUCUGUCCCUCUCGACCCAAAACAUAGUAGCUACUCCAAGAGAGCAAGAGACCCCUUCUGUCCCAACUUGAGCUGUUGGCUGCAACGCCGGCAACUUAGCUGCGGGCACAACAACGAUGACUCAGCAAUGGUUGCAACGACUGGGUCGUUGUUGUGACUCAAUGUGAGCGCAACAACUACGACAACCUUGGUGAUGACCGUCAGAGUUUGAGAUCGAUCAGCGAAUACUUGAUUCAAAAUUGUGUCGUCGAUCUGCAUGGCCACGACACUCAGCGCCGUUGUUAGCAUGUCGCGAACCAUUAGUCCCUUUUUUUUUGUCUCUCUGUUUCCAAAAACAGAAGCCGAAUCCUUCUCAACGUCGGCUAGUGCCCCAAUUCCGAGAUCGAACAGGUAUCCGGUUCCGACCUCCGAUCAAAGCAAUCCCAGUCGUUCAUCGAACACCAGAGCGUUCUCCCGGCCGCCGCACCCGCCAUCAUAUAUGCCCGCUGAACCAAUCUCAUCGAUCACAACAGCAACAGAUCCACAUCGCUUUCGCAAGGCGGUUUGCCCUCGCGCUUCUUCUGCUCCUCUUCGCGCUCGCGGCCGUCUUCAACGUUAACGCGGCCCGAUCCCUUCCGGGCCAGCAGCCAUCUGAGGCCGUGUCGACGGCGGGCCAGGGGCCGGCCCAGCUCCGCCAGCCCGCCAUGCUCCCGGAGGUUGAGCCGGUGCCUGCGUCUGCAUCGCCCCUUGUUCAGUUCGGCGAUAGCAUGACCGUUUACCAGGAGAUUCUCGAACAUUGCGGCGUGAAUCAGAAAUCCAACACGUUACCUAGUUUUGACGACGGACCGGCAAUCUGCAACAUGCGAUCGAAAAGGCCAGUGCGCACAGACUUGGUGUGAAUCUCGGCGGCGGAUCAGAGAAGGACGGGCCCCUGCUCAUCUGAUGUGUAAAGCUGCUAGUACAUCGCUCCAAGGCUUCGGCAAUACUAAUAGAACCCCGUUUUUUUUUGCAAGACAAUAGACUAGUAGUACAACCUUGUUUUCUGUAACGUGUGUAAAGAGCCUACAGGCUAGGGUCGGCUGAUAAUCAAAAGGGACAUUUUUAACGCUAUAUACAAGAAAAGAAAUCUGAUUCUGUAAAACAGCAAACAAAUAUAAAACUGAAAUUUGAACUUUAAAAAAGAAGAAGAGUCGUUUCCUUGUAAAGAAAUACAAACAAACCAGCCUAAAAAGAAUCCAUACAGAAGGCCUGCUAGGAAAAAGCCCCCCUAAAAAUCGAGAAAUAUAAGAAGGCCCACAUCAGCACAUAACCAAAACAAACAAAAUAAGGCCCAGAGAGGCCCAUUCAGUUUCACACAACACAAACAGCCUUCUUCUUUUUUGCGAGAAAAACACAAACAACCGUAUAGGAGUAAUUGAUGUAAAUCGGUUGAUCUUCCCACGAGUGAAACCCUAGCCGUCAGAGAAAAAAAACCCCGUUUCCAUCUUUGUUGGUUCCCCUUGCCUCUGAUAACCCAUCAGGAGGUGAGGGGAACCACGGAUCAACAUCUGGAAUCGUUUUUAGUACCUUCUUUGUAAGGUUUUCCGUGUCCUUGGUGGCGGCGUUCCAACAGUGGAGGCGGCGACGUGUGGAUUAUUGGUCUCCCAGCUCCAUCGAUCCCCGUUCUGGCAUGGCUAUCAUGGUCUACUCCAUGUAGUAUUGGGACUCACGGCUCGUAAUUUCAUGAUUUUGGUCAUCUUCCUUAACGUUUCAGCGAUGAUUCAAUGGUUCGACAACCUGUCUUGUGAGGGGCGUGUCUCCGGCCACCACGGUUCAACGAUAUUAAGUUGAUAAGUUCUCACCUGUUAGGAUGGGCGGCUCAUGCGGCUCAGUAAAACCUAUAAGGUUAGUCCAGAUUAUGUAGGUUUGGUCUUGUACUGUUUCGUCACCAUAGAUUUGGAAAAACAUCAAGAUGCGAUUGACGCAACUAGAGAAGUUGGGUUCAAAGAUUUUUGAUGUAAAGUUGUAAACCGAAAUCUUUGUUGUCGUUUUAGUUUUUCAAUCAAUUAUACUACGUUCGUUGAAUAAAUAAAGUCAGAUCGUUGUUCUAAAAAGAGAGUAAUGGAUGUCGAAUAAAUUAUAGAUAAUUAUAAAACUAAACGAAGAUAAUAUUUUCAAAAAAGAAGAAGAAGAAGAUAAGAUUUUAAAAAAAUAUCGGUUUCUUGGCUCCUGCCUUCCCAGAAGCGGCAAACAGACACCGACCGAUCGAGUCCCCAACCACACCCUCCACAUAUACUCCCUUCAUCCAACAAUAUGGGACGUAUUAGCUUUUCUUUAACCAAUGCUUUGACCACAAAUUAUUCUAUUAAUAUAUAAUUAUACCACAUAUAUUCAUAUCCAUUAUGUACCUACUCAAGAAUAUUUGCUUAUGGUUAUGAUUCUGAUCACAUUAGUCACACAUUCAUGAAAUAAUUUGUGAUCAAAUGCUUGGUUAACCCAAUCAUAAUAUACCUCCUGUGGCUGGACGGAGGUAGUAACACGCAACAAGCAGCCCCAAGAACCGGAAGGCGAUCGAGCUUGCGCGCGCAAGAGGUUUCCAAAUCCCAUCUGACCAGAACAACGACGCCAACGACAACGACCAUGAAAGGAGGAACAAAACUGAUAUGUGGGCUGCUGCUGGUGCUGCUCUGCGUGUCCGCCCGCCUCAAGGGUGGCUCCUGCGCCGGCGGUUUCGGCGUCGGAGGGGGCUUUGGCAUUGGUUUUGGUGCAGGGUACGGCCGGCCGGCUCCGGUCAUGGAGCCGGAGCCUGCCGGCGGGCCCGGGGCGGCCGCCGUCGUGGGCGGAGGCGCUACCGACGGCGGCACUACUGCGGUGGCUGCCGCGGGUGACGCUCGUGUCCGCGGUGGCGUCUAGAGAGCGUCCGGUGGCGCCGCUGCCCUUGCAGUCGCCGCGCUUGUCUGGCGCUAGCUGAUGGUGUGCGUGCGUGCGCCAAGCCAAGAUCGAUCUAUGUUCUACGGUAGACCAGUGAAUUUAGGAGUAGUUUUGUGGAUCGGUGGCUGCAUGUGUAAAUAUUACUCGAUCUUAGUCUAGAGCGGAGUUUUGAUCAGGAAUUCAGGUGCAGGGGUGGGCAUGAAAACUGAGAAACUGAAACGGAAACGGAAGCCGAUUGGACCGAAAUCGAAGAACCGUUUAAAACUUCGGUCAGCAAAAUCAAAGAACCGAAGUUUGUUCGGUUAAUUGGGUCUCUUGCCUCGGUUAAACAAAAAAACCCGAAGAACCGAAAUUCAUUGCUGCAUCUUUAAAAUUUAAUGUUGUCAUUGCAUGUUAGAUGAUAUUUACUGGCUGCUGCCAUUGCGUGUGUCUGUGUCACACAAGAUUAUGUGUUUAUUUUUGCGUGUAAUUUAAAUCUAUUUUCUGUUCUAAGUGGAAGAUUGAACUAAAUUUGUUUUCAUUUUUUGUUUGCCGUAAACACAAUGUUCGGUUAGUUCGGUUCCGAAUCGAAUUUUCUGUGAACCGAACUUUCGGUUAUCAAAAUUUUCAAGAUGACUUCGGUCCUCAUAUCAGAAGAACCGAAUUUCAUGAAAACCCGAAGAACCGAACCGAAAUUUCGGUUAUAACCGAACGCCCACCCCGAUUCAGGAGUAGUCUGUCCCAGCCUUUUGAUUUCUUUUAGAAAAGUCUGGCUUCAUUGAUUUUUGUUCUUCGACAACAUUUGGUACUGAGGUCUGGAUUACGAUAAUCCAGCUUUACCAACCAAUUUCUUUUUGGCUAUUUUCUAUUUGUCUGAUCAAUUCUUUCAUGUUUUUAUUUGCAUUUUUCACAGCAAGUUAUAAUUCAGCACAACACAAUUUAGCAAAGUCAAACUAAUGCUUAAUCAAGAAACAUAGCAUAGGAAAACUGAAACAAAAAACAAGAAACUAAUUGCUAGAUCUCUCUCCAUGUCACUUGUGAUGAAACUAUAAACGACCAGACCUGGACAAGUAAACUAACUUCGUAAGUUUCUAAUAACCACAUAAGAGCAACUCUAGCAGAUACCCAUAUGGCCGAUCCGAACUCCAUAUUAGGUUUUGGGCCAAAAAUCAGCACGGAACAGAUCCUCGAAAAAGGCCCGGACCGCAAAACGUGUUUCGGUUUACCCCAAAAACCAGCCCAGGGGCCGCCUAUAUGCCUACUCGAGAGGCGUACUCGAUGUCCACACCCCACUCUCUCGCCGCCCAAAUUCGCCACCAAACCCUACCCCGCCGCCAAAUCCGCUGCCCUUUCUCCUUCUUCUCCAACUCCAGCAACCUAGAUCCCGUCCCUUCCACCGCAAUGGUUAUAGAUAGCCAACUGGCCGGCCUGGCUCCGACCCAGUAUAUGCUAAACGUGAUUGGCCCGGGCACGGCCCGAUGAAGCCCUGGAAUAGAGAGGGGCCAGCCCGGCCCCUUAAUACGUCCUUCUGGCCCAGGCGCGGCACAAAGCUCCGUCGGGCCGGGCCGGGCCCGUUAAGGCCUGGCAGGGCCUGAGGAAGCCCAUCUCUGCAUAAGGCCCAUCUAAGAAAAUAAAUAAAUAAAGGGCUAGAAUGGGCCAAAAUUGUUGGGCUGGACCGGAAUUUUGAGGAUACAUGGGCCAAAUGUAGGAAAACUAUAAAAAAAAACAGGUCGUGAGGAUGAAGCCCAGGCUCGGCACAGGCGGGGCCUCAGGCCGGCCCGACCCAAUUAGUUUUGUGCCGGGCUUGGCACAAUCGGACCAAGCCCGCCAGGCUUUCGAGCUUUGCCAAAAGGCCCAUCCCGUUGGCCAUCUAUAGCAAUGAUGCACCCCAUAGCAUCCCGGGGGUCCGCUGGUCACCGUACCGCUUCUCCGCGCGGGCAGGAAAACCCUAGCGGCUGCUGCGGCGGAGGGGACGACUAUGAGGCGGUGCACCAUCGUUCCAUCAGGGUAGGGCGGCAUGCCGCCUGCAAAUGGGAUAAGCACCGCUUUACGAACCGUGAUGCUGAGCGCCGGUACUAGCAAUAUCUGGCGGAGGAAGCUGCGCGGGCGGCGGGGACUUGGGCCGGCCCCCGUGGCGGGGGCACGCCGCGUCAGGGGGAGGCCGAGUCCUCUCGUGCGGCCGUGCACCACCGCGCAUUUUCGCCCACUCGUCAAAGACGAGGAGGAUCUUCUCGUGCAAAGCUUUUUAAAAAAAAUUCAGUUCUUAGUUCGGUUUCUGUUCUGCACGACGUAUUUCUGAACUGCAUUUUCGGAUUCAGUUGAUCCGAACUCCCCUAGUUCGGAUCGGCCACAUGGGGUAUGUGUUAGAGUUGCUCUAAGUCGCUUGCCCCAAAAGAUGAGAACCUAUGAUCGUUGAACUUGCUGGAGACACACCGUUUGCAAGACAAGUUUGUAGAUUGUUGUUUCGUAGCCGAACCGACAAGGAAGAUAACCAAAAUAACGAAAGUAAAAAAACCUGGGGAUCCAACGUAUUGACUAGCCAGCAUGCCGAUAGAGCCAUGGGACCAUUAUUUCAUAUACCAUUGCCUCCACCACUAGGACGCUAUCGCGAGGACACAAUACCUCAUAAAAAAAUUAAACAGAUUAUUUGUCACACCUUGAUCCCUGGUUACUCUCAUUUUCCGAUUUCUAAUCGAUGGUUGACCACAAGGGAAGCCGACAAAAACCACAACUUCAACGAGGUUCUUUCCGGUGGCUAGGGUACGUUCCUCACGCCAUAAUCUCACAGCAAAGACUUGCUACGUGGCCUACGUAAUAUGUCUAAUGAAUCACUAAAAUUGAAUGGCUUGCUAAAAUCCUAGAUGAAACAUGAUAGCUAGUCUUUCAGCUAUUUUUCUUAAGAAAUGUCUAUUUCUCAGUCGCCUAAAAAUAGUUAUUUCCCGAUCAACAAUCAUGGCCAUUCAAUUAAUAUUUUCUUAUUAUUGGACCUACAUUAAUCUUACACGAAUCACACUGACUGAAUCAAAAUGUUGUUAUCAUCGACUAAGAAAUACUCCCUCCGUUACAUGAUUCUUGUCUCAAAUUUGCAAAAAAUAGAUGUAUCUAUUUUAAAAAAACGUCUAUAUACAUGUAAUAUUUCAACAACAAUUAUGAAACGGAAGGAGUAGUUAUUUCUCAGUCGCCUAAGAAAUAGAAAAACCGUUUUUCUUACUUCCAUUAGUAUUUGAAAUGGAAAGAUGGUUUCAAGCCGAUCAAUUUCUUUGAUCUUCUGUCCAGGUAGAGAUUUUUCAACGAAAAUUUACUUCAGAACGAUAAGCCUGACGCACGGAUACGUGUUCAAACUUUCUUUGGCGUAGAAUAUGCGAAGUUUGAACAAUUUGACUUCUCCGCACCGACAUAUCCGUGGCAGCAGAUCAGUUAUUGCCAACCACGAUCAGGCUAGCUCCCAACGUGCCGGCCGGAGACCCCGGAGCAAGUUACAGGCUUGCCGCUUGCCGUUGCAGAGCAGCCCCAAGCCCCCAACGACCCUCAAACCGCCUCCGCAUUGGGGCUAUCCAUCUGACCUGCGCCGCGAGGACGACGAAGGCGACCCAGGCAGGGAGACGACCAUGAGAGCAUCUUCAACUACGUACAGUAGACAUGCAUUCAGUAAUUUCAAGAAGGACCAUAUAUACUAUAGUACUCAUGAAUUAUUGUCAAGUAGAAAAAGAGAGAAAGUAGAAAAAAUGGUUUGCUUAUGGCAUGGCAUACAUCAGACCUGGAUUUGAGCCAACAUAAUCGAUUCUUGGAUGGUCGUUUCCAUAUACUCUGUUUAAUACUCCUGAACAUGGGGCUUGUAUUCUGCAGUUCACCUGCAAAUAAGGGUAUCCCAUACGUCCAGAACAAAAAGUGAUGCUAAGACUGAAAAAACACUUGUCAUAAUGGCUUCCAAAAUAUGACUCAUUCGGUCUUUACACAGGUUGUAGAAUUGAUUUACUUCUCUUCAAUUGUUGGCACUAGCAUUGACAGACUAUGCCUCUCCAAACACAGACAUAAUCCUUGUGAAGCCCAGUACGAACGCUAAGUAUUGAUAAAUCAAGAGGUGAUACAUAAUUAUGAGCAUGUACAAUACAACACCAUUAGCCAGACAAACAAUUGUAAAAAUUAAUCAAAAUUGGACAAAGAGAUUAUGCAUUCUUGUAGAUCCAUCAAACAAGCCCCAGCCUAAAGCAUUCACAUCCAGCACUAGAGGCACGGAAGCAACAUCAUAAUUCCUACGUCCCCUGCACUAUCUAAUUGACAGAUUGCAGUACCAAAUCAGAUAGAAUUUUGUACCGUUAGAAAUGCGCAUACCCGGCGCUCGGCGGGCAUAGAAAGCGGCUGGGAGCCGGAGGCACAGCUAGACGCCUCGGAGGAGCUGGAGGCGGAGGCGCAGCAAGCUUGCGAGCUGCACACCUCGGGCAAGCUGGCGAGCUGCGUCUGGGCUGGGGUGAAGGCGAAGCUUGUCGACGAGCUACACAUCUUGGGCGAGCUGGUGGCGGAAGCGCGGCAAGCCGGUGAGCUGAGUCCUAGUUGGGGGCGGAGGCGCAGCUUGUUGAAGAGCUGCACGUCUUGGGCGAGCUGGGGGCGGAGGCGCGGCAAGCCGGCGAGCUGAGUCCUAGUUGGGGGCGGAGGCGCAGCAAACCGGCGACUUCGAAGUGACUGAGUGAGUACUACAAAAAUGCUCGCACGAAUUAAACACCUGUUUAGGCUUCUCAGCAUUGAAGUAAAUUUAUUUUAGAUAGGUGCUUAGUGAUAUGGCAAGAUUCUCUCUCUUUAAGCACCUGUAUACGAGCACCUUGCAUUGCAUUGUAGAUGCUCCGAGAGAUGGGACGAAUUUCCUCGGCGCGCUGCUGCUGUUGAUUCUGCUUUGCGUGCCGCGCGCUUCCAAGGCGCCUGCUCCGCCCGAGGUGGAGGCGGAGGCGGGGGAAGGGGAGGAGGAGGGGGCGCGUUUUCCGGUGGAGGUGGGCGAGGGGGAGGCGACGCCAUUGCCGGCGGAGGGGGCGGCAGAGCUCGGAAGGGAGCCGGCGGUGCCAGUGCCGGUGGAGGGGGCGCGGGCGGCGGGAGGAGCACCGGCGGGUCGGGGAGCCAAGCGAAAGGAUCCACCGCCGGCGGGGCCGCCAUCGUGGGUGGCAACACUGCCGGCCUGCCGGGGGAUCACAAGGAGGACACUACGGCGCGGGAUCGCAACGAAGCAGCGGCGCCGCCUUGGGUGGCCCUCCGCAUGGCCGUAGCGUCUGGAUGGUAUCCGAAGGCGCCGUCGCUGCUCUUGCGGCCGCCGCGCUCGUGUGGCGCUGAUCGUCGAGUAGCCUGCGAAUCUGCGAUGCAUCAAGAAUUCAAGAGUCGAGAGUCGAGACUACUCUAAAAACCCUUCAUUUUCUGUUUAUCGACGUAUAUGAUGCGUAAGCACGUUCAACAUAAAAAUCAAUCGAGCCAUUGGUUGUACACCAUUGCUUCUUCCUGUUUGUAAUUAGUGUUCUUGUUAUUCUUUUUGGUGUAAGCCCUCGUCUGUUUUUAACGAAUGACGCGUAAGCAUGCAUGUUUCACAUAAAAACUUACCGUUUGUAAUUACUAGAAACUUACUGUUUGUAAUUAGUGUUCUUGUUAUUCUUUUUGGUGUAUAGGUAGUGCUCCUGCGAACACUGCUCGGAGUGUGACGUACCGGCUGGAGCAACUGCAGCCAUUGUGUUUUUUAGGUGAACAGAGCCAUUGUGUGUCUCUCGAUUGACUCGAUGGUUUCCGUGUACUUCACCUUCUGUCCAGGUUAACACAUCGGAUGACUGAGGAUGCGCGAUGGUACUCCCUCCGUUCAUAAAUAACUUGUUGCUGCGAACUGACCGGUGUUAUGUUUUCUUGUGGUGGAACCAGUCCACUCAGGUUCAAGUCACAUGGGUGUUCGCAUUUCCCUAGAUUUAUUUCAGAACCUAACCGGUGUUGUGUUUUCAGUGGGAGUGACGUACGGCACAUCAGUCUCUCGGAGGGUGCUCAUAGGGGUAGGGUGUGUGAGCGUCUGCGUCCAGUGGGAGUGACGUACGGCACAUCAGUCUCUCGGAGGGUGCUCAUAGGGGUAGGGUGUGUGAGCGUCUGCGUCUGUACUGUGUUUUCUAAAAAAAAAAAACUUAUUGCUGUUUUAUUUCAAGUUUGCACUAAAACAGCGACAAGUAUUUAGGAACGGAGUGAUUACUAUAUAAUGAUGUCUGCACACUGCACUUGCAUUCUGUAAUGCUACCUGUUUGCUAAACCCGACAGAGAUUGUGGAGGCUAGCAAUCAAGAUGUAUAAGUUGGGUGUAGCACUUGUCCCGUUCUCCGUGGUUUACACCCCAGAUGCAAUUGUUCCUCUCUUCAUGUCCCUUCCUCGCAUAAUUAGUGAUCCCAACAACGUUCCAUGUGUCGUAUUGUCUGGUGGAGCAAGGGAAACAAAUGCAUAUGUAACUAAUCAAAAGAUUACACUGACAGCUUGUUUGGCAACCAAGAAUUCAUUUCAUUUGAUCAAAAUGAAAUGAAAUCUAAUUUUUGAUAGGGUUUCAUUUGGUUGAAUUUGAAUUCUGGGUUGAAAAAUCAUGUUUGUCUACCACAUGAAAUUAAAGAGUGAGAGACAAUUCUAGAGAAAUGAUGGCUUUUAGAAAAGAAUUAAGGCUAGUUACACUGUGAUUAUAUGAAAUUUGAGAUUGAAUUUCUGUAACUAAUUCCGUGCCAACCAAACAAGUUGUUUUUAAAAUUUAAAAUGAAUUCUACAAUUUUAUGACUAAAUGAUGUGCGUCAAACAAGCUGUGAAAGAGUUUGCUAUAGAUUAAUGGAGACCCAAACUUUCUUAUAGCGAUUAAUGCAUGGCUGCUCCUGCUGCCAUAUCCAUGGGCGCCAUAGUCGUAGCAACUUCCACAGGAUCCGGCGCUCCUGCCUUCUGACCACUGGGACCACAUGAUAGGUUGGAUCUGCUGUAGCUAUCCACUUUUCAGGGGUCUGGCCUCUCUCCCGAUGGCAACUGUUCGAGGUAAUCUUAUUACUCUUAGAAUUAGAGACAGUAGAGUAGUUCAGUCCGGCAUGAACCAUUGUCCGUACUACUCCGGUUGAGUCAGUGAUGAAGCAUUGUCUAAAAAAUAUUAUCACCAGAAAAGGGCUAUCUCAAAACAAGGAACAGUUUUGUUUUGUGGGUACAGCUAGCCGACUCGCCAGGCGGAUAACAAUGAAGGGUAGCCAGCGGAUCCUUCCUUUAGUCAGGAAGAAACGAAGGACGACCAUCCAUCGACCAAUAGAGGCAAGGCACGUACAUGCAUCCAUGUGUACGGAAGAAGUGAUAACCUGAAGCACAUCGCUGACGAAGCUUAUAAUAAUCUUGCUUGCUUGCGCACCUAAACACAUACCAGCUGGGUAUAGUAGCUGGCAUAUUCUCAUACAGUAUUAUGCACGGAUCACUGACGACGUUUCCAUCGUUGAACUGGUAACCAUUUCUCAUUACUUGCACGCAAUCCAGGAAUGCAGGAUAUACUGAAUAUAGUCUGCAGCUACAGCCUACAGGAGACUAUCACAAAGUUCUAAAUUAGGCGACUUAAUUAGUGGAAACAACUCUUGGAUGGAAUCCACAUUGUUGUCGCUACUAGUGCAGGGGUUAACUGGCUAAGGUUGUUUGUUUCAGUAGCGUGUAAGUAAGGGACAUGGAGGCAGCUAUAUACCUUUUUAAAAGGGCAUGCAGCUAUAUUCUAGGUCCACGUUGUUGUUCUUUGACAGGACUAGCUCCACGUUGUUGAGAACCUGAAUCCUCGUUGCCUCCCUUGCUUUUGUUUUCCUCAUUUUUACUAAUUAUUCGGCUUGUACAGCCUGGCAUGUACAAAGGUACAGACAUCCAGCCAUCUAUAGUGUUUUACAUGAUUUACAGACAAUUUUACAGAUAUCAUAUACAGUAGUCUGUCUAUACGCUGUCUAAAAAGUCUGUACUAAAAAUUAUAGGCAACAGACAUACAAUGAUAAAUAAUCUGUUUAUAAAUUGUCAAUUAGAUUAUCUGUACAACUAAAGACAGACUGCUAUAUUUUCUCAAUCUCUUUCCUCCACCUCAGCAAAAGUACCUCUUAUAGACACCUAAAUCAGCCCCAUUGUACAUGCCCUAUCAAAUAGCUUUUCCUUUCCUUUCUCCUACAUGCCUAUUUUCCAUACUCUUUUUGAAGCAUGUAACAUUUUAAUGAAAAUGCAGAGCACUUGCUUGUCCGUUGAUGAGGGGCUACCUCGGCAAUACCCUGACUCAAGGGUUUUCGACUGAGGGAGAGCACGGGGUGCACCAGCGAUCUCGUCGACUAACAAAGACUAGGGGAGUCGCAAGGUUUACCCAGGUUCGGGGUCCUCGGAAGGUAAUACCCCUACGUCCUGCUUUUGGUGUAUUGUAUUGAUCGAGAUUACAGAGAAGCUAUGAAGCUAUGGUGCGCAGAUGAAUCUGGCGUUUGUCUAGAGGUUGGCCAUUCCCGAUCCCCCCUCCUAGCCUUAUAUACUGGCGGCUAGGUCUCGGGCGUGAUAAUCGGGAAUGUUACAAUCAGAUCAAUUCAUUACGGUAUGAUAAGAUUAUGUUUCUUGGCUUGAACCGCACUUUGAGGGACUCGACCUGCAUAUGCUUGAUGGGCCUUCGAGUGGGCCCCCUGUUGGGCUGCAUCGGGUAUAUGAAGGUUGAGAACUCGAGUCCCUGUUCGAGGCGUAGACUCGAGUAGGGACUCAAGAGUUUCCUUAUUCUGAUUAUUCGACUGUGUGCCAAACUGCAAAUAAUCUUCCGUUGGUCGAUUGACUUAAGUGUUCGUCAGGCCCAAACUUUGAUAGUUCUUAGCUUAUGACGCGGAAAACACAAGGUAUUUCUGCAAAUUGUACUGAUGUUGUGUGGGAUGGUUGCGUAACGCGCCUGGAAUACUCGAUCGGUCGAGUCCAGUUAAUUGCACCGGGGCAAAAACUUUGUUAGCAUACAUCAGCACUCGAGUCCCUAGGCUCGAGCCUGGAUAACUGGCGGUGUUCGAGUCAAACCUGCCGAGGGUUUUACAGACUCGAAAUCCAGUGCUGCGGGGCGAUCAACCAACGCGUCCGUUGGUUGAUGUUCUUCAUGCAAGCGCGUGGAUGAUCUGGAAUCGCCUGAAGGUGCUGAUUUCCAGGCCCGAUGAAAAACCAUCGGGUCUUACCUUCACGUAAUGAACGUGGCUUAGGGUGUGUUUCGCAGUCCGUGCGACCCGGAUAAUGCUGUCGAGUGCCUAUGUACCAGGUACACUUCGAGUUCCUGCGCCGUCAGGUGGCAGCCCAAGUUUUCUAGAGUUUGAUAUGACGUCUUUGCUGACACUCUGAUUAAAGAAAUGGUCUGGGAAGUCGAUGGGACGUACCUAAUGCUUUAUGCACGGACUGGAUCGAGUACUGUUGAUGUGGUCAGUUUGAUUUGACCACACGAUGUGCGCGAGAAUUUAGGCGCAUUGAUAGCUGUCGUGGGUUCUUGAACCGGUGGAAGGGGAAACGGCUCAUUUCUACUGGGACCACGCGUCUCUUUUCUUUAUGGCACAGAAGGAGGUGAGAUUAGGUUCCCCUUUUUUUUUUGCAUUUCUUAAUUUUGUAUUCUGCAUAUUACAACGAAUAUUUUUUUAUUCUUGCUUAUCUUACUUUUCCAAUUGUGCUAAGUCAUGCGCGCGAUACAAAGUUCGUGGUAGAGAACUUCUUUGAGUCAUCCUAUUUUUCUGUUCAUAUGAGGGAAAUUCAUAUGUGAUUUUCCAAAUAAGGGAAUCCAAAUGAAACCCUUUUUUUGCUCAGUCUAUCUGGACUACUUUUGUAUAAUAGGAAUUAAUUCGAAAUAGGUAUUCCGUUUCAUCUAGGAACAGAACGUAAAAAUUUUCCUUUACUUGAAUAAAAUCUGGAGUUGUGUUGUAUAAGUCCGCAUGAAUUUCUUAUCAUUCAAUGAGCAUCUUGUAUUUCAUAGAAAUUGGGGGUUAUAUAGUCCUUACGUAAGGGCCAGCCUACCCAACUUUCAGGCAUUAGGAUACGUUUAAGGCGCGGAUGAUUAUCAUAAGAGAUUCCCACCAUAUCAUAAGAUUCGCGUUCUUGAAAAUCGGCACUUCUCCAAAUCCAGAAGACAGACGGAAUUCUAGGAUUAUCCUUUUGGGCAAAGACUUUUAUGCAUACUUCUUCCGGGUUAUCUAUGCCAUACUGUAUUCACGUAAGAUGAUACACGCUAGCUAAAGAUCCACCGGGUGCUACAUCAUAAGCACAUUGGGAGAGUAAAUAAUUGUAACCAUAUACGUAUAAAAUGACAGCAAUGGAAUCCCAAUCCCCCGCUUUUAUUUGUAAAGUCUCUAUUCCUCGGUGAUCAAAGCCCAAAGAUCUAUGAACCACCUUAUGUUUGACUAGCCAAUUAGAUAACCAACCCUGCUGCAUUGUCUUGAUCUCUCCCUCUUUGUUUUGUAUAAAUAUUUCACAUUUCGGAUGCAAGUUUCAAAGAUUGCCUUGCUUUUUAUUUUUCUAGACGAAAGAACCCCCCUCCUAAUUCACUAAUUUGUAGGAAGGUACUAUACUUUUGGAUUUGUAAAUUUUUUCAGAAGAUAUAUCUAAAGUAGAUGGUGAUUGAUAGAGCAAUUCUUGCUCGUAAGUUCCAGUAUGAGUACUGCGCCGAACAUAAAGCUUGUGACUGGUAGUAAAACAUCGGUUUUUAUUUUGAGAUCGAAUUCGAUCCUCAACUAUUUCUCGCGAUAUCUUCUUACGAAGUUUUGUUAGGGCAUCUAUAACCGCCUCCGGUUUAGGUGGGCAACCCGGCAAGUAGACAUCCACAAGAAUUAACUUAUCAACUCCUCGAAUAGUACUAUAGGAAUCCGUACUGAACAUUCCCCCUGUAAUAGUACAAGCUCCCAUAGCAAUGACGUAUUUUGGUUCAGGCAUUUGCUCGUAUAACCUCACUAAAGAAGGAGCCAUUUUCAUUGUUACUGUACCAGCUGUUAAAAUUAGGUCCGCUUGCCUAGGACUUGAUCUUGGUACCAAUCCAUAACGAUCAAAGUCGAAUCGCGAGCCUAUUAAUGAAGCAAAUUCAAUGAAACAACAACUGGUACCGUAUAGAAGGGGCCAUAAACUGGAGAGUCUUGACCAAUUUGAAAGAUCGUUUGGUGUAGUUGAAAUAACAGAAUUGGAACUUGUUUGGUCAAGUAAAGGAAACUCAAUCAAACUCAUAACUGUCUCAAUGGAAUCUUUUUCUUCUUUUUUUUUUUCUAAAUAUUCAGUUAAGACAUUCCAAGGCUCCUUUUCGCCAUGCAUAAACUAAACCAACAACUAGGAUAAGCACGAAAAUGAAAGCUUCGAUAAAAACGGAUACACCCAAUACGUCGAAACUCAUUGCCCAAGGGUAGAGAAAGACGGUUUCCACAUCAAAAACAACAAAAACUAGCGCAAACAUGUAAUAGCGUAUUCGGAAUUGUAGCCAAGCCCCUCCCAUGGGUUCUAUACCCGAUUCAUAACUAGAAAGCUUUUCGGGUCCUUCACUAAUCGGGGCUAAAAGCCCUGAAAUCCAAAAUGCCAAAAUCGGAAUAAGGGUUGCUAUUAUUAGAAAUGUCCAAAAAAUAUCAUAUUCGUGAAGCAGAAACAUAAUGUACUCCCAUUAAUGUAGAAUAGACGAGACUUAAAUUAAUCAAUUCAAUUAUGCAUUGUCAAUUCAUCCAGAACUUAUCUCUUUUCCUCGGUGAAACAAGAAUCUGUUUUGUUCAAACAAAAUCGCUUAGUUUAGCCUUUGUUUUCUCUGUGCUGUGUCUUCUUUAAAGAUUCAUCCAAUGGAAUCCCAACUCCCCUUCUUUUUUCUCCAUUCUAUUUAGAUAUGGUCUAGAUCUAAUUCUUAUAUAAAAAAUACUUUAUCCCUUCACUUUAUUUUGCUUUCUCUAUAAUCUUUAGAACCUAAUUAACAUAAGAGGACUAGUCUAUGCAGUAGACUGAGAAGUAAUACUAUAAAAAAAUAAGGAACUCUAUUUCAGAACUAUGAGACAUAAUAUUCUGUUUUCUUAUUUACUCUUUACUUUAAUUCUUUCUAAAAAAAUUCUAUUUAGGAUUUUAAGUAGAUCGAUUUAGAUAAUGUAUAUAUAAGCAAAGUAAUAUACCUAAAACAAAGUAUAAAUUCGCAAGAUGGAGAAAAUCAUUGCAGUUUUAUAGGGAAGUCUAGAGAUACCCUAUUUGAAGAAGGGCGGGAUUCAAAUCAGGGAAGGGCUCUUUUCUUCUAUUGAUUUGAUAGAAAUCACUUUUUCGUUUCCUAUCUCUAUGAUUUUUGAUGAAUGAGCCUGUGGUAAUUCUUUUACGCCUAUUCUAUGUCGCAGGCGCCCGCCCAGUCUAUAAACAAGUACUAAUGUGAAAAUAAAAGCUAUACUAAGGAAAACAUAGGAUAUCUAUACUAAAAUCCAAAAAUAGGACAUAUUAGGGCUAUACGGAUUCGAACCGUAGACCUUCUCGGUAAAACAGAUCAAACAGAUUAUUAUCGAAAUGAUUCGAACUGUUUCAAAGACCCAAGAUGCAUUUUUUUUGCAUUGGGCUCUUUCAUCAACUGAUUUAAAGAUCAGUUAGUCCACCAUAGUUUUCUUUACGGAAAGAUAAUGAGAUGGCUCCCUGUGCUCUGAUUGAUUAUUUGUAUUAUGGUCUAUCUAGGAGCAAUACCAAAGUGUUUCAAAGGAGGAUUACCUUGACUUAGGUCUGCCUCCGGCCUAAAUUAAAUCAACCUAAGUGAAAUGGAGUCUCUAUCGUUCCACUGCAAGAGUUAACUAUGAGACUUCAUACACCUUAAAGUUCAUAGAACGAAAAGAAGUUUUUUGGAGGCCCUUAUCCUCAUUACGCCUAGCAUUUAGUGGGCUGGAUAUUUACCUUAUCAACUAGCAAAUCCAUAAGGGUUCUAUUUGAUUAGGCACCAGAAUGGGGACCUGAAUCGGACUGAACUGACUCUUUGUCAGGCUACUGUUCUCCUAUUCUGUCGAAUCUAUGAAGUAAGACAUUGAUUUUGCAAUAAGAUCCAUUAUAUUCAUUGCAUAAUAAGCUCCUUUGAAAAGCAUUGGCGCACGUGUAAACGAGUUGCUCUACCGAACUGAGCUAUAGCCCUUAUCAGAGAUAUCUUAACAUAUAGAUAAUUUAUUGUCAAGAUGAAUAUUCUCUAAUGCCAGAGGGUAUCUCUUUAAAUAUGUAUCUGUUUAGUAUAUAACAUACCAAUAAGGAAGCGUUAUUGCUUAGAAAAGGGAUUCGAUAUAUAAUCGAUCGAAGUAAUGGGUCUUCCUUUGUGAUCAUAAAUUGACUACUUAACUCAGUGGUUAGAGUAUUGCUUUCAUACGGCGGGAGUCAUUGGUUCAAAUCCAAUAGUAGGUAGGUAGGUAGAAAAAUUACUAGAUAGCAUUGGGCUUAUUUUGCUUCGCUAUCUAAUAACUUUUUCUACCCCUCUUCCCUUUAUCUUUGUAUCAACUAUAAACCAUUGGAUUGUCUUCAAUUGGACGGGGGAAUCCAAUUGACAGCCUUGAUUCGUAUCCUAGCUCGUCUGAGAGCUAGUUUCGCUUCAACCAAUUCUUUCGUACCCUCAGCUUUACUCAAGUUAUUUUCGGCUAUUUUAAGUGCCUGUUGAGCUUCUUCCGAAUCAAUAUCACUACCCAGUUCCGCAUCAUUUCCUAAAAUAAUGAUCUCAUUAUUAACUAUUCUCGCAAAACCACUCCACAGAACCGCCGUUAACCAUUGGUCGUUGAGGAGGCGUAUUCUCAAAGGACCCAUAUCUACUGCUGUGUUAAUGGGGGCAUGGUUUGGUAAUACCCCAAUUUGACCACUAUUAGUGGAUAAAAUGAUUUCUUUCACUUCACAAUCCCAAAUAAUUCGCUUAGGAGUCAGUACAUAAAGAUUUAAUUUCAUUUCUUCGAUUUGUUCUCCUCUUCUAAGGUUAUAGCUUUCGUGCUAGCUUCAUCGAUGUUACCCACCAAAUAAAAAGCCUGCUCGGGUAGGCCAUCUAAUUCUCCGGAAAGGAUUAGUUGAAAUCCCCUAAUUGUUUCUGCAAGACCAACAUACCUUCCUGCAGAACCAGUAAAAACUUCUGCUACAAAGAACGGUUGUGAUAAGAAACACUCAAUUUUUCGCGCUCUUGCUACAGUUAAACGAUCCUCCUCCGAUAAUUCAUCCAAUCCAAGAAUUGCGAUGAUGUCCUGAAGUUCCUUGUAACGUUGUAAAGUUUCCUUAACUCUUUGCGCAGUUUCAUAAUGUUCGUUGCCAACGAUCCGAGGCUGUAACAUAGUUGAGGUUGAAUCUAAAGGAUCUACUGCUGGAUAAAUACCCUUGGAAGCUAAUCCUCUGGAAAGUACGGUAGUAGCAUCCAAAUGGGCAAAUGUUGUGGCAGGAGCAGGGUCAGUCAAAUCGUCCGCAGGUACAUAAACCGCUUGGAUCGAAGUUAUAGAUCGCUUUUUAGUAGAAGCAAUUCUUUCUUGCAAAGAACCCAUUUCUGUACUAAGAGUAGGUUGAUAACCCACCGCGGAGGGCAUUCUCCCUAAUAAAGCGGAUACCUCCGAUCCUGCUUGAACAAAACGAAAGAUAUUAUCGAUGAAUAAAAGCACGUCUUGCUUAUUAACAUCUCGGAAAUAUUCCGCCAUAGUUAGGGCAGUUAAACCAACUCUCAUACGAGCUCCCGGUGGUUCAUUCAUUUGGCCAUAGACUAGAGCUACCUUUGAUUCCUCAAUAUUUUCAUUAAUUACUCCGGAUUCCCUCAUUUCCAUAUAAAGAUCAUUUCCUUCACGAGUCCGUUCCCCUACUCCACCAAAUACGGAUACACCCCCAUGAGCUUUAGCAAUGUUGUUGAUUAAUUCCAUGAUGAGUACUGUUUUACCUACUCCAGCCCCCCCAAAUAGUCCUAUUUUUCCUCCACGUCGAUAAGGAGCUAAAAGAUCAACGACCUUAAUACCUGUUUCAAAGAUGGAUAAUUUCGUAUCUAACUCGAUAAAGGCAGGCGCAGAUCUAUGAAUAGGGAACGUUGCACUACUGUCUACAGGACCCAAAUUGUCAACAGGCUCUCCAAGAACGUUGAAAAUUCGCCCGAGAGUAGCUCCGCUGACCGGAACACUGAGAGGAGCUCCUGUGUCAAUCACUUCCAUUCCUCUCAUCAACCCAUCUAUAGCACUCAUAGCUACAGCUCUAACUCGAUUAUUUCCUAAUAAUUGUUGUACCUCACAAGUCACAUUAAUUUGCUUAUCGGCAGUGUCUCUACUCUGGACUACCAAAGCAUUAUAAAUAUAAGGUAACUUACCGGGGGGAAAAGUGACGUCCAGCACGGGUCCAAUAAUUUGAUCGAUAUGGCCUGUACUUUUUUCUUCAAUUGGGGAAACCCCGGGACGAGAAGUAGUAGGAUUGGUUCUCAUAAUUAUCACAUAAUAAAAAAAAGGAAUUUGUCGAAAUUUUUCUUUUUUUCUUGUUGAAUAAUACCAAAUCCAAAAAAAUAUCCAAAAAUCCAAAAGUAAAAAGGAAAUCAAUUAGUUAAUUCAAUAAGAGAAAAAAGGGGAACAUGACUUGAUUUCGUUGCCCAAGCGAAUCCCUUUCAACCCUUUACUCAUGGAAUGAGGCCGUUGGAAAGUUCAAUCAAUCUUUUUUUCAUAAGAUAGAUUUUUCCUUUUGUGGAGGAUCUGUGCCUACUCUACUUUCCUAUCUAGGACUUCGCUAUACAAAAUAUAUACUACUGUGAAGCAUAGAUUGCUGUCAACAGAAAAUUUUCUUAGUAUUUAGUUAGGUAUUUCUUUUCAAAAUAAGAAAGGGGCCCUUUAAUAAUUUGUAAAAAACAAAGGUUAAGGAUUGAUUUGGGUUGCGCUCUAUCUAUCAAAGAGUAUACAAUAAUGAUGGAUUUGUUAAAUCAAAUCCUUGGUUUAAUAACGAACGGUGUUAACUUACCAUAACAACAACUCAAUUCCUAUAGUGAAAUUCCUAUAGGAUAGAACAUACACAGGGUGUACGCAUUAUAUAUGAAUGAAAAAUAUUAAUGAACUUAAGCAUGCCCUCAAUUUUCUGUAAUGAGUUGCUAUUAAUUGAAUAUCUCUUUUUUUUAUGAGAUUUUUGCUAAAGUUUCAUUUACGCCUAAUUCACAUCGAGUAGACCUUGUUAUUGUGAGAAUUCUUAAUUCAAGAGUUGUAAGGAGGGACUUAUGUCACCACAAACAGAAACUAAAGCAAGUGUUGGAUUUAAAGCUGGUGUUAAAGAUUAUAGAUUGACUUACUACACCCCGGAGUAUGAAACCAAGGAUACUGAUAUCUUGGCAGCAUUCCGAGUAUCUCCUCAACCUGGGGUUCCGCCCGAAGAAGCAGGGGCUGCGGUAGCUGCCGAAUCUUCUACUGGUACAUGGACAACUGUUUGGACUGAUGGACUUACUAGUCUUGAUCGUUACAAAGGACGAUGCUAUCACAUCGAGCCUGUUCCUGGGGAAGACAGUCAAUGGAUCUGUUAUGUAGCUUAUCCAUUAGAUCUAUUUGAAGAGGGUUCCGUUACUAACAUGUUUACUACCAUUGUAGGUAACGUAUUUGGUCUCAAAGCCCUACGUGCUCUACGUCUGGAGGAUCUAUGAAUUCCCCCUACUUAUUCAAAAACUUUCCAAGGCCCGCCUCACGGUAUCCAAGUGGAAAGAGAUGAGUUGAACAAGUAUGGUCGUCCUUUAUUGGGAUGUACUAUUAAGCCAAAAUUGGGAUUAUCUGCAAAAAAUUACAGUAGAGCAUGUUAUGAGUGUCUACGUGGUGGACUUGAUUUUACCAAAGAUGAUGAAAACGUAAACUCACAACCAUUUAUGCGCUGGAGAGAUCAUUUUGUCUUUUGUGCCGAAGCUAUUUAUAAAUCACAGGCGGAAACCGGUGAAAUCAAGGGGCAUUACUUGAAUGCAACUGUGGGUACAUGUGAAGAAAUGAUGAAGAGAGCUGUUUUUGCGAGAGAAUUAGGUGUUCCUAUUGUAACGCAUGACUACUUAACUGGGGGAUUCACCGCAAAUACUACUUUGGCUCAUUAUUGCCGCGACAAUGGCUUACUUUUUCACAUUCACCGUGCAAUGCAUGCAGUUAUUGAUAGACAAAAAAAUCAUGGUAUGCAUUUCCGUGUAUUAGCUAAAGCAUUGCGUAUGUCUGGGGGAGAUCAUAUCCAUGCCGGUACAGUAGUAGGUAAGUUAGAAGGGGAACGCAAAAUCACUUUAGGUUUUGUUGAUUUAUUGCGCGACGAUUUUAUUGAAAAAGAUCGUGCUCGCGGUAUCUUUUUCACUCAGGACUGGGUAUCCAUGCCAGGUGUUAUACCAGUAGCUUCAGGUGGUAUUCAUGUUUGGCAUAUGCCAGCUCUGACCGAAAUCUUUGGGGAUGAUUCUGUAUUACAAUUUGGUGGAGGAACUUUAGGACAUCCUUGGGGAAAUGCACCUGGUGCAGCAACUAAUCGAGUGGCUUUAGAAGCCUGUGUACAAGCUCGUAACGAAGGGCGCGAUCUUGCUCGUGAAGGUAAUGAAAUUAUCCGAGCAGCUUGCAAAUGGAGUCCUGAACUAGCCGCAGCUUGUGAAGUAUGGAAGGCGAUCAAAUUCAAGUUCGAGCCGGUAGAUACUAUCGAUUAAUAGAUAAAACUAAAUAUGAAGAAGGUCUAAAUAAAAAGAAACAAAAUGAAAAGAGAAAAAAUAAGUUACGAAAUGCAGUAAUUCUUCUUUAUUCUUCUAAUUGACUGCAAUUAAACUCGGCUCAAUCUAGAAAAAAAAGAUUGAGCCGAAUAAAAAUGGAUUAUGAUACGAUCAUGAGACUUCACAAAUCGAGAUUCGCCUAUUCUAUAUAUCUAGAAUAUAUAAAGGUAUAAUAAAUAAAUACAAAUCAAAUAUACUAUUAUCAUAUGAUAAUAGAAUCAAAUACGCAGUAUUUACAGAGAAAAGUCUUCUAUAAAAAAUAUUUAUUUUGCAAACUAAAAAAUACAAUAGUCAAUAUUCCUCAUAAUAGAUAUACUUAAUUAUAUCAUAAGAAUCUUAAGACAUUUUUCGAAUAGAUAGAAAUAGUUAAUUUGAAUUGAGACACCUAUACUAUGACGGAUUUAAACUUACCUUUGAUUUUCGUGCCUUUAGUAGGCUUAGUAUUUCCGGCAAUUGCAAUGGCUUCUUUAUUUCUUUAUGUGCAGAAAAAUAAGAUUGUCUAGUAUUUUUUUAGUGUAAGUAAUAGAAUAUGGUAGGGUAUGUGGCUCUUUCUACACACAAAUGAAAAACGGCUAUGGAUGCGGAUAUAGGCUACAAGCAUAAAUGCAUGAAUAUGCGGAGCCGGGUAUAGCUAUUUUUAUUUUAAUUGAAUCAACGAAUAUUUUUUGAAUAGAAAGUCAGUGUAUCUAACCUAUUAUUUCACAAGAGUACUGGUUGCUGAAGGCGAUUUCAGAAUCAAAAAAAGUAAAGUCAAAAUCAUUUAGCUUAUUCUCUCAAUUUCAAUCGACUGCUGCUGGAUUUAGUAUAUCUAAUAUGAAUUGGCGAUCAGAACACAUAUGGGUAGAACUUCUAAAAGGUUCUCGAAAAAGGGGUAAUUUUUUCUGGGCCUCUAUUCUUUUUCUAGGUUCACUAGGAUUCUUAUCAGUUGGGGUUUCCAGUUAUCUUGGUAAGAAUAUGAUAUCUAUACUUCCAUCUCAACAAAUUAUUUUUUUUCCGCAGGGGGUCGUGAUGUCUUUCUACGGAAUCGCGGGCUUAUUCAUUAGCUCCUACUUGUGGUGUGCUAUUUUGUGAAAUGUAGGUAGUGGUUAUGACCGAUUCGAUAGAAAAGAGGGAAUCGUGUGCAUUUUUCGUUGGGGAUCCCCUGGAAUAAAACGUCGCGUCUUCCUUCGAUUCCUUAUGCGGGAUAUCCAAUCAAUUAGAAUUCAGAUUAAAGAGGGUUUUUAUCCUCGUCAUAUCCUUUAUAUGGAAAUCCGGGGCCAGGGGGUCAUUCCCUUGACUCGUACUGAUGAUAAGUUUUUUACUCCACGAGAAAUUGAACAAAAAGCUACCGAAUUGGCCUAUUUCUUGCGCGUACCAAUUGAAGUAUUUUGAGUAUCCAUUGUAUUUUUUGGAACUGAAUAGAAUGAAGAAGAAUUGGAAGAAGAAAAGUUUUCUCAACAUGGAUUGGAAGUCCCUUCGAAAUUUGAUUUGUUAUUGUAUUGUAAGGGGCUUUUUUAGUAUUUAUCUAAAGGAAGAAACAAACGAGGAUAAGAUAAAAUUGCUUUAAAUUUAUUUGCCCAAGUGGGAUAUAUGGCAUACUAUUCUUUCAUUUUCAUCUUUUUUUCUAUUCCAGUCCAUCUAGAUAUAAGAAAGAACCCAAUGCAAUGAAAUUCCACUAAUAUACAAUACAAAAAAGAAGAAUAGAUACAGGGUCUCAAACCUUGCUAUAGAGUUUUUGCUUCAAAGAAAAAAAAAUCAUCAUAGAGUCAGCGAAUGAAGCGGAUUCAUUAACAACUCAAUUUAUAGAUCAAAAAUGAAAAAAAAGAAAGCAUUGCCUUCUUUACUAUAUCUUGUAUUUAUCGUACUUUUGCCCUGGGGGGCCUCUUUCUCAGUUAACAAAUGUCUGGAACUUUGGAUUAAGAAUUGGUGGAAUACCAGACAAUCUGAAACUCUCUUAACUGAUAUUCAAGAGAAAAGGAUUCUAGAAAGAUUCAUAGAAUUAGAAGAACUUUCUCUCUUGGACGAGAUGAUAAAAGAGAAACCAAAGACACAUGUACAAAAACCUCCUAUAGGAAUACACAAGGAAAUAAUACAAUUGGUCGUCUGACCUUCUGACCCGGGUUAGAGUGGUCACUCGAAAGGAGAUCACCUUGGAAAAUCUGGAGUCGCCUCUUCCCCCCUACGGACCCGACCGAUCGCGUGAAGAGGUGAUUUUAUUUCCGUACUCACCAUUUAUUACUCUGCAAUCUCCAGAUUAGUCUUAUUGAAAGAUUUUACUGUAGGGCCACCAAGAGCUCAUGAGCCAGCCUCCGCUUGAUGAGGGAGUGCCAGUCGACGAUGACGAUCUGGCUGAUUGUUCCAACUCUGACGCCCUUUACGAAGAUGACGUGGAUGAGGACGAGGACGAUCAACAAUCCUGAAAGCGAGGUCGGUCGAGUGAGGCGGAACAGUCGACUGCAGACUCCUAUCAGCACAAGAUGCAUGAGGAGAUGAUUCCUUCGAAUGCCACAGCCGCAUCCGACGAGCCGAAGCUCCAAUCGCCGUCUCUGUCGGAUCCCUUAACCAAAAAGGCCAAAGUUGCUGUCAAACCAAAAGGACGUCUUCGCAUCUUUGAUGUUUCGUCGAGUGGCUCCUCCAGGUACGCUUUGUUAAAAAACGAUCCCUUUUGUUUGUUCGAGUUUCUCUCUUUUGGGUUGACGGGUAAUCGAAAUCCAGAGUGAUGGUGAUGCCACGGCCAAGAACUCUCGUGCCGUUUCUCCAGCCCGGAGUCCUUCGAAACCGAGUGCGUAUUUGGCUCGGUGCGAGGUGCAAGAUUCUUCGCCAGCGAGGAACUCGCCGGCAGGGCUUCCCGAGACACCACAGGCUCCAACGAUCGCGCAGCCGUCAACUUCUGCGUCUCAGCUUCGUAUUGGGUCGUUGGCUCUGGAAAGUCAUGUAAGUAUUCUCCCGAUGGGAGUGCUGAGUGAAAUUUUUCUGCUAAGGGUUUUCACUCAUGCUUCUGUUCAUUGCAGCCUUUUGUCGAAAAGCUGGUGGAUCUUGGCGACCACUAACUGAUAUUAGAGGAGGAGAACCGGCAGCUACGCCUGGAGCUAGACCAAGUGAAGGAGGCCGCUGUUCACGCCAAUGGUAUGAAUUUGUGUUCUUUAGCCAGAUUUAAUCCUUCUCCAUACUGUUUGUAUGGACUGUUGCCUGUGUAGCCACGUCUGCAUUUGUAGGUUUGACUGAACAAACCAACCGACUGCGUGAUGUGGCGGUUGGCAAUAGUCAAGAAUGGCGAUCGAAGUACGAGAAACUAGUUGCCGAUUCCGCCAAGGAAUUGGCGGUUGCUCGUGCCGAGGUGGACGCAGCUGUCAAGCAGUCCAAAUUAGAGGCGCAGGAGAGUCUUGCACUCGAGAGGAAGGAGAUUGCCUCUCGAGACGACAAAUUGAAGUCGCAACUUUCGGCUGCCGUCGACGCACUCACCAGUGAGUUUGACCUUUCUUAGGAAGUUUCCUUUCCCCUUCGAUUACUUCGACUGAUGCGAUUUUUGCGCAGAUUCCCUUGGCUCCUUGGCCGCCCUUCGUGGCAAACACCAAGUGACCGAGCUGAGCGGCAUGGUGGGCUCCGUCGGAGAACUUUGCGAUCACGCGGGUGACAUGCUCGCGAAGGUGACUUCUUCUCUGAGGUCAUUAUUCACGAGUAUGUAUCCAGACGCUGAGGUGCCGGGUUCACUCGACGGCUUGCUGAGUUUCUUCGACGGGGAAGAUCCACUCGAAGAUUUCACUCGAGCGCAGACACAAGCCGGUGCUGAAGCUGCCUUCAUUCUCUCGCUCGCGCAUUCACUCGACCAAGCGGCGCUGCAGAAGGUUACUGAUGGUGCCCCAUCGACUCUGGACGGGCAAGUUGUCAACUUGAAGCGCUAUGCCAAGCGGGGGCGAAAACUAGUGAAGAAAUUUACCGCCGUCAUCGAGCAGCUGAACCCGGCGACUGUCCGGACCGCGCAGGAAGCUAUGGAUGAGGUUGGAGCUCAUCCUUCGUCGUGAUGUUUGUACUUGCCUUUGCCUUCCUGUAAUAGUUCGUAGUAUUGACCCCCAAUCAGAGUCCGAGAGGGUGAAGUCCAAUCAGAGUUCGAGAGGGUGAACUCCCGACUGAGCAGGUUGAAUACUUCGAACAGAUCGUCCUUUUGGUAUGACAGGGACAGGGGCGAGCUUUGACGUUGAUGCAAGAUCGUGUUGACCAGAUUGGGGGUUUUGCCUUCGUCGUGAUGUUUGUACUUGCCUUUGCCUUGCUAUAAUAGUUCGUAGUAUUGACCCCCAAUCCGAGUCCGAGAGUAGCCCCCCGAGUGCGUGUCCAACUGCUUGUAGUUGGGGACUGAAUCAAAGAAAUUCAAUUUGUAUAUGGCCAUUGUAAUGGAUCUGUUAUAUUGAUGGUAUAUGAUAAAUCGAUGUCCUUGUGCUAUACAUCUUAUCCAUAUUCUCUGCUUGGGUUACCGCCGGGUGCGCGGACAGCGCUCCCGAUGGGAGUAGCCCCCGAGUGCGUGGCUAACUGCGCGGAGUUAGGCACGAACUCGAAUAGACUUUGAUAUAGGAAAAUUUCGUCGGGUGCGCGGACAGCGCUCCCGAUGGGAGUAGCCCCCGAGUGCGUGGCUAACUGCGCGGAGUUAGGCAUGGACUCGAACAGACUUUGAUAUAGAAACUUUCGUCGGGUGCGCGGACAGCGCUUCCGAUGGGAGUAGCCCCCGAGUCCAUGGCCGAGUAUUUAUAGUCGGGCUUGGACUCAUUGAUUGAUAUAUCUGGCUAAAUCAACUGCUUCGUUGCUUUCGCUGAGAUGAGUCGCUCCGAUGAGAUCGUGUACCUUCGCAGUCGCGUGAGGGACGCUGAACGUCAGCUCUUGGCACUCCGCGGGGAGGUUGCCGUGUGGAAGUCGAAGGCUCGUGCUGCUGCCACCCGAGAUGAAUUUCUUCUGGGGGAGCUUGUUUCGAUAAGCUCAGAUCUGCACGGUAAGCACUGUUCGUAGUGAUUACUCGUUCUGUAUUGCUUCCUGUGUUUAACAGACUGUCUUGUACUUGCAGAACUUAUCCCCGAAUCUCACAAGGAAGCUGAGCGCGUUCGCCAUUGCCUGAACACUCUUCAACGGGCGGGGCCGACGAUUCCUUCCUUCUGGUUUGACUCCGAUAGGGGGUAUGUAUUAGCGCUUUUGCAGGAUCGGGCUGCCCGGGCCAAAGUUUGUUUGAGCUCGUGCCACCAAAUUAUGACUGAUAUUCAUCGAGCGCUGUUUUCGGACACGCCGGUUCUUGACAAUCUUCGGGGUUUGGUCCGUUUGUUCACGGAUUCGGCUGUCAUCAAGAGUUAUAUACAUGAGCAGCUUGUAACUGGCGCCACUGUUGGCCUGGCCUUUGUUCGGCUUCGAUAUCCCGGCCUGGAUCUGGGGGGAUUGCAUGUUGUGCCGUUUUUUGAAGACGGCGAGAUUAACAUGGAGUAUUACUAUGACAUCGUCGAGUGGCAUGCUCGAGAGCUGGUCAACCUUGUCGAGAUGAUAUAGACUUCUACUGCGUCGUUGAGUUUUAGUACUUUUGGGGGAAACAACCCCCGAGUCUUUUCUUGCAAUUAGGUGUUGAGUAGCACGUGCUUCAUCUCCUUUUGUUAUGUCCUGCAACCAAAACUUUGUUAGUUAAAUAUCUGGAAUACGAACCUUUAUCAGUUGAUCUUUCCCGACGAUGUUGAAUAUCUUGUGUCGUGACGAAGUGCGACAGACUUGCGCAUGAGUGUCGCUUGCGAUAAGAGCGGCGAUCUGAUGGUCCUGAGUCCUCGCCUGGACGGGGAUAAUUGUGGUUUAUGCAAUGUAUAUGUACAACGCUUGCAUUGGCGGGUGUUUCGCGCAGCCCCCGAGUCCUGAUUGACUUUCGGGUGAGUGCCACCCGCGGAGCUUUAACUGCGGCACUGGAGUUGCCCCUCUCUAGCGAUAUUAUAGAUACAUCCCUCAGGUCUUUGGAGAGACGGAGGUGUUUAAUGUAGUAAUUCAGCUCUCCUACGAGGGAAAAAUUAGUAUUUAUUCAAUGAUAUACUGACGAAGAUAAUAUGACUGAAUAGAAACUGAAGACGAUGAAAAGAUAAACUCAGUCUGUUUGUAGAGAAAACUAAGCGUAGAAACUCCGUAACUGUGCGGCGUUCCACGGCGUGCCGAAAUCGAUGCUGGUGGCUGGAUCUUUCAGGAUGUAGGCACCGCCUGGGAUUACUUUGGAUAUGAUGUAAGGCCCCUCCCAUGGCGAUGCCAAUUUGUGAUGACUUUUCGUUUUCAGCCGAAGGAUUAGAUCACCCUCAACGAAUGAGCGACGGCGUAGUCGACGGUCGUGAUAAUUGCGGAGACUCUGUUGGUAAACUGCUGACCGAGCGAGGGCGAUGUCGCAUGCCUCAUCUGUUGCGUCGAGUGAAUCUUCCAUACCUUCUGUGCAAUCUGGUCCGGCGUAUGCUGCGACCAGAGGUGUAUUAUACCUCACCUCAGAUGGCAGCACUGCUUCUGCCCCGUACACCAUAAAGAAAGGGGUGAACUGCCUGGAAGAAUUUGGUGUAGUUCGAAGGCUCCAGAGUACCGAGGGGAGUUCUUCGACCCACGCGCCAGCUGCUCUCCGCAAGGGUGUCAUCAACCUUUUAUGCAUGCCUUCAGUGAGCAGACCAUUGGCCUUUUCGACCUGGUCAUUUGUCUGCGGGUGCGCGACUGCAGCGUAGUUGAUUCGGAUCCCCAUCUGCUCACAGAAGUCUUGAAAGUCAGCUUCCUUGAAGUUGCUUCCAUUGUCUGUGAUGAUGCUGUGAGGAACACCAAAAUGGAAAACGAUGGAUCUGAAGAACUGAAUAGCCGUUGCAGAUGUGGCACUUGCAAUUGGCAUGGCCUCGAUCCACUUCGAAAAUUUCUCAACCGCGACUAGCAGAAAACGAUGUCCUCCAUGACGCGACUUCCUCAACGGGCCUACCAUGUCGAGUCCCCAUUGCACAAAAGGCCAGGCGAUGGGAAUUAUCUUGAGUUCAGAAGCAGGGGCAUGCGGCUUCGUGGCGAACAUCUGACAUGCUUCGCACUUGCUGACGAUAGCCUGAGCAUCGAGUAGGGCCGUGGGCCAGUAGAAUCCGGCUCUGAAGGCUUUGGCGGCGAUUGUUUUGCUUCCGGCGUGGUGCCUGCAUGUGCCCUGAUGGAUAUAUAGAAGGAUAUCAUGUCCUUCUUCUGGUGCAAUACAUCUCUAAAAAAUGCCAGAGACACUGCGUUUGUAAAGCUCGCCGUUGAUUACUUUGAAAGCUUUCGAUCACCGCAUAAUCCUUCUAGCUUCGGUUGUAUCUUCUAGCAACUCCUGCCGGAGCAUGUAUGCGAGUAGUGGCUUCAUCCAUGUUGGUCCAAUUGCCAUGACUUCGACUGCGCCGUCUUCUGCUUGCUCGACUACGGGGCUGUCGGGUGAAACUGUUGAGUCGGUUAGAAGCUCUGAGUUGGACGACUUUUUGACUGAAGCCGUCGUGCUCUUCUCUUUGAUGGAUCGUUGAUGAAUGAUCUCCAGAAAAACUCCAGGCGGAACUGCUGCCCGUGUGGAUCCCAGGUUGGCUAAAUGAUUGGCCUCUUCGUUACUGGCUCGGCUGACAUGCGCGAGCUCACAACGGUCAAAAUUACCCUCCAAUGUGUUGCACAUAUCACGGUAGGCGAUCAUGGUGUCCGAUACUGCGUCACAGGUCUUCAUUGUUUGUUGCACAACCAAGUUGGAGUCACCAUAGAUGAUUAGACGAGUAGCGCCACAUGCUUUUGCCAUCCGCAUGCCAUGCAACAAGGCCUCAUACUCAGCUUCGUUGUUGGAGGCGUUGUGGAAGUGCAUCUGAAAAACAUAGUGCAUCAUGUCCCCUUUUGGCAAGAUCAAUAUUACUCCUGCCCCUGCGCCUUCUGCCCAUUUGGAUCCAUCGAAGUACAUGGUCCAGGCACUCGUCAAAUCGAGCGGGCUUGGAGUCUACAUCUCGGUCCACUCUGCGAUGAAAUCUGGCAGUACUUGCGACUUGAUUGCUUUCCGGCGCUUGUAUGUGAUAUUCCUGGGCAAAAGCUCGAUUCCCCAUUGGGCGACACGUCCUGUUGUCUCUGGGUUAUUGAGAAUGUUGGCGAGUGGAGCCUCACUCACCACGACGAUCGGGUGUUGCUGAAAGUAGUGUUCCGGCUUUCAGGCCGUCAUGAAUACUCUGUAUGCCAGUUUCUGAUAAUGUGGAUAACGUUGCUUCGUGAGAGAUAACACUUCACUAACAUAGUAUAUUGGCCUCUGGACUGGCUGCGCUUUCCCUUCUUCUGCUCUUUCUACUACCAAGGCCGUGUUGACCACCUGAUUUGUGGCGGCGAGGUAGCAAGAGUGGCUCAUUCUCGAGUGGGGCUACAAGGACCAGUGAAGUCGAUAGCAUGCGUUUUAGAUCGGCGAAUGCGUUGCUGGCUUCGGGUGUCCAUGUGAAUUUAUCCCCCUUUUUGAGUAGCUGGUAAAAUGGCGGAGCUUUUUCUCCCAAUCUGCUAAUGAAAUGGUUGAGAGCUGCCACUCUUCCUGUAAGCUGCUAUACCGCAUGGAUGUUUGUUGGUUCCUUCAUUGUCACUAUUGCUCUGAUCUUGUCUGGAUUUGCUUCGAUUCCCCUUGCAGAAAGAAAAUAACCUAGAAGCUGCCCUGCAGGUACUCCGAAAAUGCAUUUCGUCAGGUUAAGCUUGAUCCGAUACUUGUCAAGAUUCUGGAAUGUCUAUCGAAUAUCCUCUAAUAGAGUAUCUUUAGUCUUUAUCUUGAUAAAAAUAUCAUCGAUGUAGACUUGAACAUUUCUGCCAAGCUGCGCCCCAAGACAUGCUUGCAUGCAGCGUUGAUACGUAGCGACUGCGUUUUUCAGUCCGAAAGGCAUAGUUGUGUAGCAGAAAACUCCAUAAGGUGUUGUGAAUGCUGUCUUGUCUUCGCCCUCCUUCUUCAAUCGAAUCUGAUUGUACCCAGAAUAUGCAUCAAGGAAUGACAAUCGAGCACAUCUCGCAGUCGAGUCGACGAUCUGGUCGAUUCGAGGCAAGGGAAAAUGAUCUUUCGGGCAAUGUUUGUUCAGUGAGGUGAAAUCAACGCACAUGCGCAAAACUUUCGUGUUCUUCUUCGGGACAAGCACGGGGUUCGCCACCUAGGUAGCUUGUUUAAUUUCCCAGAUAAACUUUGCGUCGAGCAAGCGAUUGACCUCUUCACCAAUAGCCUUCUACUUGGGUUCUGAAAAUUGUCGCAUCGGUUGCCUAAUGGGCUUGGCAAGCUUGUCCACAUGUAAAGAGUGCUCGGCGAGUUCCCUGGGAAUACCCGGCAUAUCGGAUGGUAACCAGGCAAAAAAAUUCCAAUUCUCGCGCAGGAACUCGACGAGACACCAGCACUAUUUUGCUGGGAUCCGUCGGGUGUACCUGAUGCUCUGUUGUGUCACUCUUCGUGCUGAACUCUAUCUGUGGUGGCGCUUUCUUCGUCAUGGAAAGUACGUCGUUGUCCGUCGUUGCCUUCAAAGAGGCGAGUUCCAUCUGCAUACCGAAUGAUUCGGCAAGUUUAUGGAACUCUCUGUCACAAUUGUCCGAUCAUGUAAAGCUUCCUCGGAUGGUGAUUAUGCCGUAGGGUCCAGGCAUUUUCAGCAUGAGAUAUGCAUAAUGUGGGAUGGCCAUGAAUCUAGCGAGUGCCGGCCGGCCCAAAAGCACAUGGUAUUGCGAUUUCCAGUCGAGUACUUCAAAAUCGAUCCAUUCUUUGCGAAAGUUGGCGAGGUUGCCAAAGACAACGUCGAGGCUAACCUGGCCUAAUGGCACUGCCGGUUUUCCUGGAACAAUUCCGUGAAAAGAUGUGUCUGUAGCUUGGAGAUUCGUUAAUGAUCUGUUCAUCGCCCUUAGUGUAUCCGCAAAUAUGAUGUUAAUGCCACUGCCUCCAUCUAUGAACACCUUGCUCAUCUCAUAGCCUCCUACAUGAGCAUCAAGGACUAGUGCUGACUGUCCUGGCCUCGGAAUCUGAGGUGGGUGAUCCGCCCGCGAGAAUGAAAUGGCGACCUCGGACCAGUCGAGGUACUCAAGGGUGGUGGGUGGUGCGGCCACAGCCAGAUGAACUUGUCGAGUGAUAACUUUUUGAUGUCUGUUGGACGACCUUCCUUUCUGUAUCAUGCAGAUAUUUCCCAAAGGCGCCGGAUACGCGUCGGCUGUGGCUGGUGGUUCUGAUGGCCAUGACGCGGACUGCGUGUGUUGCAUGGAUCCGGCGAAAUUUGGUGGCAGUGGAGGGGGUGGCGGCGCGUUAUGCACGAUCAUCCCAGCUUGAUUGGCGUGUGGAAGAGCCAGAGUGUUGGGAUUAAUUCUCAUUGAUUGCUGACCUGGCCCCGAGGGUAAUUCCUACUUACCGUUGAGUUCUGAAACUGGCUGCAUGUGUCCUGCAACUCGUAGAAACGACGGCACUCGAACAGUGUGUGGAUGCACCUUAUAUUUCCGUCAACAUCCCUGGUACCAUGGAAGGGGCAGGGAGACGACAACUGUUGCGUGAACGACAAAGCAGGUUGCUCAUCUCGCCACAACCUCCGAGGCUGCCACUGCUGGUUCUUGCUGCUGUCUCGGUAGUUACCACGGUUACUUCUAUCCCGAUGUCCUUCAUGAUUUCCUUCACCUCGAACACCGCCAUUACGGUCGAACUCUGCCGCUACAAACUCGGGGGCGUUAGGCUCCUGCUCCUUUCGCUUCUUUCUUCUCUCGGUGUUGCGACCGUGUCCUCGCUCGGUUUCUUCAUCAUCUGGUAGUGCAUUGUGCUCAUUUCAAAUUGAAUCUUCUCCAUCUGCCAUUAUUUGCUAUCUCCAUCAGAUCUGCAACCGUUUUUGGCCUGCUCCGUCCCAGUUCUUCCUUAAAAGUGACACGCUUCAACCCAUGUUUGACGUCGACUGCGCUUUCGUCUUAUAUCUCUUCUGCUGUAUUUUUGAGGGACGUCCAUCGUUGUAUGUACGAUCGAAUGGACUCACUCGACCUCUGAGUGCACGCUCGAAGUUCUUCCAAUGAGACUGGCCUUUUAUACGUUGCCCGAAAUGUGCGGGUGAAAACUUGGUAGAGCUCGUCCCACGAGCCUAUUUCGCCUUCUGGCAGACUAGCCAGCCAUGUGCGAGCGUGCCCCUUGAGCUGCAAAACACUGCAUGGCUGUGUUCUUCGUUCCUCCCUUCAGUCGUACCAUUGUGAGGUAAUCUUCUAACCAAGCUUUCGGCUCCUGGGAGCCGUCAAACUUGAUUGCGCUCGUCGAUACUGAAAAAUUAUCGGGCAUCUUCGAGUUGCGAACGCGACGGCUAAAGCAGGCCGCGCCGCAAGGUUCAUCUUCUUCCUCUGUGAUGCGGCCAGCACGAGCUGACCGCUCGCGAUCGAUUCUCUACUGCGUAAUGAUAUCACGAGCAUCUCCUAGUACGGGGGUGUUGCGGCGGCGAUGAGACUGUUCUUCCAGUCCCCGUCGUGGAGGAGUCGUGUGAUUGUUUUGCCGUGGGGAGCCGCCAUCCCUAUGCCGUCAGGGCUCCAUCUGGUUCAAGUUGGGGCCCAUGAGAGCAUUCCCGAUGAGGCCCAGGCCGGCCAAGACCUGCUUGUGGAUUGCCGCCUUCGGGUCGUCAUCCGGUGGCAUGGCGGAUAGGAGGUACAUGUUUGCAGCGACCACAGCUCCUUGUGGCGUCUGGGGAAGCAACUCUCCCUAGGUAUUGACCGUCAUCAGUUCAUCGUCCAAAUUGCAUGUCAUGCCGAUGCAAUCUCGCUCGGGAAUAUUGUUCAACCGAGAUUGAUAGCGCGGCGCUCUAUAUCUAGGGGGUGCUCCGAGAGCAGGCACUGCAACUCUGUGCUGAGAGCUGUCUGCGAGCACUCGAAGCGUCGGCGACUUCUCUCCGCCGUUGGAGCUCCGCCUGCUCCUCUCGCAGAUGAGCUGCGUAGUGUCUAGCGCAUGGUGGUAUGCCAUCAUCUCGUUGCGCGUGGCGUCUGCUGGUAAAGGGUUGGUGUCGUUAAGAGCGGCCUCGACCCGAGCUUCUUCUUCCGACGUGAGAAUGAUUGUUGGCCGAUCAUUGGUCACGUCUCUUGCGCGUGCCUCGGCGAAGAUGGUUCUGUCGGCACGGUGUCCAUCUCCACUGCUCUCGCCUACUUCCGCUGCGAAGACCUGUGCCAAGGUCAUGCGAGGGAUCACAGUUGCGUCAAUGGGAUUGAUUGCUACACUUGAACAGGUUCUGAUGCUGUAAGGAGUGGAAUCUUCAGCGAACACCGAGUGGUGCAAAUCGCACUCGGUGCAAAAAAAUUUGGCCAAAAUUGGCCCUGUUUGACCCAGCGAACGCAUCGGGGGUGAAGGAUCAGUCGGUGACGCCACCAGAGAAUCGCAAAUCUGUCCUGUCGGUAACAGAUCUGUGAAGCUGAUGAUUCCUUCGCGGCUGACUCGGAGGUCAAAACCUCCGAACGACAGCUCCAAAAGACCGCGAAGGUUGCGGAAGGCUAAGCGCAAUAUCGGCGGGUGAGCUGAGAAAUUCAAGAACCCAAAGCGGAUCGGCUCCUUCAUGGUUGAUGCGUUGUGGAUUGAAAGCGGCAUGGUCAAGAAGAUCGUAGAUCUGAUGCACUUCUUCCCAUGGUCGGCGCCAAUGACGAGGGGCUACCUCGGCAAUACCCUGACUCAAGGGUUUUUGACUGAGGAGAGCACGGGGUGCACCAGCGAUCUCGUCGACUAACAAAGACUAGGAGAGUCGCAAGGUUUACCCAGGUUCGUAGUCCUCGGAAGGUAAUACCCCUGCGUCCUGCUUUUGGUGUAUUGUAUUGAUCGAGAUUACAGAGAAGUUAUGAAGCUAUGGUGCGCAGAUGAAUCUGGCGUAUGUCUAGAGGUUGGCCAUUCCUGAUCCCCCUCCUACCCUUAUAUACUGGUGGCUAAGUUUCGGGCGUGAUAAUCAAGAAGGUUACAAUCAGAUCAGUUCAUUCCGGUAUGAUAAGAUUAUGUUUCUUGGUUUGAACCGCACUUUGAGGGAUUCGAUCUGCAUAUACUUGAUGGGCUUUCGAAUGGAUCCUCUGUUGGACUGCAUCGGGUACAUGAAGAUUGAGUACUCGAAGCCUCGUUCCCUCGUCAUCCGUCAACUGUUGUGCCUGACUGCCCAUCCAGGUGUUGAGAGUUACUCGUUCUUCAUCGACAUUUAAUUCUUUCCCGCGUGCAUAGAGGAGUGGAGCACUCUGGGCUCUGGCGCAUUACCACAUUAAAACUUUUGUUUUUUGAAAAGAUCACAAAUCUAUUACUUCGUAGUAUAAAGAUUUACUAGAUACACAAAGCAUCUCAAACAUAAUGAAACAAUAAAUAAAACUUCAACGUAGUACGCUGCGCCUAAAAGAAGAGGAAAUUAACGUGUUUAUACUUCAUUUGAUCUCUCUUUACAGAAAAGAUUCGUGCAUAGUUUCCAAAGAAACUAACCGACCAGUAACAAUUUCUUAACUAAUUUGAUCCUAGCAAACUGGUCAUUUAAUGCCUUUGACCAAUUAGCGAAAAAAUAACACUUACGUAAGCUACCACUCCCUCCGUCCCAUAUUAAGUGACUCAAAUUUGCUUAAAAUGGAGAUAUUUAUACCAAAAAGUGUCUAGAUACAUGUAAUAUUUCGUCACUUAGUAUGAGACGGAGCAAGACUUAAUAUGGGACGGAGCGAUUACAUGUCAUCUUGUGAUUUUAAUUGUGCCUACUGCAAUUGACUUGGUGUACAUUCUGAGCCAUCGGGGCUAGCUAGGUCGACCUUUUCUCGUACUGGAAUUUUCUAUCACCAAGUCCCCUCCAUAUCCGCAGAACGUGUGACGUUUGAAAAACUCGAGAGCGCGCCAUGCAUGUUACUUAGUGGAACAGAUAUGCCCUUUUUAAAGGAAACUUGAGAAGUCGGAUGACCAUGCAAUGCAAUUAAGUUCUAGCCCACAUCAAGACUGUUUCAAUUCCUUGAUCAGUUGACGUGUCUUGUUUGCUUACAUGCAAGUUCAUGCACAUUUGCUUGACCACAGUGCCACACUAUUUUGCUUGCGCGCCACCUCGGCCCCAUUUGCGGCUAUAUAAGCACAUCCAUCCAGACCUCCAUGGCCACUAAAGCAUCCCCACAAUGGCCUCCUCUUCCUCCUUGUUUCUCCUCGCUGCCCUCCUUGGGCUGGCCUCAUCGAUGGUCACUGCCUUUGAUAAUAGCCCUCUCCAAGACUUCUGCGUUGCCGACAUGAAGUCGAAUGGUAUGUUCUGCUCCGUACUUUGUGAUGUACCUGUAUGCAUGUGUGUCCAUUUUUCUAGCGAUGUCGUAAUGUUCUCUUAGCGCUAUCAUAUCAUUGAUCAUGUGUUCUGCAUGAGGUGCUCACGGUGAGCAAAAUAUUAGUAUUUCUCUUUACUUAAACGGUUAAAUCACACAUUUACUACUUUGUGUUAAACUGUUAAUUUACUUUCUUUAUGCGUGCAGUGCGAGUAAAUGGAUUUCCAUGCAAGGACCCAAUGGCUGUCGUCGCGGACGACUUCUUCAAUAAAGCCAUGCUCGACAAACCUAGGGACACUAUGACCAGCAAGGUCGGUUCCAACGUCACCAACAUCAAUAUAGCAAACUUCCCUGGCCUCAACACCCUCGGCAUCUCUCUGGCACGCAUCGACUACGCACCAUUAGGUGUGAACACGCCACACAUACAUCCACGUGCCACCGAGCUCCUCACCGUACUCGAGGGAACGCUCUACCUUGGAUUUGUCACAUCCAACCCAAACAGGCUCUUCUCAAAGGUGGUCACGAAGGGUGACGUAUUUGUGUUCCCAAAGGCCAUGAUCCACUUCCAAAUGAACCUAGCGCAUGACAAGCCAGCAGCCGCGCUGUCAUCGCUCAACAGCCAGAACCCUGGGGUUAUCACUAUCGCCAACGCGGUGUUUGGAUCCAAGCCACCGAUCUCAGAUGACGUUUUGGCCAAGGCGUUCCAGGUGGAAAAAGAUCUGAUAAAGUGGCUCAAAUCUCAGUUCUGGGAGAACAACCACUACUGAUCAUUAUUCUCCUUUGUUUGCACCCAUGAAAUAGUUACAGUAUGCUAUAUAAAUAAAUGGCACACAAUACUUGUGCGUGCCUGCGAGCUGUAAGUUUCGUUUUCUUCUCAACCGUGACAAGAUAUAUGUUUGUCGCCGGAUUGAUGUCAUAGUAUGCUGGUGAUGUUUGUACAUGUUUUCUCUGUUUGACAAAUGAAAUUUGGAAGUUGGUAUACACUGGUGUCUUUUUUAUGGAUCGAAGGAAAUAUUGUCUUACUGAAAUACGACUAGAAAACUCCACGAAGUGAUCGCACGUGCACGUACGCUAUCUCAGUUGUAUGUACGUACAUGAAGCUCAGUUUCUGCCUCUGACAAGGUGAUUCGUUUGAUCGUUGGAACCAAAGAGCGAAGCAGACUAGCUAGUGGUCCCGUGGCAAGAGGAAGGGACCGUUUGUUAUCGUAUAAAACUGAGCGAAACUGCCUUGCGUACGAUCAAAUCGAGUACGAUCCGCGUACUAGCAGACUGAGAAGCAAUGUGCACAGACGGCCCCACAUGCUGACCGUGAAUUAAUUUGAGUCUAAUCGUACCAAGCUAUCUUACAAAUAGCGUCGUACGUAUAGCAUAGUUGAAAACUGAGUAAAUAACUGACGCCGAUUCCCUCGUCCCCCACGACUCCAGGUAACGCGCUGAGCAACCGCCAGCCCGGGAAGACGUACUACGAGCGAGAGAUACAUAUCCAUCUGACCGAGGAACGAGAGGGAGAGCCACACGGGAGCACACCAUGAGAGGCGGGACGAAGCGGCGGCUCUGCGCGCUGCUGCUGGCGCUCAUCUGCUUGGCCGCGCGCUUCCAAGGAAUCGUCUGCCCCGGCGGCGGGAGGGGCGGCGGCGAAGGAGCGGAGGGCGGCGGUGCCGGAGGAGGUGAGGCGGGCGGCGGUGCCGGCGAAGGCGAGGCCGGCGGCGGUGGAUCAGGCGGGAGGAACGCUGGCGGAUGGUGGUGGGCCGUAAAUAAUGCGAGCGACAGUCUAGUUACCCGGGCGUUGGAUGCAUGUGUGGUGUUAACAAUAGGAGUGUAUGAUUUAUUAUGGAUUUAGUGGGCAAUGCACACUUGCUGCUUAUUAGCCAUUCUACUACCUAGCUGAUUAGCAUGUAGAUCCAGCAUUUCCCUUUGUUCCUUAGCGUGUGUAGACCAUCAUUCGAGCUACUAGCACUUCCAUUGUGAUUUAGUACAUCCCAGAUAUGAUCAUUGAACUUAUUCCACGUGUUAUUCAGAGCUGGUACGUAUACUGAGUUGUUUGCUUUAACUUUGACCCGGGGAGUUGAAAUCCGAGCAGAUCACCUGGAAGGACUGCUGGAGUACUGAAGUUUUCUGCAUGAGUUUAACUGAAGACAUGCACGAGUUAGAACACAUGUACAGUAAAUUGGUAAUCGAUGUGUAAGCCGGCCGUUUAACUUGGGUACAAGCAUAGAAAAUUAGAAAUCCACGAGUGCCAGAAACAGCAGUGUGCACAAGUUUAAGUUGUUGUGCGAGCUGAGCAGUGUUCGUUCUUCUUCGAACGCCGAUCCAUGUCCAAUGGCCGUAACAAAAUGCCAGUGCCAUCGCUGAUCUCGGCUCGUCGUGAACCUGCUAUGUUCCUCUCAAACCGACUUCAGAAGGAUAGAUGUACAUUUCAGAUGCAAGUGUGUAAACACGUAAAAAAAUUGUCAUAUAGUGUUCAUACAAUUACAUGGAUAAUGUUUGCAUGUCAACAUCAAUGUUUCUGCUCUAGCAGUCUAGCUGUUUGGACGUUCACGCAUAAUUUUUGUUGACAAUAAUACAUUUUCGCGGUUAAUCCUAAGAAAAUCGGUGGAAGAGCAGUUUACUCACAUGGAUAAAUGGUACUUAGUCAACAUUAGUCGAGUUCUCUUUUCAACCGGCAAGCAGAACAAGCAACGCAGGGUGAUACCUUCUCGUGCCGUCCCUUCCGGGCUCCGGGCUCCGGCCUCCUUCCCCGCGGCCGCUUGCUUGCCAUGGAGCCGCGCGAGAUCGCCGCUGCCGCGCGGAGCUUCUCGGCCAUGGCACGGAUCGUCGGUCCGGUCAGUUUCUCACUUCCCACCUCCUCUCCUCUUCCUCUCCCCGUAACAUCUUCUCGCGAGAUUUCUCGCUAAAGCGCCACGCUCCCUCUCUGCUUCCUCCAGGACCCCAAGGCCGUGAAGAUGCGCCGCCACGCCUUCCACCUCCACCAGUUCGGCAACCGCUCCCCUCCCCUUCCCCUCCCGAUUCCUCAAUCUCCUCGCGGAAUUUGAGCUUAAUCGCGACUUGGUUCGGUUCCAGGUCGGGGUCCACCACGCUCUCGGCGUCGGCUGUCCUCCUGCCCCCGGGCGCCCUGGCGGAGCCGCCGCCGCCGCUUCUAGGUCGUGUCUGCGCGGCUCAUGGCCACACCGGGGGCGUCGCGCUUACGUCCGCGUCUCUCGUGGAGCCGUUCCUGGUUGCGGAGCAGCGCGAUAGCGCCAGCGAGGUUGGUUGCGUCGUCUCGUGCUCGCAACUGUGUAAUUGAGGCGAUUCCGGUGCUGAGGUUUUGCUUGCUUGAUGGGAUGCCUGCAGGAACUACAGCCAAGGUUACUACCGGAGACGUGUCUUGAUGUGCUGGUUGAGGUGAGGAACAUUUUUGGCCUUUGGGUUAUUAUGACUUCAGAAUUCAGAUCAAUGGGGCAGUAUUAUAAGGGGCUGUAGCAUUAGAGCACCAAAUAUCGGGUGCUCAGUUCUGAGAUUACAAGAAAUACAAUGUGAGAGUUUAGUAAGAGUUUCCUGAAAGCCUGAACUUCUCCUGGCAUAUGCAGCAUGAGGAAUUAGGGAACAUCAUAGAUGGAGAUUCUGGAGCUCCACAGUGGCUUUCAGCUCAGUUACUUGCCAUGGUGGGUUUUUCUUUUCCCAAUCAAAACAUAUGUUCAUUACCAGUACCAGUAUUUCUAUUUUCUUUACCCAGAUUCUAGUGCUGCUUAGUUGGGACUCUUACCAUGAAGUAAUUUAAAACUCCCUAAAUGUGCUAUAUGAAUGACCAGUGCUUGUGCUGUUUUUCACCAAAGGAAGUGCUACUUAGUAACACGAUAGGUGUAAAAUGUCUGGUCAUACAUGACAAUAAAUACACACAAUGACUGUUUUGAGUUCUUUGGAUUUGAAAGAUGUUCUUGGAGCUCAGAAAAAAACAAUGUGAACUUAGACCUUGUAAUUUAAAAUCAGAACUGCAUUUAUUUUGGUAAUACUUCUGCAAGGUUCUAGAUAUUUAUAUAGUAUGUCACUAUAAAUGAAAAAUAUAUGAUUCAUCAUCAACUCAGCACCUCAGUUUCCUUUUUUUAGGUCGAUGUUGCAGCAUCAGCUGAAUCUAUAUUAUCCUUAUUAACACAUGAUGGUUCAGUGUUUGGAAGCUCAUCAUGGGAUGUUGGCUGGCCAUUGGCCGAUGUCAAUCAGAAGCAGGUUGUCUAUUCAUCAAGCUAAAGUUGCCUUUCCUGAUUUUAUAGCAAUCAGAGACUUACCACUAUCAGUCAUUAUCAGGUUGAAAAUGGCGUCAGGUCUUCUCUUGAGUCUAACAGGAAGAAUGCAUAUGCUGAGUCAAUUGAACCAUCAAUGUUAGCCAAGUCCGCCACAAGAAUUGCUAUACUAGGAGUUUCAUCCUUAACAUCAAGUGUAAGAUUCAUUUUCUCAAAUUAAUUUUCAUUUCAUUGAUCUUUAGCACCUCCAGAAUUAAAAUGUGGACUUAUUGAGUUGAUGAUCUUGCCAAUGGUGACCAGAAUGAAAUACAUAUCAAUGUUUCACCGGCGCCACAGCGAGGAGACUCUUUGCUGGUAGUAGGGUCUCCCUUUGGCAUCCUGUCACCAUUCCAUUUCUUCAACAGGUAAUUUUUAUUCUACUGCUUUAAUUUCAUUUGUAAACAUAUACACCUAGUGCUCUUUCGUAGAUUCAAUCAGUUAGUUUCAAUUAAAUUCUUAGUUUAUGCUAUUAAUCAAUGUAACAUGAAACUCCAAACAGUUGAAAACUUGAUGUCAUUACAUAUCUGGUUAUGGAAAUAAUAAUAAAUUCUGAAGUGUUGCUCUUUGUAUUCUAUCUGUGCAUCCUCCCUCACUAAAGCUAAACAGUAGCACAGCCUAAUUUUGUUCAGGGCAUGCUUAGGAACCUGUAAAGGCUCAUUCAUUGUCAAAUAGCUGUUGUAGUUUGUGACAUGGGAAAGACAUGCAUGCUAUCAUCCACUAUAUUGUGCCACAUUUAUUUGAAAACAAAGAGGUGCUGACAGAAUAAUCCAUAUUAUUAUCAUUGUUCUUUGAGCAGUAUAUCAGUUGGUGCUGUUGCAAAUUGCCUACCUCCAGGCGCUGUCAGGAGCUCGCUGCUGAUGGCCGAUAUCCACUGUCUUCCUGGUAUAAAUAUCACUCUCCCUUUGAACAUGAAUUAUUACAUCAGCUGCUAACAAAUUUUCAAAUAUUCUAAGGUAUGGAAGGUGCUCCUGUGUUUGACAAAAAUUCUUGUCUUGUGGGGAUGCUGAUGAAGCCAUUAAGACAAAGAGGUAGCAGCAUACAAGUUCAGGUGAGUUUACUGGUACCAGUGUUAUGCUUUGCACAUAUAACCGAUAUCAAGCUUAGAUAUCUGCAUGACAGCUUGUGAUUACAUGGGAUGGAAUAUGCACUGCAUGGAGCAGCAACAAACUGGAAGGAAUUGAGCAAGCCUCAAAUGAUCUACUUGAUGACAAAAAUGCAGAUAGUAAAAUGGUGGAAUCAUGUGCCAUGGAUAACUAUAGGAGGUCCGUCUCUAUUUCAGCCAAUCAUCAUAAUCAGUAUAGAAUUCCAGCUUCACUCAAAGAGGCUAUAUCCUCGGUUGUUCUUGUCAAGGUUGGUGAUACAUCUUGGGCUUCAGGUAUUGUCCUCAACAAGAAUGGCUUAAUUCUGACAAAUGCUCAUCUUUUGGAGCCUUGGAGAUUUGGGAGAACUUCGCCUUUAGGUUUACAAAAUGAAAUCACCUCACUUACUGGAGAACAUGUCCGUGAAGUUGAAAAUAAACUAUUGCAGUCACAAGAAUGCAAAAUGUCCAACCAAGAUGCUGUUAAGCAUGAGGCUCCAUUGUUUAAUUUGGGUUUCAAAAGAGAGAAGAGAAUAUCGGUUCGUUUGGAUCAUGGGAAAAGACAGACCUGGUGCAGUGCUAGCGUGGUCUUUAUCUCCAAGGGGCCGCUUGAUGUUGCCUUGCUUCAACUGGAAAUGGUUGCAAUUGAACUUUGUGCAAUUAGACCAGAAUUCAUUUGUCCAACAGCAGGCUCUUCUGUAUAUGUUGUUGGGCAUGGCCUUCUUGGACCUCGAUCAGGUAACAAACCUGAUAAGUAAGAAUCAUAGUUUUCAAAAUAGUGCUCAAUUUAUGACAUUUGUAUCUUGAUUGUUUUAUUAUUAUAUUGUUAAUAUUUGAGUAUUUGGCUGUAGGUCUAUGUUCCUCUCUUUCCUCUGGGGUUGUCUCAAAAAUUGUCAAAAUCCCAUCAGCUCAACAUUCUCAUCUAUCUAGCAGUUUGGAGGCUGAAACUAUGGACACACCAGUAAUGCUGCAGACAACAGCGGCAGUUCAUCCAGGGGCUAGUGGUGGUGUUCUUAUUAAUUCCCAUGGUCGAAUGGUUGGGCUAAUAACAAGGUAUUAACAUUAAGUUUUAUGUGAUUUGUAUCAACAUUACCAACUAUUGUGGUGGAUAUGCGAUAGUCAAAAACUAACUUUACAGUCAUCUUAGUUUUCCUUCUUCACUCAUGCAGUGAUCUGAUUCUGCUAUGACCUUGAUUCUAGACUUUAAAACUGGAUUUGCAGUCAUCUUAGUUCUCUUUGAUUCUAGCAAGGUCCUUAACCUUUUUCAGCAACUUAUUUCUGUUGUUACCAUAUCCAGCAAUGCAAAGCAUGGUGGUGGGACCACAAUACCUCGUCUGAAUUUCAGCAUCCCCUGCAACUCUUUGGAAAUGGUCUUCAAGUAUUCAGGUGCUACCUAACUUUGUUCAAAUCAUUUCUCUUUAGUCAUCACAGUGCCUCCCAAUGCUAUAUAGGAGCAUUUUUGUCAACCUUGUCCCCUUUUUGAGCAGCAAAUGAAGAUUCCACAAUUUUAGAGCAGUUGGACAAACCCAAUGAAUUGCUUUCAUCAGUGUGGGCAUUGGCACAAACCCCAGCAUCGCUCCCAUUUCUCAGUAGUUCCCCUGGAAAAAGCGGAGAGGGUAAAGUGUUGAAGUUCUCAAAGUUUCUCGCCGAUCAGCAAGAAGGUUUGAAAUCUAGAACUGAUAUAGAGGCAUUUCUUAGACACAAGAUUCCUAGUAAAAUUUAAGGAAUUGUUUCUGCAAAGCACCGAUUGAUAGUACCGGCACCCUUGACAUAUAGGAGAGGAGGAAAAUGAAAAAUCAAGGGAUUCAGAUUGAGCGACAAAAUGACAGACUGUCUAUUUCCGCCAUGGAAAUGCCAUGCUCUCUUUUUUCCUCGAACACACCUUGCUGCAUGUCAUUUCCACCAUGGAAAUGCUAGACUCUCUUUUUUCCUCGAACACACCUUGCAACAUGUCAUUUUCAUUAAGAAGGGGGCGCAAGAAGCGCAAGUGCAGACAGCAAUACAAAGGCAAGAGCCAAAAAGAACAAAGAAAGAAGAAAAGAGAAGAAGAAAGAAAUGCUAGGCUCUUGACUGAAACGUUCUAUAAGAUCGGCACAAACUUUCAUGGCAUACUUUAGAUUGAUUCAUACAAAGUUUCUUUCAUGAAAGAUACUUCAUGUGUUGGUUUAUAUAUAGUUUGUUUCCGGGUAUAAGGGUCGCGCAUUGAGCUUGUUUUCAGAAAGUUGAGACAUCUUCAGCGAUUGCUUAUAUACAGGAAGCAAUACAGUUUAUACUAACUGACAACGACAACAAAACUGUGUACCAUUUGUCAUAAUGACCCCGUGAAUUGUACUAACAAUGCUGUUUGGACUAAGAAUACUGUUUGUAGCAUCUGCAGCUGUCUGAAAACUUUCUUUAAAGCAUGUUAGUCUGAAACUAGGUUUCCCUAUUCAUCCUGUCAAAGCCUUUGAAUCCAUCAUGGAAAGGAUUUUUAAAAGGAUUUUUUUUAAACAGAUCGUCCAUAAAAAAAAAUUAAAAGUAUUUUUUUUCUCUUGUAAGUUCAUAAAUGGUGGGCAUAUAGAAACUCCUCCGGACCGUAGCAGAGCUAGGGCUCGCCUUAAACGAGACGACACCCAUGCUCUCCAUCCACCAAAUUCCAUCUUUAAAAAAAGAAGAGAAUGACAAAUCCUAUCUGGGCUAGCUGAGGAGGGAUGGCCAAUAGCCCAAUACCCAGUAGUUGGUUUUGCAGAAGCCGAAGGCCAGCACUGAUGGCCGAUGAUACGGCCGGACGCGCAAUGAGCUUGUGCAUCCCACUGCCACUGUCCUCGGAGCAGGAGGAGAUUGUGGCUGACGCUAUCAUGGAUGGAUCAAGAGGAAGAUGAAAAUGACAAGCUCGUCCCCACCACGAAUUCAAUUCGUUCCUAGCCAAGUUGGAAGAAAAACACAAGUAUUGUCGAGACGAACUAUUUGCUGGCUUUUUUUUUUGCGCAAAACUAUUUGCUGGCUUAAGAAACUGUAAGAGCAUAUUAUCCUGCUGAUCAGAAUUCAGAAGGACGAUGAGUUCGUUAUAUGCCGAGGAUGAGGCUUUCUCUGGAGUCCAGUUGAGAUGAGGAUUCCACUAAUUUGUUGUGCUACUGCUACCUAGCUGUCUAUAUAUGUAUUGAGUAAGAAAAGUAGAGCAAACUCUACAAAAUGUCUAUAUGUGUAGUUGAGUAAGAAAAGUAGAACAAACUUUACAAAUCACUCAUAAUUAAAUUGUGCAAGAAAAGUAGAACAAACUUUAUAAAUCAAUUAACACUACACAACGCGUGAGCAUGCAGAAUAAUAGGAUGUUUGAUGAGACCAAACGAACAAUGCACCAGCAAUUUCAUACCUACAAACUGAAGUGCCUUUCAUUCAAAGACUAAAAAUCAAUAAAUCGUAUAAUAUGCAUAUAUCUAGGCCCAACAUAUAUAGACUGAACUACAUGUGUUACAGCCCGGGAAGAGGUGUGAAACAGUUGUGAGUCACACCUCACAAAGGCAUUGUGAAACAUGCAUUAGAAUACUGUGCAGUGUAGUUCUACAAUAUUCAAAUAAUCCUACCAAAAUGAGCAGAGCAGUUAAACUAGGAUUUUUACUUUUCUGAAGACAUGUUCUCGAAAAACUUUACCGAGGUCAAGAAUUUCUCUUAAUAGUCACGAAAAAAGUAUGGUCAAUCUGCCUUUACAAUUGGAGAAAAAGAAAAUCACAAUUCUACAUUCUCCUAAUUCCCUGAAGACAGGCCCAUCCAUCCAUUUCAGAUACUAAUAUGUUGUCCAAGUACCUGGAGUAAGCUUUUUCAACCUUUGCAACCUGUAUUAGAUGACACAUAACUCAGGGGGUACAGAAGCAUCACAAUUAAGAAAACAAAAACGGUAUAUGACAUUUUAAAUUUUGAAAUAAUCUAUUCCUUUACCUGCUCACUCAAUAUCCCUGAAACAGCAAUCGUUCCACCAAUUUUUGCAUAACCAACUAUGUCCUCGACCAGCUCUAGCAAGGGAUUCAGGAGUAUAUUUGCUGCAACAAUGUCAUAUGUCCCUCUUGAGGACUUCAACUCAGGGUUAUAGGUGGGUUUGUUCUCUUCUGAUUUGUCAAUGCUACUUGAGAAGGAUGAAGGCUCAGCAUCAGUCGGUACCAAAUACACUAGCAUUUUGUUGGAAUCCAAACCAUUCAGCAACAUGUUCUCACAAGCGGAUGUUACAGCUUGAGGGUCUAUGUCUAUCCCUGUGGAUAGAGCAGCACCCAUCUGCAUUCGUAAGCCAACAAUGAGCGCAUGGGUAUUACUGCUGUCUUUUCGUGAAAAUUGUUGUAGUGAACAAUAAGAGCACCAAGACAUACCUUCAGAGCCGCAAUACCCAAUACCCCAGUGCCUGUUCCAUAGUCCAAGACAUGUUCACCCCCCUUAAUAACUUCCCUUAGAAAUAAAAGGCACAACUUAGUUGUGGGAUGCUCCCCAGUUCCAAAAGCCAAACCUGGAUUGAUAAUUAUAUUUGUGGCAUGUGGAUCCUGUCAUUGUGGAAAAAGAUGAACAUGAUGCAUGAAGUAAUUCUCAGUUGAAGUACUUAAGUAGAUGCUGAGUCAAACGUAACAUCAGUAAAAGAUCAUUCUGUGAAGACAUUAAAAGGAAACAGCAUGAUAUUUGCACAAUGCAGACAUACAGGGGGGGUUCUCCAUUUAGGAAUAAUCCAAAGGUCAUCGAUAACUUGAGUAGACUCGUACGUUUCCUGCAGACAUAACAGUAAUCUUUUCAAGUAUCUGCCAAGCAAAAUCACUGUAUCUGUGAAUGCAGUACAGCAGCGAAGUGAGAUUUGCAGCUGGUAUGAGAAUUCGAGAGCAAAUGAGUACAACAAUGGACUUCACAGAUCAUGUAUAUGAAAAUCGUAGAGCAUAGAGUGAUAGAGAUCCCAAGUCGUAACCUGCACAACUGCCACCCAAUCGCACUGUUUUCCUACAGAGGUUUCAUACACUGGGGUGUAAUCCAGACCAGCUGAGCUUGCAGCAUUUGAAACGCUCGAUCCCACGUUUUCCCCGUAUGCAAAUGUGGAGGUUAUGGAGAUCUGCACAGCAAAUGAUUGUGUCUAUAACUUUCAAGGAAUGAACAAUAAGCCCAAAUUUUCUUCAGCCCGAAUUGGCCAGACCAUGACUGAAUUAAACAAUGCACGGAGGAAGAAACUCACUUCUUCAAGAUUUGCAGCGUCUUCAACGUCAUCCACGGUGACGGAGCUAGCACCAAAGCACAGGAGAGACUCGGAGAGCAGUUCCUGGAUGCCGUUUUUUUUUUUUGUCAGGGGAAACACUUGUAGAGGCUAGAAACUGCUCACAUUAAAAAGAGCAACAUUGCAAUAGGUAAAAGCAUGGAAUGGAAGGGCCGGGUACUGACAGCAUCCUCCUUGCGGCAGCGAAUGCGGACGGAGAGGUAAGGCGAGGACAAGUCGUAGCCGCCGCCGCCGCCGGAGCUGGAGCUGGGGGGCGCCUCGUCGUCCACACUAACCGCGCGGGAGCCCAUGCCCCGCCAGGAGUCUCCGCCCGCUGCCGCCCUCGAGGCCGUGGAGCCCUCUCCGACGCGGAAGGGGCGAGCGGAGAGCAUCAGGAGAAGGGGCGCGACACCUCCGCCGCUGACGGUGUAAGGGGAGCAUCGCGGCGAGGAGAGCAGGAGGCGGCGGAGAGGAGCGCGGCCGACGGCGCGCACCAGCGGCAGCAUAGAUCUCUCGGCCAGCCGGCGGCUGCGCCGUCCGCGCAGCACCUUGCGCCGGAACGAACGGUUUCAGUCUUUCAGUACGGACCGUGGAGCUCUGGAGCUCGAAUUUGUUUGUAAAUGCAAUGCAACCUGUGGUUUCAGUGACUACAGUACAAGUGUACAACCAGCGUCUGUUCCAUUCAUUUUUGCAGGGCUGUUUGCAGCGUUUUCGGAUCGAAAACCUCUUCCCCAGUCUCGUUCUUGCGAUGCUCCUAUGCAAUAAGCUAGGCAGCUUCGAUCAUGCACAAUCGAGGAAUGAAUGCAAUGUCGCGAGCACAAACGGAGUUUCUAAGAGCAAGGUACAACCAACUGCUGGCUAUAAACAUGUUGUCAGUGUGGUCUAUAUAGCUUAUAACUAGUCUAACAUUCAGCAUGUCUAAUAAUUAGCUAUAAACAUGAGUACUCCCUCCUAUCCAUAAUAAGUGUCUCAAAUUUUGUAUACUAACUGCUCCAGUACUUUCUCCGAUCCAAAAGUUAAUCUACUAAUAUACUCUCUCCAUUUCAUAAAGAAUGGCGUCCACGCUUUUCGAGGUCGAACUUUGACCAACGAUUAGAUCAAUUGUAUGUAGAUUAUAUGUUACAAAUUUUAUAUCGUUGGAAAGGUUUUGGAAAUACGAAUCCAAUGAUAUAAUUUUUGUAACACAUAAGUCUCAAAUUAUUAGUCUAAUUAUUGGUCAAAGCAAAAUCUUGAAAUGCGUGCGUACCAUUCUUUGUGAAAUGGAGGGAAUAUAUUUUUUGUUAAAUAAAAUUGAUAUCAUUGUAUUUGUAUUCAAAAGUACUUGUUUAUGGUCAUGAUUUGUAUCAGAUAAGUCACAGGUUGAUACAGUAACCCUUGGUCAAAGGGUCGGUCAAAAAAAUACGCCAUUCCGACAAAUUUGUUAAAUAACUACAGCUGUAUGUGCUUGGUAAUGUGCCAAGUGCCAACCACCAUCUCUCUCAUUUUUAAUUCUUCCACCUCCAAUGAGCUAAGUGCAUGAAGAAAGUGUAACAAGAGAGAAAUAUUUUUUUCUUAGUCUAAAGUGCUUUGAAAAGUGAGAAGUAUAUUUUUUUUGGACAAAUCUUAAAACUUAUUUGUGGAUGGAGGGAAUACUUUAGAUACAACAUUAAUUAAUAGACAAUGCAUUAAAAGAUGCUUAAGUAAAACACAUUGAGAGGGGUGUAUCAAUAUGCAUAUUUAAUGUGGUUAGUACGUAUCUAUCUUAACCCUCCAUUCCUUAAAAGAUGUCAUAUUAGCUCUUAACCCUCCAUUCCUUAAAAGAUGGCAUAUUAGCUUAAGGCAAGAUUUUGACCACAGAUUACUAUGUCAAUGCGUGGUUUAUAUGACAUGAAAUUAGUAUCGCUAGAUUCGUUAUCAAAAAUACUUCAUACUACUUGUGGUUUCAUGUCAUAUAAACCACACUUCAUCACAUUAAUUUGUAGUCAAAACUUUGUCUCAAUAAAAGCUAAUUUGACAUUUUUUAAGGAACUGAGGGAGUAUACAUUUAGACUUCCAAAGGCUAAUUAAUCAUUAUGCUCUUAUUUUUCCUAUGCAAAUAAUGUUAAUGGUAACAUCCUAUUGGAUGAAGGAAUGUUGUACCAAGUAGUAGAAAUUAGGGAAAAACUGAAUAUCUCAUGCAAUUAAUUGCAUGUGAAUAUGAAAAUGAAUGCCAAGUGGUAUUUUAGAAAGAAAGAAACAGAGCGCGUCACGUUUACACUGCAUGAAUUUUCAUGCAACCUCUUCGGUAACCGUGGAGUACAUGCAGCUUCUCACUGGUACCAAAAGUCCAAAACAGACACACGGCGACAUCGGAGCUCCGACGAUAUUCCAUCCGGCAUUUCCCUUUUCCAAUCCAAUUCUCUCCCCUGAGAGAUUCCAUUGGUCGUUUCCUCCCUAGGUGGCCAGGCUAGGCCGCCAGAAGCAUCUCCCUGAAUGGACGAACCAUAACUAGCUCGGCCUAGGAGUCAGCUGGUGCCAGCCGUUUAACCGCGGCGCGGAGACUGGGCCCUCCUCGUUCAAGCCUAGCGGUUGGAGAACCUGCGCGUCCCGGGUUGACGAAACGCGUGUCCGGCAGAGGCUAGUGUCUGGUGGGAUCCCUCGCUCCAGCAUGCAGCUGCAACACAGCGUCACAGCCCCAGUCAACUUGGCGGAGGGUCAAAACAACGACCGGACCAGCGUCUACACGGUUCUUCGCUCUUCCACUCCGCCAAGCUGACGCAGUGCCCAUGAGUGACUCGAGAAGAGAUGGUCAAACUGGCAGAGAGGCAGAACCGGACGACGUCCGUUGCUGAUUUUUCAACGGCCGUCUGCAGGCCCGUGCAGUCGUCACCCGUAAUUAACACGAGCUAGCUUCUUCUGGUUUUUGAAAUCGUCACAGUAACAACUUAACACGAUCUGGUUGAACGCGGAAGGGAAAAUGGAAAGACUGCGUAAAGACUCAUGCCGUUCUGUUCUAAAAUGUAAAAUUUCCUCGCAAACAAAGAGAAAGUAAAAUUGCUGUCGAUGAAACCGUUGGAUCAUCUGUUUUUUUCUUUCACCGGUCAUUUAUUCUUCUCAACAGUCAUCCAGUCUCCAGACACCACUUCCGCACCGUCGCCGGCUUCGACUCGUCUCCAACGGGCCUCUGGCGCGUGCAGAAAGCCAGAAACCCCUGACUCUGCCAUGGUCUUCGCCUUCCGCUGCGCUUUAAACAGGAGACUGGAGUAAACGGUAGCAGUUACAGCAUCCGCAGCAACAGAGCUGCCGGGUUAAAAUCAGCUCAGGGUUUAAUAUUAGACAGACAUCACGCAAGAAUCACGCUGCAUGCGCGGCAGCAUCAAUUACAUCGAAGGAUGGAACCAGGUACCUUUGAUUAGCCAGUUUUACACUUCUACUCAGUUUAACCAGUCAAUUUUAUGGUUUUAAACCAACGAAGAACCAGGUAUACUUCACAAGAUAACACAAUUAAGUCAAAUAAAUAAGACACGAUCAUCAAGAAACGCUAACUUUGUCCCCAUUUUUGCUAUAUUGAAUGACCUAUGUACAGGCUUUUCACCGCAUGUACAUCCCUGCAGGCCAUGGUAUCAAGCGGUGAUUCGUCAAGUACUGCAGGAGGGAGCUGGUGCCACAGAUUUGAUCUAGCCUUGAGUUCUCAGAGCGUACAUCAGUUCCUGGGGGUGUUAGGAAAAGGAUACAGAUCAUCAGAAAGCAGCAUUAGUGAAACAAGCAGUUAGACAGCCAUUUAGAGAGAGAAUUACCAGGUCCCCCUGACGAGAGGCAAACGCAGGGUAUAGUUCUGCAAGUGAUUCCUCUUCCUUCAAUCUUUCUAAGCCAUUGAACAGAUCCAGCUUUUCCUCGGCUGCAUCGGUGUCUUUCAUUGCAAAGCAUUUGUUUCCGGGGUUCUUCCUAAUGUAUAUCUCAACUUCUUUGGCUUGCCGUGACAACUGAAGAGCAACAAACUGAAAAUAUGCAGAAGCGUACUCUUUGCUUAAUAAUUUGGAUCCAUGUCAACAGAAACUGCAUUAAAAAAAGAAAGCAUGUAGAAGCAAGUGACAAGUGAUCACCUGGCAUAGAUGGCUAACAGAGAAUGUAGAAUGACAACUGAGAUAGGGCUUCUCCAAUUUAGGCAUAUUUUGUCCAUCAAGUGGACUUAGAACAAGAUACAACUGCACAAAAGAGACACAAAAAGAUCAGCAGAUCUAAUAGAUACAAGUCAUGGAUUUCUUGUACAAGAUUUAACUUAGCGGAGAGUAGCAUGUAUGUGCUUGUGUUGAUGUGUGUAUUGCCUAUGCGACACUAAAAAACACAGAGGAACACGUACAACAAGCUGAACAGAGGGAUGGAUGCAUCAGAUGUGCAAAAAACCAGAAAGGCAAAAAUGCCAUCAGAGGCUAUUCCCCGUUGCUUUUAGUCUGUUUAUAGUACUCUCCCUCUAUUCCCUAAAAGAGUGCAUGUUAGUUUUGUCCUAAGUAACUUUUUAAAGUUUGACUUGUUUAUUGAUAUAAAUAUCAACAUCUACAAUAUACCAAAUAAAUACACUAUGAAACAUAUUUCAUGGUAGCUUUAGAUGUUAAUAUUUUAUCUAUAAACUUGGCUAGCUAAAGUUAGAAAAUGUUUGACAAAGGAAACUGAUAUACUAUCCAGAAUGGAGGGAGUAUUAUGAAAUCCCCAAAGCAUAAGUAGGAAACAGUAACUGUAGUUUCUUUGGAGAGGAACAAAAAAAAUUAAACUAUUUGCAUCCCAUGGUCUGUUUUUACCUUACUAUCAGAUUCAUCGGCAUUACGGAGAUGGUCCACCAUCUUGGCAACACGCCCACUCUUUACCAUUCUUCCACUGGAACCGCCAGAAUUGCCAUGUCUACUAGUUUGACUGCGGGUGCCAUUUUUGCCCCAGGCAGGCAUCUCUCCCCUUAGUGGAGAAGUAGUCAAGAUAUCUCUGACACCUCCCAGAUCAUCGUUACCCUCAUAGGUACCAUCGAUACUGCCAAUAGUCUUCGAAGGGGAUGGGCGUGGCACAGGCCACCUCCGAGCUCUUUUUACCUUUACAUCUGGAGAACGAUCAUCGACAGAAGACGACUCUUUGCUGCCAUCAUUGCCAUUUUCUUCUUUAUCCUCGUCAUCAAUAUCAGAUGUGACAAUAUCAGGUGAACUAGUUCGUCCUCUCCUCUUUGCCCGCAGAUUCCCCCGAGUCUUUCUUGAAGAAGCAAUUGCUUUUGCAGUGGAACGCUUCUUCACAAGUGCUUCCGUUUGUCGUCGAAACGUUUCGGCAAUGGAUUCUUGAAUCUUCCAUGAGGAAUGAAACAAAUGUCAAUAACAAAAAGAACCCAAAUAAGAAAUGGCCAGGGCAAAUAAUUUAUCUCCAUGCGUAAAUGCAUCAAUGCUUGGCAUCCAAAUAAACCCACCUUUUUGUUGCGAGUCUUCUCCUCUUCACCAAAAGCGAGUUCCUGUCAAUGUCAAGGCUAAUUAGAGUCACUAGCAUAGGUACUACAAAAAAACUAGUAAAAAAGAGUUACAUGAACUAAGUGUAACAACUGGAGUACUUAUGCAUCACCUCUUCCUCAUACUUGUCAAUAUCUGGAUAUAAAGCCAAAAUUAAAGCAUCAAAAUUAGGAUCAUCCCUCAAGGAACGUCUGCUCUUGCAAUGAGUGCGGCAUGCUGGGCAUUCAUUAUUUCUGCAAAAAGCACUGCAUCACUUAUAUUGUCAUUGAAAUAAAGUACUAUGUUGUUGGAUUUUUCAAACCCCAACCAGGUUGGAACUCCACCAUUUUUAAAAAUACGACAAUGAGAGAAGACAAUUAAGACAAAUAAAACAAGAGUCAUACCCAAGCCGCAUUGACUUAUCUAUGCAAUCCCUACAAAACCGGUGCAAACACUCCAUAACAGUUCUUGUUUUCCGGAUAAUGCCUGCAACAUAGGACCAUAAGACAAGAAAAUUGUAAGAUAUGACAGUUUGCACGACAAUGCUACUUAGUUUCACAUACUAAAAGCUUAUUCAACCUAGCUUCUAAUAUGUGCAAAGCUAGUUGCACUUGUACAAACUUCUGUGUGUGAGGAUCAUAAGCUUUGCUGUGUGACUUUUUUAAACGAAAACGAGGCACAUAUUCCCUAGACACCUUAUUAAUCUGAGAACAGUACGAGUAUGCAUACUUGCAUAAUAGAAACAUGUGGACCUUGAAUUUGCUAGUUUCAACAUUUUUAGUGAAUAGUACUCCAUCUGUCCGGAAAUAAGUGACUUGGAUUUGUAUAGAUUCUUAUACAAAUCCAAGUCACUUAUUUCCAGACGGAGGGAGUAGUAAAAACCUGAGAUCUAUAGAAUAACAUCAUCCAAUUGUAAUUACAAGUAACACUACCAUGACAGAAAUUGCGCAAAGCAAAAAAGAAUUCACAUCUAUGAACCUGGAAGCGAGUUGGCAAUGGAAAGGCAUAUCCUUACCUAAGCAUAUAGGGCACUGCACUUCCUUCCGUAUGUCCAUUAGUUUCACUACUAUAAACCUGCAUGAGAAAACAAUAUUGUUUAUCUACCAGUUUCAGGCUUCAACACCAAAAUCAAAUAUUCCAGUAUCCAUAGGCACAUCAAUUACUGAGAACAAUAACUGAGAAUGUAUUCCAUAAUAGGAUUACAGGAAACAGCAGGAAAAAUGGAACUAUUGGCACCUGAGCAGUAAUUGAACAUUGGAAACUCAAAUUUGACAAGUGGAAGCAGAGCCGAUUGGAUUCAAUUAACCAGCUGACGGUUCUAAGCAGUACCAAAGAAGUCCAAAAGAUACACAAUAGGAGGUCUACGAAGACUGCACCUAUGUAAUUAUCUGUAUCAAAUGUAACAAGGUAUGUGUGCCGAAAUCUGACAACAGAGUUUAUGUAAUGAACAAAUUGUUUUCCUACUACGAAAAUGCACUGACCCCCAACAGUAACACGAUGAGGAGAGUUGCAACUAGAAGCUAGUAUUAACUACAGUGACACAUGUAGACAAUAGAGAAGCUCUCGCAAAAAAAGAAAAAAGACACAAAAGAACUCUGAUCUACAAUGUUCGAUUCCUGAAUUUCAGUUGCGAGGACAUAUUCAUAAACACAGCUGUGAGUUUCAGCACUGAGGAAAGAUUCUUGAAGACAGCUGAUGGAAGGCAUAAUCAUAAGCUAUCACAAGAAUAAGAAAUUCAUGUGCACUAAACUGAGUUAAGACACCUAAACAGGGUAAGAACUAUCGCAAUCAUGGAGGUCAGGAUAGCAACAGUAGAACCAGAGAGCAGAUAUUCAGAGCACGACAGCACAAUUCAUGACCAAGAAAUUCGCAGUCUCUUCCAAUGCACUACAGGGAACACGAAGAAGAGGUCCCAGUACAGAAGAAGGUGACACCUGCUACGAAACUGAUAACCCACUGGGAGAUCUUAUAUGGGAUGGAUGAGCUUGAAUGAUGUUUGCCACUAGAGCAUGGCGUCUCCACAGAACCAUUCAACAUGAUGAACAGGUUGUAGGGCGGCCAUGCUGGCCUGGCCAGGGAGCUCACACGGGCGAGUAAGCAUAAGCAUAGUAAGAUUAUUGCGAUCCAGCAGGUCAGGCUAGCAGCGACGAGCCAGGACGGAAGUGUUGGCCGUGGCUGCACAAGAAUCAGGAGGAAGAAAAACAGUGAACAGAUGAGCCACGACGAAUAGAACUGCCAAUUCAGAUGUGGCUGGCGGUUCCAGCGUAACAGCUUCAGCGUGCGGCGAUCCAUCCUGGACGACGCCGCAGGCAUUUGCCGUCACGAGCACUGCGCCUCCGGGGAGCCGUAUGACGGAAGCAUGCAUGCUACAGAAGAUCCCAUCCCGUGCCUCGGCGGUGACGGGAGGGCUGGCGCCGGCGCGGCACGAACGAAGCGGCCAGCACCUGUGCCGCCGGCUCCCACCGCCUAACAAGAAGGACUCGAGGGGGCCCGCCGCCGCCGCCGCCACGACAAAACCCAAGCCAGCAUACGGGGCACGACGCCACGAAGAUCCCUUGCCUCAGAGGCUGCAGGAGAGUUCGAGUCGUCGAGGUAAGACGAAGCGGCCGCCGGCCAGGCCAGACUCCUCCCGACGGUGGCCUCCGGACCUCGGUACCACCCCGAGAAAACCGAAGCUGCCGUAGUACGGGGACGCGGCGCGACGAAGACGGCAAAUCACAACGGAGGGCAGAGGAGGCGGAGGAGAAGGAGAUGGUAAGGGGUGGAGGAGGGAGGAGAGUCGUUCACGGGUCCACUUACUCGUCCAUGUCGCCUUCGCUCUCCGACGACUCGCUGUCGUCGUCGUCGCGUUCUUCGUCGUCGACCCCGCCGCCGACGCCGCCUUCCACCUGCUGCAGCGCCUCCUCCGCCGCAUCGGAAUCUGCCAAGCCCAUCAGACACGCAAGCCGGUUAGCGACCCCAACGCAGGAACAGCGAACGCGAUGCGUAGCGCACGCGUACGCAUCGCGCGAAGGAAAAGAGAGGAGAGGCUGCGUCGGCGUCGGGAGGGACGUCGUGGAAGAGCUCACCACCGUCGCGGCGCUCCUUGGCCAGCUCCGCGGGGCCGGCUCCGUUGGCGGCCACCACCUUCGGGGAGCGCGCUCCGCCUCCGCCUCCGCCGCCGCCGGCCUCGGUGCCAGAAACAGCGGCGCCGUGAGCUUCCUCCUCGACGUGGUUGCCGUCCUGGUCGCCGCCAGCGGACGGCGGGAGCGGGCGCUUCUGCGCAGGCAUUCCGGCCCACCCCGCGCUGCGCUCGUCUCGGAGGAGAGGGGCGAGUGAGAAGGAGGAGGGGGAGGUGGGUGGAAGAAGCGGCUCGAGUCGAGGAGGAGAGGGGGAAGGCGAGGCGGAGAGCGAGAGGAAAAGAAAGGCAAGGCAAGGCAAAGGCAAAGGCAGGCAGGGGACGGGUGCCCCUCUGCUAUGUAGUACUCCUGUGUCGCGUGUAACUUUGGGUUGGUGCCUGCCGCUGCGUCGACCCGGCCCGGCGUGGGAUGGCUUCGUUGGCUCGCGUCUGCCGUGACCGCGAGGCGCGGCGCAUGCAGGGGCGCCCGGCCGCCGCCAAACCCGCGCGCGGCUACUCUGCGGUUUCCCAAUCUUUCCAGCCGUUGGAUAUUCGAUGGGAGAGUUCUCGUCCCCUCGAGCAAAAUCCGAAGCCGCUGGCGAAUAGUGUUCAGGGGGUGGUGAUCGCUACGGGCAAAAAUUAACUCCAGUCGAGUUGUUCCGAGGCAAAAUAGACCGGCAGAAAAGAAAUGCUCGUCGCCGUCUCGGAGCCGGUAAGUGUCGUCGGUGAAUUUCUUAGGUCAACGGGAACCACAGCCCCUGCAUCUGCUAAAACAGAUCGUCCCAUCGCAGACUCGAUUUUCAAAAGGCUUGUCAAUCAUGGUAGAGUUCUCACUGCGGCGUUAAUUAAGUGCUUUGGAGGUAUUAAGUGGAUCUAGCAUGCAUGAAUAUUUCUCAUAAAGUUUUCAUAAGAUAUGUGUGUGUUGCGAAAGAAAUGUCAUCGAGUAAGAUUUGAGAACAAUUUGGUACUGUAUACAAGAUAGGUAAAAAAAGUUGGUAACCUGUGUGUGAAAUUUAAUUAGGUUGGGGUGGCGUGUGUGAUACGACAAUGUGCGCAAAAAACGCGUGAUUAUUUAGUCUAAAGUUAAUACCUGCAAAUAGCGCCGAACAAGCGGGCCUCGACAAAACGUGGCACAUGAGGUUACCGUCUGUAUCGACAGUCCGUCACGCGUAUAUGUGGCCGGCAUACCCGCAUUGCUCUUACUUUAACCACCAACAUUGAUAUUUCCUUAACAGCUUUUUUCGUUGUUAUGAUUUCAGUUUCCACUUUUGAAGGUCUUUGGAAAAAAUGAAUGUGAUUGCUAAUGUGAUUCUUGUUUUGUUGCAUCGGCUCCACGUUUCCCUAUUUGUGUUUAGUACGUCCAUCGCUAUUCACUCUGUUUCAAGAUAUUUGGUGAUCGGAGACUCGAUUUUCACAAUAGGUGUCGAUCAUUGUAGUGUUUUCAUUGGGGCCUUAUUAAGUGCUUCGAAGAUAUCAAGCGGAUCUAGCAUGCAUGGAUAACUUUCAUUAAUUUUCCAUAAGAUUUGUAAGUUGCUAAAGAAAUGUCGUCAAGUAAAAAGUAAAAAGUGAGGACAGUUUAGCACACAAUAUAUCUUCGAAAUUUGGUAAAUCUGCUUGUGCCCUUUUUCCUCCUGCCUUUUUUUAUUAUUUUCCUUGUGUUUCUUUAUGUAUUAUUGGGGUCAAUCUCGUAUCGAUCCUCUUGGCAAUAAAUAACGGGUUGUGUUGCUCCGUAAAAAAUGGUAACCUGUGUAUGAAUCUUAAUUUGGUUGCUGGAUGGCGUGUGUGAUACAACUUUGUGAGCAAAAACGGUUGGUUGGUAAAAAAUAAUUCCUAGAAAUAGGGCCGAAAGAGCCGGCCUCGACAAACGUGGCACAUGAGGUUAUCGUCUAUAUCGACCAUCCAUCACGCGUAUAUGUGGCCGGCAUACCCGCAUCGCUCUUUCUUUAACCGCCAACAUUGCUAUUUCCUUAACAUCUUUUGUCGUUGUUAUGAUUUCAGUUUCCACUUUGAAGGUCUUCGAAAAAGAUGAAUGUGAUUGCUAUUGCCAGGAAGAAUGUGAUUCCUUUUUUGUUGCAUCGGCUGCACGUUUCCCUAGUUGUGUUUAGUACGUCCGUCGCUAUUUACUCCGUUUCAAGAUAUUUGGUGAUCGGAGACUCGAUUUUCACAAUAGUUGUCGAUCAUUGUAGUGUUUUCAUUUGGGCCUUAUUAAGUGCUUCGAAGAUAUCAAGUGGAUCUAGCAUGCAUGGAUAUUUUUCAUUAAAUUUACAUAAGAUUUGUAAGUUGCUAAAGAAAUGUCGUCAAGUAAAAAGCGAGGACAUUUUAGUACACAAUAUAUCUACGGUUUUUGGUAAAUAUGCUCAUGCCCUUUUUCUUCCUACCUUUUUUUUUAUUAUUUUUACUGUGUUUCUUUACAUAUUCUCGGGGUCAAUCUCGUAUCAAUCCUCUUGGCACUAAAUAACGGGUUGUGUUGUUUCCGUAAAAAAAAAUGGUAACCUGCAUAUGAACCUUAAUUAGGAUGCUGGAUUGCGUGUGUGAUACAACUUUGUGAGCAAAAAAGGUUGAUUGGUCAAAAUUAAUUCCUAGAAAUAGGGCCGAAAGAGCCGGACUCGACAAAACGUGGCACAUGAGGCUGUCACCUUCUAUAUCGAUGGUCCAUCACGUGUAUGUGUUGUCUGCAUACCCGAAUCGCCCUUUCUGUAACCACUUUUGUCACCGUUUAAAAUCUUUGGACUUUGUUGUCAUUUUCUUUUGAGUUAUGUUUCCACUUUUGGAGGUCUUCGAGAAAAAUGAAUUCUAUUUUUUGGCAUCUAAGGCAUGAAUACUCUCCUCAAUGAAAAUGCCAAAUUCAAAAUCUCACCAAGCCCGGGCACGUUAAGCCCCGUGGGCCCACCGAAGCCCGCCACAACACAUGGGCCAGAUCAGUGAAAAAAUGGAAAAAAAAGUUGGGUGGGCCAGAUUAGAGAAAAAAAUGGAAAAAAAAGGUUGAGAUGGAACAAACAAGAAGGGAUGGGCUAAAAGAAAAAAAAUGGUGGGUUGGGCCAGAAUUAAGAAGGUUAAUGAACUAAUGUUUUAAUCCCGAGAAAAAAAUAUAAACGGUCUGAGGACGAAGCGCAGGCGGGCCGGCCCGGCCCGAUUAGUUCGGGCCUGGCACACUCGGGCCUAGCUCGCUGGGCUUUCGAUCUUUUGAAAAAAGCACAGCCCGAUGGCAUCUAUACCCCAACCCCGUCGCCCUCGAGCGAGCGCCGCCACCCUUCCUCCCCAUCCCGCUGCCGAGAGCCCCAACCCCCUCGCUCCGUCGCGAGUAUUCCUCCUCGCGCGAGCGCCUCCACCGCCGGUAUCUAUCUCCCCUUCGAUUCUCUCGCUCCCGACCGUUUCUCCUCCCAUCACCCCACGAACUGAUCCCGCCCUUUGGCUCCCCAUUUCAGCUCCUUCAUCUUCCCCAAUUCGUAACCGAGGCAAAAAUCAAGGUAGGGCGGCCGCCCUACCUUGUCCUACCGGGUCCUCCGCCCUUGGUGGUGGCAGCAGUAGCCCAGCCGCCGGUCGCCACCAUGUGCGGUAUCCUCGCUGUCCUCGGCGUCGCUGACGUCUCCCUCGCCAAGCGUUCCCGCAUCAUCGAGCUCUCCCGCCGGUAAUACGCCCGGCCGUCUCAUCCCCUACUGUUUCCGUUUGUCCCUGAAUUGCUAGAAAUUUGGUGGUGCAUUUGUGUGGUUGGGAAUCGUCGUCCUGCCGACAUGUACAUGUGGGACAACUCUGAUGAUGUCGAGCUCGCUUUAUGUUAACUACUCUUAGUUAUUUUACCUACAGUGUGAAGCUAUUCUUGAGGAUUUUGGAAAUUGAGUAUAAUGUACAGUAUGUCGGCGUAGAUUUGGCGAAGUACAGAACAUUGAAGUGUUCAUUUGGAAAGUAUGGACAGUUUUAUUGAAGUGUUCAUUUGGAAAGUAUCGGCAGUUUUUUUAAUCUGAGGAGAUGUUCCUCUUGCAUGCUGAUAAAAUUUCAAACUAUUUACUUCAAAUUGCUUAAAAUGUAGUUUCUGUAGUGAUGCGUCCAUUUUAUUGGAUCUUGCGUUUGUGGUGACAAGCAUGGAUUUUUGUAUUGGUAUGGUGUGCUGUAAUUUGACUCAAUCUGUCAAGGCAUGGGAAGUUAAUGCCUGUGAAUGUGCAUGUUGUCCUUGGCGUGUGACAAUACGCCAGAACGAUGUUUGGGAUGUUAAGAAUUAUGGUAAAAGGCAGUUUACACACAAGCUGUGGAAAAUUUCACUUCUGUGUGUAAAAAAAAAUCUUUUACGGUUAUGCUCGGAGAGUAUGAUUUCAAAUGUUGGCAAGGCAUAAUUUGCUACGUCAUCCUGUUCGCCUUUUCCAUCUUUAGAUUAGAGCGAUUUAAAUAAAGUAGUGUUACAUUAAAUUUGGAAUUAGAUCCAGAUGCAGAUGUUCUGUACUGUAGUGACUAAAAUUUAUGUGCGCCAUUUGCUAGUUAAUUUUUUUGGGCAAGAUAUGGCAGUACGGCACAUUAUAUGAAUUGCUUAUGUACCACUGAAUUGAAUUUUGCCAAAAAAAAUUGUAGGUUACGGCACAGAGGCCCUGAUUGGAGUGGCAUACACACAUAUCAGGAUUGCUACCUUGCACACCAGCGGUUGGCUAUUGUUGAUCCCACAUCUGGAGACCAGCCAUUGUACAAUGAGGACAAAUCAGUUGUUGUCACUGUAUGUAUCUGGAUUUAUAAUGAAAUUUCACUGUUUUCAUACAUACUCCCUCCAUUUCACAAAGGUUGGCGUAUUUUAUUUCGUUAAGACAAGGCUUUGACCAUUAAAACUCUAUUGAUAUGUUUUUCUCAUACAUGAAAUUAAUAUCAACGGAUUCGUCUUUAAAAGUUCUUGCUAAUGAUCAUGGUAUCAUAUAACUUACAUAUUAGUAUAGUAAUUAUUGGUCAACGGCUUGUCUUAACGAAACCAAAUACGCCAACCUUUGUGAAAAGGAGGGAGUAUUGUUGUGCUCAUAGUGGCUCAUUUUUCAACCUAUAACAUAUGAUAUGUCUUACUGUUCUUCUUUUGGCAAUUCUUAUGUCUCUGUAUGAUUUUGCCAUGGGAUUUAUAUGUGUUGUCAUUGGGCUCUGCUCAUCGCAUCUUUUGGCACGACUUUAAUCAAUGGUUUGUUCUUUUUGAUAGUUUUUGUUACCUUUUGGUUGACAUUUCAGGUGAACGGAGAGAUCUAUAACCAUGAAGAACUGAAAGCUAAUCUGAAAUCUCACCAGUUCCAAACUGGUAGUGAUUGUGAAGUUAUUGCUCACUUAGUAAGUCAUCUACUAUAUGUCCAUUUUGCAAAUUCUGUUGGUGUCAUCUCGUGUAGCUUUUGCCAACACUUUUUGAUAUCUUCAUCUAAACAUCACCUUCCACUACACACAUUUGUUAACAUCUGCAUGUAUUUUUUUUCACAGUAUGAGGAAUAUGGGGAAGAAUUUGUUGACAUGUUGGAUGGCAUGUUCUCUUUUGUGCUUCUCGACACGCGUGAUAAAAGCUUUAUCGCUGCUCGUGAUGCAAUUGGCAUCUGUCCUUUAUACAUGGGCUGGGGUCUUGAUGGUAUGUAAAGAACCGGUUCUUUUAGCUAUUUGUCCUUUUGAACAAAACAAGGAAGGUUAGGUCAUAAUUUUUUUUUCCUGAUCUGGACCCUUGGCAGGGUUUGCUUGUUUAUACCACUGUUUUAGUGGUUGUUCCAUGUAUCAAGUUGUUCAAUUUGGUUACCUACGGGUGGAGAAAAACUGGUUGUGUCUAUGUUCAUUUAAGUUCAGAUUAAGAUCAAACAAAUGCCUAUUUGAUUACAGUAGAAUGGAAUAAGACCAACUAAUUUGCAGAAAAGAGCAAAAAAUCCUAUAUCUAUCAUAGCCAUAAAUCCCACAAAACAAUUUGUAGUGGUAUUCGUAAAAAUAAUAUAAAAUAUUGGAUUUGUAUCUCAUCAUCUGGACUUUGAUAACUCGAAUGUAGAAGUGUUAUCUAGGUUGCGAUAUCUUGCAGUUUGAAUGUGUGACAGGGAAUAUGUAGAUUGCCAUCCGGGAUAUACACAAGAAUUGCCAAGUUAACAGCUAAUUCAGUAUAUGGAUAGUUAUGCAAAGAUGCUGAGUUCUUCGUAUUGUCAAAAAACACGGUUGACUGUAUGUGCAAAUACAGCAAACGCAAAGUUUAAAUUGCAUGCAAAGUCAACUGGCUUAAUGCCGGCUCCCCCUGUUGCCUAUCUCUUCUUUUGUUUAAUACUGACCAGUCCACCAGGCUGAUCUUGCUGAAUCUAAUAUUUGGAAACCUGUCUCUAGGCAAUGCUGUUGCCCAACAACAAAAGAAGUGCUCAUUUUGAUAUACACAAGUAAAAAAAUUCCUUGGAAUCUGGAACAACUGCACAGUGUAGUGUCAGCACCUAUCACAGUUGUCACAAUCUUAUCGAUUUAAUUGGUUUCUACUAAGGAUUAAUUUGUAUAUUUAUUGGUUUUCAGGGUCAGUUUGGUUUUCUUCAGAGAUGAAGGCAUUGAGCGAUGAUUGCGAACGCUUCAUAUCCUUCCCCCCUGGCCACUUGUACUCGAGCAAAACAGGUUUACUUUUCUUUUUACAUUUGUGACAAAUUGGCAAUUUCAUUCUGCAUGAUACCAGAAAUGUAAAUUUUUAAACCCUGAAGGCAAUAAUGGUUUGAGCUAGUACUAUUUAUGCUGCAAGUAUCCUUUUGUUUUGCCUGCUAAUCUGUUUUCUAACAUCCGUUCUAGGUGACCUAAGGAGGUGGUACAACCCACCAUGGUUCUCAGAAAGCAUUCCCUCAACUCCUUACAAUCCUCUUCUCAUCCGAGAGAGUUUUGAGAAGGUUGUGCCUUUCCAUUUCCUCUCUGUUACAUUUUCGUACCAUGGAUAAAGUAUAUUUGAUUUGUUGAUGUAGGUUUAUCAAUAAGCCCACUCCCCUCUCCCCUGUCUCAGUUGCCCCCUCAAACCAUUUUUGGGCUAUCAUAUCUAGAGCUCCUGUCUGAUUUUUGGAGGACGAUAUCGUUUUGUAAAGUAAAAAACAUAAUUGCAGCCUGUGGUGUGAAGUAUAUGCGUGUAUAUUUUGGUUUACAAAUAUGAAAAGUUUGUGACCUGUGGAAAAGCAAGCAACAUAUGCAUGUUUUUGGCACAGGUGGCAGAUUGUCAUAUUUUUUUAACCAAAAGUUGUAUGUGUAUACUCCACCCCAGAAACUACAUGUACUCCCUCCGUCCAACCAAAGAUGUCUCAAGUUUGUCAAAAUUUGAAUGUAUCUAGACAUGAUUCAGUGUAUAGAUGCAUUCAAAUUUAAUCAAAGUUGAGACAUCCUUUGUUGGACGGAGGGAGUAUGAUUUAUUGAUUUUAGAAAUAUUAUGUAUGGUUUAUCCUUCCAUAGACUGGAUAGUGGGUUAAAAACUUAAAAUGGUCCAGAUAUGAUUUGAUGCUGAUAUGAUGUAUUGAUGCCUCUGGUUAGGCAAUGUUUGUUCGAAAUAUCCCGCUUGGUAUUUCAUGAGUAAUAGGUUAUUGCAGCACCCUGCAACCACAGUGAUGUUUCAGUGUGUCCAUUUCUAUAUUAAGAUCUUACAUACAUGACGUGUCGUUCUAAACCAUGCUGAUUGUAUGUGUAACUAAAUGGGAGUGUAAAUACAAUUUCUUAACUUCAGUGUUUUACCUAUACCAUCUACUAUAUUUUCUUAUAUAACUUACAAAUGCUGCAGGCUGUUAUUAAGAGGCUGAUGACUGAUGUGCCAUUUGGUGUUCUCUUGUCUGGUGGACUUGAUUCUUCAUUGGUGGCUUCUGUUGUUUCACGGCACUUGGCAGAAACAAAAGUUGCCAGGCAGUGGGGAAACCAACUCCAUACCUUUUGCAUUGGUUUGAAGGUACAUUUCUUAAUAUUGUGUGCUGGUGUAUCAUGUCAGGUCUUUUUUUAAAUCUAGUUGUUCUCUUGCUGUUAUGAGUAUUCUUAGCAGAAAAGAGGAAACUUUCUAUGGAGUAUCAACAGAUGACAGACAGUAUCAUUCUGCUUUGCAUUUUUGUAGGGUUCUCCUGAUCUUAAAGCUGCUAAGGAAGUUGCUGACUACCUUGGCACAGUGCACCACGAAUUACACUUCACAGUGCAGGUUCAUUAUCGGGUUUUUUUCCUUUGCAUGUAAGAAGAGACAUUUUGAAGUUCUUAUUCGUUGCUAUCAAUAAAAUACCAGGAGGGCAUUGAUGCACUGGAAGAAGUUAUUUACCAUAUUGAGACAUAUGAUGUAACGACAAUAAGAGCAAGUACCCCAAUGUUCUUAAUGUCUCGUAAAAUCAAAUCGUUGGGUGUGAAGAUGGUUCUUUCAGGAGAAGGUUCAGAUGAAAUAUUUGGUGGUUACCUUUACUUUCAUAAGGCACCAAACAAGAAGGAAUUCCACGAGGAAACAUGCCGGAAGGUAAUUAAAGAUCAGUGUUAGUACCGUUAAAUUGCGAUUGCUCUUUUUGAUUUAUAUACUACCUUUGUUCCAUAAUUCUUGUCUCAAAUUUGCCAAAAAAAUGGAUGUAUCUAUUCCUAAAAAGCAUCUAGAUACAUGUAAUAUUUCGACAAGAAUUAUGGAACGGAGGGAGUAUAUGCUAAGUUGUUCAGAUGGUGCAUGUGCACAGCAUGGCUAGCUGAUGAACUUAUGGGAGUUGUUUCGCCUGACCUUUAGAUAAAAGCUCUCCAUUUAUAUGAUUGUCUGAGAGCGAACAAAUCAACUUCUGCCUGGGGUCUUGAGGCUCGUGUUCCUUUCCUUGACAAAAACUUCAUCAAUGUAGCAAUGGAUAUUGAUCCCGAAUAUAAGAUGGUAUGUAAUUUGUUAUAACAUUGUAGUGCAUGUAAUUUCAAUCUAUCUAUGUUUCGUUUAUUCUUACCUGCAUUAUGACUUAUAAUUAUCAUUUUGAAAAUAAUAAUAGAUAAGACGUGACCUUGGCCGGAUUGAGAAAUGGGUUCUACGCAAUGCAUUUGAUGAUGAUGAGAAGCCCUAUUUACCUAAGGUUGGAGAAGUUAACUUUUGUUGUGUUCUAUUUACUCUGUUAUUUGCACAGACUUGACGAUUUAUUUUCUGCGAGCAGCAUAUUCUUUACAGGCAAAAGGAACAAUUCAGCGAUGGUGUUGGGUACAGUUGGAUUGAUGGAUUGAAGGACCAUGCUAGUGAACAUGUACACCAUCUUUUCUUUGUCAAACUAUUCAUAACUUCACAGUAUAUUAAUUCAACUUGCAAUGUUUUUACCACUUUUAUCCCCUCUUCAGAACUCAGUUUUUCUGUUCAUUGUUCAGGUGUCGGAUUCCAUGAUGAUGAAUGCUAGCUUUGUUUACCCUGAAAACACACCCACAACAAAAGAAGCUUACUAUUAUAGGACAGUAUUCGAGAAAUUCUAUCCCAAGGUCUGGAAGCUAUUUACUCUUAUCAUGAUAUUCUCAGAUGUUUCAUUUGCAUAAAAAAAAGUCAGCAUGCUCUCGAUUUGACGAACCUGUCAAUUAUGCAGAAUGCUGCUAGGUCAACUGUACCAGGAGGCCCGAGUGUGGCAUGCAGCACUGCUAAAGCUGUUGAAUGGGAUGCCGCCUGGUCCAAACACCUUGACCCCUCCGGUCGUGCUGCUCUCGGUGUGCAUGAUGCAGCUUAUGAAGAUUCUCUAGAAAAGGCUCCUGCAUCCGCAGAUCCCGUCUCAGAAAGCGUUUUCCGUCCAGCCCAUGGGGAAAGCCUAGCCAAAACCGUUGCUCCAGCCGCUGCUGUUUGAGCUCCAUGGUCCCAUAAAAUGCUUUAAAAAAAUGUUGUUUAGUUUUGUUCCAGCUUAAUCAGCAGCUUGUAGUCAGUUCCUUAAGUCAUGCAGUGUAGAAAUUGACUUGUUUUCCUUGAUGCUUGCCAUAAUGUUUCGGUUCCAUAUGCACUAAGUUCGUUUAUGGGCUGAGCAUCGCAUUGUAAAUACAUCUCAGUGAUUGAUAUUCUUCAGUUGGUUAAUUUCAAAGUUUCAUUAGACUCCUACAUUGCUUUCUUGUUUGGGUGAUAAUAUCGACAUCCGGAAUGAACAAUAUCGAGGACAUAUCCACCACUAUAAAGCCACGGUUUGUCCAUUCUAUUUUUUGUGUGCUUUCUGAGUUCAUUGUUCAGGCCGUCGCCGGGUUACCUGUGCCAACGCCGAACAAACAGGGGUGCCGAGCAUCCCUGCUGUUGGGGUUUCAGGCACAGACAUUUGGCGCGUCAUGCAGGGGAAGGAAUAGAGGGGACUAUCCCAGUUUUCUCUCAUAAAAUAUUUCAUUUUUUAUCAAUUAAAAACACUUCUCACACUAGUAUUUUAAAAAACACUAGUGUUUUGAAAUGAAAGGUUUUUUUUUAGUAUUGGGUGAAUACCCAAUCCCCUCAUAUAUCAAUACACUAAUCACUAAAAAAAUACACUAGUGACAAACGAGACCUUUGUUAUUUUUUAUGUUUUUGGUGGUAGCUGAUGCAACACAUUGUGUUACCUUAUAUUGAUAAGGAUGGUUCGAUCUUCUCGGAGAGUAACGAGGAUAACUUGUAUGAUUCUACAAAUCUUCCGGCUGUUCACCCGUCUCCGCACAAUGAACUUGCAACCCAAUGGAAAUUCGCAACACCACACACUUGCGCAGUAGUCUGCCGAUCACAAGCGGUUUCACAAUCUUCCAAUUCCUAGCGGAACGACAGAUUACGCUCGAACUUUCAGUAUAUAAAACACCCCAUCGAAACGAAUAUGGUGUAGGUAGAAUUCCUGAUCGAAACAAAGAGGAAUUAUAUACUUUCAGAUGAAUGCUUGGAGCAAUUCAACAAAAGGUUCUGAAUAAGCUAAAAUGUGGCGAGGAGUAGCCAAAACUCAAUACAGACUCCGACUCAAACUCAAACUAGAAUUCGACUCAGACUCAAACUAGAACUAGAAUUCGACUCAGACUCAAACAUGGACUCGCAGAUUUGGGCGCUCCUUAGAUGUGUCGGACUCGUCGUAAGCUGUCCUGGUGCGCCUCAUAUUCGUACACGACUUGUGGUGCAUCCUGAGCAUAUCAUCCUUGUCAUUGGCUGCCCCUUGCACACAAGACAUUCUUCUAACUUGUAUCCUUCAUCUUCACUUUUGGUGCGUCUGCCUCCCUCUCCUUCCUCGCGCAUAUCUUGAUGUCGGAUAUCAGCGCUUAAAGAUCCGUACCCUCAUUAUCCUCCCCCUUCUUCAAAAAGCGUUGUCCUCAACGCUGAAAGGUCUUUUCCAGCGGGUGGAGUCAGAUCAGCAACAUCGCCACACUCCAUCUUCAAACCUCGCCGGUCUGCCACACCACGUCCUCCCUCUCGGCUAGCUUGGCCUGCCCUCGACGCCACUUCCGUUGUCGGCGCCACCAAUCUGAUUGAGACAUAAAGCAUCCUCCGAAUGUAAUGAAGCACACCUCGCAUAUCACCCCGAACAAACAGGACAAAUUCCUGUACGCUAAGAGUCCAAAUAAGCUGAGUACACCCGUAUGUGCAAUCUGAUUGGAAACCAAUGUCUCUUUUUCCUUUUAUUCCUUUCCUUGUUGUCCUUGUGAAGCCAGAAACUUCCCAGAAUUCAGAACUUGCAGGGGAAACUUGCCGGAACUUGCCGGGGAAACUUGCUGGAACUUGUCGGGACUUGUCGGGACGUGCCGUGAAGUUGGAUCUGAAUUUCUUGGCUACACGUGCACCCACAAAUCUCCUCUUGCCUUUUUUUUCGUAGCGCUCUGAUACCAAGAUGAUAAGGGGUGGCCCGAUCUUCUCAGAGAGCAACGAGGAUAACUUGUAUGAUUCUACAAAUCUUCCGGCUGUUCACCCGUCGCCGCACGACGAACUUGAAACCCAAUGGAAAUUCGCAACACCACACACUUGCGCAGUAGUCCGCCGACCACAAGCGGUUUCGCAAUCUUUCAAUUCCCAGCGGAACGACAGAUUACGCUCAAACUUUCAGUAUAUAAAACACCCUAUCGAAGCGAAUAUGGUGUAGGUAAAAUUCCUGAUCGAAACAAAGAGGAAUUAUAUACUUUCAGAUGAAUGAUUCAACAAAAGGUUCUAAAUAAGCUAAAACGUGGUCUCCCCUAAACCUAGGCGUACUCCUUGUUUAUAUAGACGAGAAGUAGCCAAAACUCAAUACAGACUCCAACUCAAACUCAAACUAGAAUUCGACUCAGACUCAAAUAUGGACUCACAAAUCCGGGCGCUCCUUAGACGUGUCGGACACGACUUGUGGUGCAUCCUGAGCAUAUCAUUCUCGUCGUUGGCUGCCCCUUGCACACAAGUCAUUUUUCUAACUUGUAUCCUUCAUCUUCACUUUUGAUGCGUCUGACUUCCUCUCCUCCCUCGCGCAUAUCUUGAUGUUGUUACAGUUGAGGAUCCGUGCCCUCAUCAUAUAUGCUCUUGAUCAAGUUUGAGAAGUUUGCUUCGUCUGUGAUCCAUUAUGGAGUUGUAAACUGAAACUACCUAUUAUCGUUGAAGUGACGUGACAAACAGUCCAUGCGACAAUUCAAGAUGACGGGAUCGGAUUGGGCUCGCUCUCCGUAAGCACUGGAUAUGCGAGCAUUUUUCUUGUGCCACUCUGUUAUGUGAGGCAUCUUUUUUUUUAAAACAACUCUCUCUAUGUGAGGCAUUUUGUGCUUUUUUUUUUUAGAAUAGACAGCUUGUGCUAUGUAUGGUGUUUCAGGUUGUGCGAGCCCAAUUUGCCAUAGUUGGGCCGUGGGGUUUGAUCAGGGUGCUGCUGGCACGGGCCGGGCUAAGACAUCGUUGGCGAGAGUACUUAUUUCGGAUCCAUGUACUUAUUUCAGAUCCUCUAAAAAAAUGUACUUCUUUCAGAUCCACAUGCAUGUCUUACCAAAUCUCACAAAAACCUGCAAUCGCUUACCGAAUUAUCCAUGCAUUUUAAUUCCUUGUUGGCCACCGAAUUUGAGGUGAUGUGACCAUUAGGUACAAAUAUUACAUCUUGCGGUUUUCAUCAGCUUCCAUGACCAUGCAGCGCGAGGAGGAAUCACGCAGCCGAUGAGGCCACUGCAAUGUCGCCGGCAGCACCUGGAUUCCGGAUAUCAGCUACGCGCUCUAGCGAGAUACAGUACUACUUGAUUGAGUACAUCACCUUUUGGAUUGCAGUACUGGAAUCACACUACUCGACACACGCACCGCUAAGGCCAGUGAUGAGAUUGCAUGGAAUGGAAAUGGAGCACCACUUCGUGUUAAUCCUAGUGUGUAGUCAGGCGAGAGAACCAAUUGCUCCCCGCUGAAAUACAAUGAUCCUUGUAUAGUCUUCUAGUAUGUUCGUCUUGUAGAUAUUUGCAUACAGGUAGCAUUGCAAGCAGAGCCACUUUCUGCAUGCGAACUCAUCACGCUGAUUUACCAUGGUAACGGUAGCUUUUGUGCAUAAGCAUGGCAGGAGAGAAAUCGAUAAAGAUCAGGGACGGUACUCCGGAACACAAGGCCUUUCCUAUAACAGACGCAAAAGCUCCGCACUUUCGAGCACCCACCAGGCAAGAACCGGAAAAAGAACCGCACCGAACAAACCAAACCACCAUCCAUCACCGAUCGAGGUGCCGUGCGUAUCCGCCGAAAUCUGAAACGUCAUGGGAUGGGAUGGCAGCCGCGCGCGUCCACAAGGCGCUCUCGCGUCACCGAGGAGGGCGGACACAUCCAGAAUCCACCUCACUCACGAUCGAUUUCCAUCGUGCGUCCCCACAGGCGCAGCACACGACGCCGUUGUCACAGUCUCCCUCCGGCAGUUGGCCGUAGCUCAGCUCGCCCAUCUGAUAAGUAAUUCAAUAUACUGAUAUUUUGGGCAGCGUCCACACGAUGACACGGAUUUCACCUACUACUGCUACACGGAGUACGGUCAACGAAAGUCACAAGGAGACAAAAGAAGCCGGGGGGAUCAGGAUUCAGGAGCACGACUACUACCACUCCGUGACAUGUGUAAUCCAUGGUCUUCUUCCUUCCGGAGUGAUCUCAGCUAGACACGACGCGUACGGCUAACGACCGGGAUGGAUUAAAAGCAGAUUAAUUAACCCAACGCGCGCACAGGCACACGCUGUCGCUGACUCGUGGAACGGGAAUCUGGAACGCAGACGCCCUGGCAACGACCCGAAAAGAGUAGUAGUAGCAGCGGCCGCGAAGACGAUCCGGCGAAUCUGCGAGGGUCAUGCGAUCCACGAGCGUUGCCGGACCCCGCCACGGCGCCUCCCGAAUCUCGCGUACGUAUAUCAUCAGAAAACAGACAAACCACCCGAACGGGGCAGGUCGAUCGAUCCAUCGGCAAAGCCGGGCGGGCCACUCCUUGCACGGCACCAAACCGCGUGGAGAGACGAGACGAGAGGACUUUGCUGGCCGGCCGGCUACAGUUGGGACGCUGCAGCACUAGCAGUACGCCUCUUUGCAUACGGAGACGUCUCACUGACUCCGAGGGCUGGGCAAGGAUGAGAAAUGAAAAGGUUAAAGGCGCGCGGCGCCGGCCGGGCACGUCGUAAGCUCCACGUCUCUUCCGCGGUGGGCACGGACACGGGCGGACGGGCCCCAGGCGGCGGCGGUAAUGCGGACAGCGACCACGGGGACGCGGGCACGUACGUGCGCUUUGCGACGCGGGAUGCAUGCCGCCGGGUCGCUGGGGCUCGCUGUCUCUUUCCGUCCCGGAGGAGGGGGGUCCCCCCUUCCACCUUUCUUUUCUUCGCCCACGGCUCACGCGAAUUAUUCCCCGCCGCGACCAGAUCCGCCGUAGCGUAAUCCGCCAACUAUGCCACCCAGCCGCCGGCCGGGACCCACGCUACAGCAGGAGGUGUGAUCUCCGGCUAGAAGUUGCUGUGUAGUAGUGUGUUUUAUAAAGCAAGUGUGUCGGCCGAGGUUGUUUUAGCAUCUAAUCUAAUCUGGGGGAAAAAGAGUGCGGCGACCGACCUGCGUGGUGCACGAGGGAGGGGAGCAGGCUUCUCCCGGGACAACUGUCUCUCGGUUAGCAGCCGGUGGAGACGCGAGUAAAAUUCAAGGCGGCGAGUCGACUCUACCUCUACGCGAGUGUUUAGAGAAAACCAAUUGGCCACGUCGUUCACCAUCCAUGCGAAUUUUCUUUUCCUUCGAUGCAAAAGCAGAGUAUGUACAAACAGGAUGACAUGGUUUUUAGCCGAACACAUCGAAAGGACACAAGAAAUUUUGACUGCUCCCCCAAAAGCAAGCUCUGUUAAUACUAUUCUCUCCGUUUCACAAAGGUUGGCGUAUUUUGUUUCGUUAAGACAAACUUUUGAGCAAAAAUUAAUUUAUUAAUAUGUAAAUUAUAUGAUACGAAAUCAUGAUCAUUAGCAAGUACUUUUAAAGAUGAAUCCAUUGAUAUAAAUUUCAUGUAUGAAAAAACACAUAUGAAUAGAGUUUUCAUCGGUCAAAACCUUGUCUUAACGAAACAAAAUACGUCAACCUUUGUGAAAUGGAGGGAGUAGUAUACGGAUAUUUGAUUAGAAAGUAGGGACUGGUUUUGGCAAGAAGGGAGUGGAGGAUUAUUAUGCAAAAAAAAAUCUUCUUCAUUUAACCAAGCUGAAAUUCCUUGGCCCAAUUAAUAAAUAACACUGCUAGAAUGUGACUUCAUAUCGUAUUGCACUUCUUAGUAUGGAUGAAAUAUUUUGUACUUUUGAAGCAAUCACAGGGGACGGUGAGGAUCCCCACAAUCCGACAGUGACUUUACCCAGAGGAUGUGAUAAUCGAUGAUGUAUACAAGAAUGGCGUGAGCCUGAGCCGUGAUCGAUUCUGCCCAAAUCUUCCACAAGAUGGCAAGAAUAUUGGAGGGCCAUAUCGUACGUCGGGGGAGCAGGAGGUAAGAAUACCAGAUUCUUUCAUACGGAGUAUUUGAAUUAUAUAUUUUUCACGUAGGGAGAAAUACAUGUGCGGACCAUGGUUACAACGGCCUAUUUGUCCGUGUCUGUUAGCUUCACCCAGACGUGACUUCACUAUCGGGUACCUUUCGUUUUUCUUCCCCACACGUGCAUCACGUGCAAUUAAUUAUUCUGUGGCUCUUAACUAAUCUAUCGACUAGUGACCUAGUGGCGUCUAUCGAAUAGAUUCAAUCACGGCCAUACGUACAUGUUAGCACCACCGAACAUCCUCCCUAGGACGCAUGGUUCAAGAUCCAUACGCAUGGUAACAGUAUAUGUGAGCAUGGACAGUUGGAGACAGCGUCGAUCCAGUCAUGAGUAUCAUGUUGGCUUUCUACGCAUGGUAACAGUAUAUGUGGCUCCCAUUAGAUGCGGCGGUAUUGAUCUCCAGGUUGUCCUUAAUAGUUUCCCCGCUGUGCGUACGACCUUUCUGAUGAGAUGUCUUGGUCCCGACUGUGCGUACGAGCUUUCCGAUGAGAUAUCUUAGCCUGCCGCUCUCCAUCCGUCGCCUCAGGAGGAUUGACUUCAUGCAUCUUGAGGAUAAGAUUGCAAGCAAACUUGUCACUUGGCAAGGAAAAAAUAUCACAGCGGCGGGCCGUGCCACUUUGGUCAAGUCGGUCAUCACCUCUCAAGCAAUUUAUCAUCUCACCCCGCUGAUUCUUCUCCAAGGUGUCAACACAAGCAUAGACAAAAUUAGAAGAGCUUUCCUAUGGUUAGGGACAGAUAGUGUCUGGAAGCAAAUGUAAAGUAAAUUGGAAGAUGGUGUGCAGGCCAAAGUUUUUUGGGGGCCUUGUGAUCCUUGACCUGGAAAAAUCCUCAAGGGCCUUACGCCUUCGUUGGCCUUGGCUUAAAUGGAAAGAUUCAGAUCGGGUUUGGGUUGGAACGGGAAACCCGUGCGAUGUUGCGGACAUGGACCUGUUCUAUGCCGCGACAAAAAUAACUAUCGAUGAUGGUCGCACGGCAAAAUUUUGGCAUGCUCCUUGGUUGGAUGGACAGAAGCCUAAAGAUAUCGCUCCUUUAAUUUUUGGGAUCUCCAAGAAGAGGGGCGUGACCAUUAGCAAUGUUCUUCAUGACCAGAACUGGAUCUCACAGAUUGACAUUUUCCCAAGGUCUCACUGUGCAACAUAUUCAUGAAUUUCUCUCCCUUGGAACUACACUCGCCUAGAUUCAACUUACCGAGGGAUCCCCGGAUGGCAUCGCUUGGAAAUUCUCAAAUUCUGGCGCCUACACUGCGGCAUCGGCUUACCGGAUCCAGUUCGAGGGUCUCACGCGGAGUCAAAUGAAGCCGGUGGUUUGGAAUAAUUGGGCGCCUCCGAAGUGCAAAUUUUUCGCGUGGCUCAUUAUCAACAAUAGGGUGUGGACAGCGGAUCGCCUUGAAAAAAGAGGUUGGCCCAACUGUGGGCUAUGCUCGUUGUGCAAAAGAGAGCCUGAGUCCGCCGCUCACAUGCUAUUUCGUUGUAAAUUCUCGACCCGUAUUUGGAACAUGAUCAAAGAUUGGAUGAGGUCAACGGAGAUCGAGCCAGCGACCUGGGUGCAUAUGCGGUCGGUUGAGCAGUGGUGGACAAGCAUCAUCCUUGCCCAUGGCCAUCGGAAGAAGGCCAUCGCAUCGAUGGCCAUGCUCGUCGCUGGGAGCUUUGGAAAGAAAGAAACGCGAGAGUUUUCCGAAAUGUGGCAACCAUGCUAACGAUUAUCAUGGACAAAAUCAAAAUUGAGACAACAAAUUGGACGAGUGCGGGCGCUCAUCAUUUGGGUAGCAUAAUGUCCGGAGAUUAGACUCUUCUGAUAGUGUUGCCGCUUUGCGGCUUUGUAAAUACAAAUUUCUGUAAAGCUUUCCCUUAAUUAAUAAGAUGAGGCAAAGCUUUUGUCCCGUUUUUAAAAAAAAUGUUGGCUUUAUCCACGUCAAGAGGCAGCCAAUUUAAAAUUACACUCCUCUCUGAGUGUCAUGCACUUGAUUUGGUAGAACUAUACAUAUAUCGCUGUGCGGCCAAAGAAAUAAAAUUCCAAGGUUGACACUUGACAAGACACGGCAUGGCAUCAAUAUAUCCCACGGCACGAUAAGGAAAAGUUUUAUCGAUGUGACACGGAAACGCGUGUGCCCUUGCUCUUACGUUUCAUAAAACAAGAUUAUGUAUUGCCGGCAGCCUGAAAAGAGCUUUCGAUCCUCGUACUACUAAGCUCGCAAGAUGUGAACGCCUCCCGAUCUUGCAUCAACGAUCAUUCGGUCCGACGUGGUUUAGCAGAAGUACACCGACAGUUUUCGUCCUUUGCCAGAAAAAUUCAAACACGCACUGAUACCCCUCACGGAACCCAGCACAGGGCCGAUGCUUCCACCGUGCCAGUGUUUGUACCCCGAGCACUAGUUUUCCGGAUCGGGAGCCACAAAGACAACCGGCCAGACUGCAUCUUUCUCAAGCGAGAGCGCGGAGUCUCGUGGUUUAGGCGCCUGGGCACCCGACAACGUUUACUGCCCGUCCUGAGACCCACCUGGAAUUGCGUCCUUCCGUUCCGUACCGCAUACGCACCUACGUACGGGCGGCGGUGGUAGAGUACGCGGCGUAUACGGGGUACUAGUAGUACGUGGUACGUGCACCGCCCGCCCAUCGCCCGUGGUCCUUGGCGGAGGAAAAGGAAAGGCUGGCAACGCCGCAAGCGUGCGGUGUGGGGCGGCGUCCGGUCCAGGCGCUCGUCACGCACGCACGCAGCCCAGCUCGUAUGUUAGCGAAACCGACGCGUGCCGGUCAAUCCGCGCGGGGCGCGCUAGGAGGGGCCCGGGAGAGAGCUGUCGGUCGGUCCACGCCGCGCCUCCCACCGCUUUCAACGCGUGGGGAGCGGGGAAAACGGUUGGUGGCUGCUGCCGCGCCCUCACGCCGCUCGCCAUCUUGUGAUCCAGGCAGCAGCAGCGGCAGGAGACCGCGGGCGACGCGCUCUCUCUCUCUCUCGCACUCGCACGCAGGUGGGAGCCGGCCGAUGCCGACACUUGGCGCGCGCCUCGCUUCGAAACGACCCGAUCCGGCUACCGCCUAACGUGCUGCCGUCACCUGUCCCUCUCGCCGUUUUGUUUACUUUACUUUACUUUUACGUGGUGGCUACGGGCGGGCGGCGGCUUGGCGGAUCGCGAUCCCGUGCCCGCGCGUGCGACGUCACGCAUCCAUGCCAUGCGCGCCGACGAUGCGGUUGGAGAGCGGCAGGGAGGAGGACCUGAUAAAAGUAAUCUUUAAUCUGACGACGUGAGGCGCGGGGCAGCGGACGGACGCAGCGAGGCGUGGGAUCAGGAGAAGCAGCCGCGUGUGUGUGCACGCACAGGGUGUGAUGGCCGGCAACUCGCAGCAGCGGAGCCAGCCACGUGCAUGUACGCCCCCACGCGGGCGGCGAGUUUCGGUGUACGCCGACCGACCCGGGCCGCGGCUCGGGAUGCACGGAUCGUGAUUCCGCCGCGCGCCUCCUGUCGUCCUUGACGUGGGGCCGCCCCACCCCACCAGGGAAGAGGGCCCGUGACGUGCUGCCACAACGUGCCGCCCGACGCACCGCUGGGAGGGACCCACAUGCGGCGGCUUUGAUGCCUUUUGUUUAUGCGACGGACUCGGCUCGUGUUUUUGCACUCUGGUGCCCCGUAACAUGGUCUUGUUUUGUUUUGGUCCAAAACGCUAGGCGUCUCGUUGGGGGCUAAGAAAAGCAAAGACUUGUGUUGCGUGGGAAAAGGGAACUUGUAAAAGAACAUCAUGUUUUUAAGAAAAAUUAUACUCACUCCAUCCAACAAAACAACUCAUAUACUCCUUCCGUCUCAUAUUAAGUGAUUCAAAUUAAGUGAUGCAAAAACACUCCAUCUCAUUUUUAACAAAAUUUGCCCAAAUAUGAGUGUAUCUAUGUCUAAAAAACAUCUAUAUACAUGUAUAGAAAGUCACUUAAUAUGGGCGGAGGGAGUAUUUUUCUUUUCAUUUGUUCUACAAUAUACCUCAUUUUUCUCUCAGUUCCUGCACCCUGAUAAUACUUACUCACAUCUGAUCCAUCUACUCUUAAUCCAAUAAUAGUAGCCACCCGCUAGAAAGAGAGCUUUCUUGAUACAAAUGCACAAAUCUAUAUUAAUUGUUUUGUGGAAGGGAUGAGUGCUUAAGUGGUAAUGUCAAAAUCAGGCAUGCUUAGGGAGCACUUUAGCUCGUGCAAAAAUGUAACAGCUUUCCAGGUUAUAUUACGUACAGGCACAAAGGUCUUCUCACAUAAAGAUAUCCGAUUUGGCUGGCUCUUGAAUCCAUAAUUUAGGAUGUCACCUUAAUUAUGUCAUUGAGAUUGAAAUGCAGUUAUAAUAAAAUAGACGCCGGCAUGUGGCAUAGCUAUUUCUCUUCACUUUUGUAAAACUGUUGCCCUUAAAAUUAUAGUGAAAAAAAUCAUGCAAAGAGGUAUAAUUGUACACAAAUCUUAACUAUGACUGCUAAACAAUUAAAUGAAAAGGUGUGCACUAAAAUCAUCCAUCUAUGUUCAACAUUCAUCUAGAAACUUAGAGCCACGCUCACCUCGACAAUCAAAGUUACAUAUGAGAAAAGGAGAGAUCAUUGAAAUCAUUCCAUGGUAGUAAUGCCCGGACCAGUAUCCUUUAUGCUUAGGGCAUCUCCAAUCCUUAUGCUUCCGAGAGACCAUUAGCUGGGCCCAGGCAGAAAAAAUUAAGCGUGCAAUGCUUUAGGCAUGUUUAGGAAUUCCAUCGAACUCGCUUCUAGAUAUGGCGAUCUUCUUGUGCUUUUAGAGAGGCAAUAUCUUCACCAUCUUGGUGGUCGUCCUCACUGAGAACCAGCAGGCGUCUUCGUCAACACAGUUUUCGCCCCUCACAAUAUUACACAUGCGACGACGAAGACACGAGGUGAUGUGCACCCCAUGUGAAAUGUCAUGGUUGUGGACUUGUGGCGCAAUGGAGACACGGCUUGAAGUCGUAUCUGGCGAGAUAUCGUGGUUACGACGCUAACCUCGAGGACUUUGGGGAGGAGCGAGAGGAGAGAAUUGAGUUUUUUUUGUUUCUUUAUUUCCUGUGAACGAGACAUAAGCCAACGGGUGGCCCAAAGACAGAGGUUGACCUAAAGUGUCCAACUUGUUUUCACAAGACCUUUAGAGUUUUGUGGCCGGCCUUGUUUCUACAUUGGAGCUGUUCUUAGUAAAUGCUCGAGAAAAAACGACAUGACACUAAUUGCAACAAAGUGAAAAAAAACUAUUGUUGAACUAUAACGUCAUCCAUUUAGGUUUAUCGUUGCUCUAGAUUUGGAUCUAUCGUCGCCUCAUGUGCUUUCCAAAUACAGUCGAAGAUGCAUUCGACAAAAAAAAAGUAGAAUUGCGAAUAUUUAUACCGAACAAGAAAUUUUAUUUUAUGUUGGGCAUUCUUGUAAAUUUAGAGCUAUCGUCGGCUGACGUACUGGCCAGCACAAUUGAAGAUGCAUAAGACAAAAGAAUAGACUAUGUUUGCAAUUCUCAGAAGUUAAUCCUUUGCCCUAAAAAAAUGCCCUAGAAGAAAACACCAAAUUUACGGAAAAAAGGCAACCGGGAAGAAAGAAAAAAAAUGAAAAAUACAGUCGAACCCCACUUUUAACUAACAUUUCGUGCAUGUACACUGAUCAGUUGCUUAAUUUGCCAGAAUUUACACUGAACAGAAAGAAAAUUUCCUUUUCCAUCGCCUACACCUGAGACGCCGCCCGAGCAACGCGUGGCCAAGGACAAAUCCCACUGGCGACGGUAACCGUCCGGCAGGCUGCGGAAUUUGUGCUCAUCCUGAGGGCUCCGACGAAAAAGCGGCAACUAAAUUAUGCCGCCACGCUAAAGACGAGGGGCGGCGGCGCGGACAGUCAAACCGCUCCCUGACUGCGCCGAGUUUUAUUCCUUCUUGCCGCUCCACCACUCGCUCCCCCAUUUCCACCCUUUUUAACCAGCCGCUCCCCCCUAUAAUAAGCCCCCCCCUUCCUCCUCCCUCUUCCUCCCUCCCUCCCCCGGAUCCUGCACCCCCAUCCAUACACACACAUUGAUCCAUACUCCAUCCACAACACCACCACAAAGAAAAGAAAAGGAAGCCAUGGCGCCGAGAACAUCGGACAAGACGGCGACGCCUGCUGCUGCGGCGGCGGGGACCGGACUGGCGCUCGGCGUCGGCGGCGGCGGCGCUGCCGUCGGGCCACACUACAGAGGCGUGCGGAAGCGUCCGUGGGGCCGGUACGCGGCGGAGAUCCGCGACCCGGCCAAGAAGAGCCGCGUGUGGCUCGGCACCUACGACACGGCCGAGGAGGCCGCCCGCGCCUACGACGCCGCGGCGCGGGAGUACCGCGGCAACAAGGCCAAGACCAACUUCCCCUUCCCCUCCGCCGCCGUCACCGGAGGCGGCGGCAGCAGCAACAGCAGCACCGUCGAGUCCUUGGGCGGAGACGUUCAGGAUCAGGCGCCCAUGCAGGCCAUCCCGCUUCCGCCGCCUUCCCUCGAGCUCGACCUCUUCCACCGCGCCGCCGCCGCCGCCGCCGGCCCCGGUGGCAUGCGCGGCUUCCCUUUCACCAGCUACCCUCUGUCGCAUCCCUACUACUUCUUCGGGCAGGCGGCCGCGGCCGCCGCCGCCGCGGGCUGCCACGCGCUCAAGCUGUCGCCGCCGGUGACCGUGGUGGCCACCGUGUCCCCGAGCGACUCCGGCUCCUCGUCGGUCGUGGAUCUGGCGCCGUCGCCGCCCGCCGUGUCGGCAAAGAAGGCCGUCGUCGUUUUUGAUCUCGAUCUGAACUGCCCGCCGCCGGCCGAGUCCUGAUCGAUCCCCGGAGUUUAAUUAGCUGAUUAUAACCGCUAGUCGUUCCUUCCUUCGCCUUUUUUCCCUUAGAAGAAGAAAUUCCAUGUACCUUCAUGCCUAGCCUAGGCCGCCCCUCUUGCGUAACGGAGGCAAGGGCAAUUCUGUAAAUACGAUUUUUUUUUCGCCAGAGACUUUUGUGGCUUGAGAGGAAGACCAAAGAUGUAUUGUCACCCAAGAGGCCAAGACAGGUCCUGCCGGCGUUGUUACGGACCGAAUUAUAUCGAGUUAUUACUACUUUAACAGCCUCGAGAAACUACUUGCAAUUCAAUAAUUGAACAGUUUAUUAUAUUUUUGGAUCUCUGCUCCGCUCCAAUUACUACCAGUUCUUCGUUGAAACGGAAGUGAGAUGAAUGAAUAGGGAGAAGCGUAUGAGUUGUGCUACUACUCCAGGCGCGUUUGCACCCGUCUCAUCCGGCGUCUUGCUUCCGACCCAUGCAACAUCGUCAUUAUUGGUCGGUUUGAAGAAAGUUGAGUCAUCUCCUCAUCCUGCACGGAUCAGGACUAGGCGUUCUACGUGUCGAAUUUACUGCUACUUACUUCCAUGUCGCGUUCACGAUCACCCUAAAAAAACGGUGUUACUAGUAGGAAGAAAAAAAGUAAUUUUCCUCUUCCGAAUAUUUUAACCUGGGCAGCACAAGUGGGCGCAUUGUUCCCAGAUCUACGCGUGUAAACAAGAUAAAAAUCCUCCCUCCCAGGCGCAGCCGCCGUGCCGACGGAGAAAAUUGUAUUCUACUCCUGCUUUGCCCUGGCGCAGCACUAUAUCGAACUGUCCGGUGUCAGAGAGCAAGAGAAAAUCAAUCAAUUAAUUAAAUUAACAACGGUCCGACGUGUUGGCCAUUCCAGGCUGUACGUACUAGCAGAGACGACGUAGGCGAGGCAUGUGGAUAACGAACGAGGUAGCAGCAGGAGCGUAAGCGUCAAAUGCAAUAAACAAUUAAUAAAGCGGACGGGGGGCGCGGCGGCCAGCAGUGCGGUGCGGCGCGGCGCCCACACUGGCUGGCUGUGGGUGGUGGGGCGGAUGGAUCUUUCGUUUCUCGCAGCCCCGUCGGUGUGGCCCCGUACGGCCCGGAUCGCGACCGUGCGCGGCGGGCGUGGUGGUUGGUUGUCUUUGGCUCCUUUCUUCCUUUCUUUUCCUCCGCUCGUGACCUUGGGAGUAACGUGAGCGUGUGGGCGACGGUCGCCCACACACGGGCCACGUGUGCCGCCGCUGCCGGCCACUCCCUGCCGGCCGGACCCCGGAUCCCCGCUGCGGCUCUCCACUCUGUCACACCAUCUGUGGCCAUGCUGGUGCGCUCGCUGAGUGGCGGAUUUUGGUGGUGCGUGUACGCGGGCGGAGCAGCGGGCUUUCGCGAGGAGACCUGGCGUGGUCGCGGGGGCAGGCAGGCAGGCAGACAAGCAGGGCCCCGACACGCGGGAGCGGCGGGCAUCGUCGAGCCAGCUACUACUAGCUGCAGUGAUUCGCGCAGCGGCAGUUUCUUUCGCGAUGCCCGGGCCCGCAUGGCAGGUGGUGGGGCCCGGCUGCGCGCCGGCCUGUGUGCGCGAGCGGCGCGGCGCCUGAUCUGGCCACACGUACACGCGCAGGCGAUGACAGCCGGGGGGAAAUGGGAUGGCCGCCCGCCGGUUUCGUCGCGGCUCGCUGUUCCUCGGUGGGUAUUCUAUUGCUUUCCUCGUGCGGCGGCAUUCUUUUCUUUUUUUUCCGUUUUCUCUUUUGUUUCGUUCGUAGCGUACGUGUUGGCGAGCGGCGGGGGAGUCCGGGGAAAUUUGGUUGCGCCCACAACUGGAAACCGGCGGUAUGCUACUCGUGAAUUUUCGUCGACAGUUCCGUUCGAAAGCAACGCGCGGGUCGUCUGGCGGCAAUUCGUCCCACUGCGCGGGGUGUUCCGCCUCGUACAGUACCAAAAUUUGCUUGCGUGUAAAAGGAAAUAUCUGAGUUCUCUCUUAAAAUUUGAUUUGUGGCGUCAAUUCGUCCCACUGAAUACUACGGACCGAAUGAGGCUCAUAGGGUGUGUUUGGUUGGGCGGGUUGGGGCCAACCACUUUUUUCUGGUUGGAUCCAACCACCUGAGUGUUUGGUUGUGUGGGUGGAGUGAACCCAAAUUCGUGUUUGGUUGUCUUAGUCAGACUGAAUGGGUCGGCCCAGUUUGACAUUUGGUUGUCUAGUUUUUUUUCGUGUGGCUCUUCUUCCUCCUCUGUCGUAACUCCAUUAGCCCACCUCCACCAUCAUCGCUUUAUCUCCCCUUCGAUUCUCAGACUACCGGCGGUCUUUCCUCAAAUUGAAGCCCUGGAAUUAUGCUCUAUCAUUCUACGAAUCAAUUUUGCGUUUUAUCUCCUUAAUCUUUCUUAUUUUCGGAUCAAAAUUGUUAGGUUAGCAAGUCAAUAACUUCUGGUCUUUCUUAUCCCUGCAUACAUGUCGAGGGGGAGGGGGCAGAGGGAGAACACGGAGGGAGCAGCGGAAGGGCUCGCGCUGGAGGCGACUAGAGGAAGGGUCGAAGGCGAGCAAGGGGCCUGCGCGGCUGCGCCGAAGGCGGCCGGAGGAAGGACAAGAUACGUCCAUGUCAGGAUUGAAGAGGAAGGGGGCAGAGGAAGAAGAGGGAGGGGUAGAGGAAGUCGAGCUCAGCGGCGGGAGCGCGCCGGCGGCGAGCAGCGGGUCUGCCGUCACCACGACCUCCACCAGCCGCCCCUUCUCAGGCAGCGAGGGGUCAGGAGACGGCGGAGGGGACGGCAGCGGCGGCGUCGGGGCUCGCGACGACGGCAGGCUCCUCGUGGACGGCGGCGGCGGGGGGGGCUCGCAGGAGACGGCAACGAGGUCGGAGCAGCAACUGCGUGAAGUCGAGACGAGCGAGAGAGAAGAAGACGAGCAAGAGAAAGCGCGUGAGGAAGAAGACGAACGAGAGAAAGGACACUUCGCGUGGAUGAGAAGAGGUCGCCCCACUCGUGAGCCGCGUGAGUCGACCGAUUUGGCCGGCUCACACGGACCAGCAUUUUGGGCCUUUUUUCGGUCCAAGCCGACCACGCCCCUAAGCCAAACACGAGAAAAAAAUUGUUUUGGGCCAGUUAGCACUGCGCGGGGCGGCCCGACCCUGUGAACCAAACACACCCUAAAGGAGACUGGUGAUUAUGCAUUGCACUAAUAUGUGACCUAUCAUUUGAUUUGGUUCUUCAUGCAUAUUGUGAUUGUUAGAUGGGCAUGAAAAAGUGAAAAUGGGGGGAGUUCUAACCUUUCGGUCAACAUCCAUGGCUAUCUCAUCCAUUUAUACUUGCACAAUCUCAACUUUCAGUCAUGGUGUUUCUUAUUGUUGACUUACAAAUAGUUAUCCCUCCGAUCCAUAAUAAGUUACUUAAACUUAGUAUAACUCGGUACUAACUUUGUACCAAAUUGAAGACACUUAUUAUGGAGCGUAGGGAGUAUUUUUUUAAUCGUUGGGAAAAUAGGAAGAUUGUUUUCCAAAUGAGCUCAUUCGAAACCACAUGGCACCGACCGCACACCGAAUGUAAGCACGAUAUGUACAUUUUUAUCUCGAUAUUGUUACUCGACAAGUACAUGUUGUUCAUUACCAAUGUUGUCAAUCUUUAUACUCAUUUGGCAGACGAUAAUGUUUGAAUGUCCAAGCCUGCAAGGUCGAUGAAACAUAUAAUUUGGACUUUGUUGUUGACAAAGUUUUAUCAAAUUUAUAGCAAAAGAUGUCAACAACUACAAUGCCAUAUAUCAAGACAUUAGAUCCAUCAUGAAAUAUGUUUUUGUUGUAUUGAUUUGAUUUAGUAAAGUUUCAUAUAUCUUUCGCCAUAAGCUUGAUGAAUCUUUAGAAACUUUGACGGUCAACAAUAAUAUACACAUUAUAUUUUUGGAAAGGAGAAAGUGUAUAAGAAGUGGCGCACUAUAGCUCCAUAGUUCGCUAAAGUGUGAUCAUCAAGUUAAUGGGACGUAUGGACUCAUUCCAAAUAGGUUGAGAGCAACAUAGCGCCUUCAAAACUUAAACCCUAUUUGUCCAAUAAACCGGUGCAGACCUCACAAAGACCGCCGCCUCCUUUUAAGAUACACGUAUCUCAGAUCUACAUCAUCGUUAUGCUUUGUGCUUCAUUGUCAUCUCAAAGCAAGUAACGGCACAUAGGGCUAGACUAAAAGCUCGUGGCUCGCAAGCUUAAGGAGCGCUCGGUAGCUUGACUUGUUUAGCUCGUGCUCAUUAAUUCCUUAAUACUAGCAAGCAUAACAUGCUAGCUUAGCCCAUCUGGCGAUCCCUUUUCCUAUUCCAAUUCUUGUUCGUCUCAUCACUCGUCACGAAGUCACGAGGUUCACACGGAGUUAAGAACAAAAGUAUGGUUAGAAUAUUUCAUGUUUUGUCUUAACGAGUUCCCGAGGACAGUCACGAACUUAAUGGUUUCUUAAGGAACCGAGCCGAUCAAGAUUUCCAGCUCGUUAUCUUAAAGGGCUUAACGAUUACGUGCUAAACGAUCACAAGCUUAACGAACGUGAGAUUACUGAGCCUAGCGACUUGUCAGUCCAGCCCAAUCGGCACAUCACGAUUGACAGACGUUCGACUACCAGUGACACUGACAUAUGUUUGGUCCAACCAUGGUGCUCCGUGGAACACCAGCCUGAGCAGUACUAUUGUUUAUUCUUAGAAAUGGUUCGUUUGAAAACGGUUUUGUAAGUAAAAGUGGAGCCAGACACUAGUCAUAAAAAAUAAAAAUAAAAAUCAUCAAAAUAGGCCCCUGGUUAUCUUGUCCCAUCAGAAGUCCACGGUCCACGGAUCAUGCGCACCAAGUGGAGUGCAUUUCUUUAGGAAACCGGAGUGAAGUGCAAUGCCCGACGUACAGGAUACUGCUUUGUUAUCACGUAGAGUAGCCACUAGGCCUUUAGCCCAUAAACUUUGAGUUGGGCUGCCGAUCACAAGCAGACCAUGGAAAAGGGAGGCGCACGGUCCAAAAGUUUCCCGGCUGCUGCAUCGCUUUUGCUACUCAUCUACCCCAAUCGUGCUAUGGAAAGAAAAGCAAAAUCAUCUAUCGGUGCCCCAACAGGGCGCUGGCUAUUAUUUUCUGUAGGCAAACAAUUUUGAUGAUGCAUUCCUAGUAUUGCCUACUACUAGCACGGAGUCGUAUUCGGUGCGAGGAGAAAUGGAGAAUGAUUCAAUAAUUGCAUAGAUAUACAAAUACUACCAGCAGUAUUGAGAAACAGCGAAAGUACAUAGUUUCUCGUGAUUAAAUUCAAAACAGACUAGCUGUUUGAAUUAAAAGUUUUUUUGAUAGAGUCCACACGCUCGGGUCCGGUUCCACGUACUACGACAAAGCCGCAGCUGCACAAACACCCGCACGAGCGGGCCUCUCACAUGGGCAAAUCGAUGCGCACGCUCGGUUCCUCUGCGGGCCACGCUCUCCCUGCACGGCACGCAACGCCUAACCCAGUAGCUAGCUUAGCCGCAGCAGCAGCCUGCAGCUACGCCUCCUCUACCUCCGCCUUUCGUGGUCACCUGUCUACGCGCUAGGCGUCACGACCCGUGUGAGACCGUGCCCAUCUACAAUACACCUGCUGUAGCUCCCUUACAGUAGUGCUCUAUCCCUGCUAGCCUCCUAAUCCCUAGUUCUACCCUGCUAGCCUGCUGCUGCUCGUACUACACUAUUUUCUGCGUUGAUUCCUUUGUACGGUCUCACCUUUGGUCUUCGCUUCCGUCACACGAUCGUCUGCGUCUGCAUCUGCAUGGAUCGGUGGAUCCGAGCGGUAAUAAUAAAAAGUUGCAGGGGUUGGCCGCCGCGCGCCGCAUGGUCAGAUCAUGCGGUAGUAGUACGUCCGGUGUAUAGCAGCUGCUGCACGGCAACCGCUGCUGCCUUUUUUCAGGAGACGGGCGUGAAGAACUGACGGGGGUGGGUCGUAAGCUGAUGUCAAGCCAUCAUCCUGUGAGGUCGUGCCAUGCAGUUAAUGAUCAUAGGAGCUUUUUUCCUUCGUUCCUGCUGAGCGGUUCGUACUCGUAUCCACUGGCGAAUCUCAGCCUCAUCGAAGGCCGGCAGCGCGAGUAGGUAUUUGCCUAAUCGAAAAUACUCCUACUAGAGGAGUUUAUCCACUAAUUAUCGAAGCGCCUUCCCAAAUCUAAAACGGGGACGUCCACAGGGAAGACCGGAUGAUCGACCGGGCGUGUACCAGAAAGCAGGGGGCUUCUAGCAUGAAAUCCGGUUCCGGCUGGGCGGCUGGCUGCAGUCCACCGGCCAAUAGGACUCUGCACCGCGGUCAAAAAGGCCAAAGCCGACGAGACGGUACUAGUAGUCUUUUCCGUGCCAAAAAAUUCACGAUCCAGUGUGCGCCGGGCCGACCUUGCCCCCAUCACGGUGACACCACAUCUCCCCCUGCCUCUCCCACGUGCGGCUAGCUCCGCCGCAUCUCUCUCUCCUUCUCACCCAAAUCGUCGCCGCUCCCGUCAUGGAGCCACAAUCCCCGUCCGCCUCUGCCUAGUCGACACGUCACACGUGCCGACCUGCCUAGCUAUGCAUGCUAGCUAGCGCUCGUCCGUCGGACCCAAUAUUGAUGGUGCAUAUGCGUAGUUGAUUGAUGUACUCCUAGCAGCUGCAGCUCUCUCGUGGCGAUGCCUCGACCUUUCUCUGUGUCUGCUUUUUUCGUGGUGUAGUUAAGGCGUAUGUGUUUCCCCUGUUCCUUUCUCUCGUGCGGCGCUUUGAUGGCGGUCGAUGGAUGGAUCCAUCGUGAUCGUGUCGCGAGGCUGUGAAAGAAAAAGUUGCACGGUUCGCGCGCCUGUGUGGACUGUGCUCGGUGGAGCCGGAUACGGCAAAAGCACUGAUCUUCAAGGCGAAGGAAGCAACAAGGAUCAGCCGGGGCCACGGAGCGGCGCACGGCGUUUCCUUUGGCAGCGGCGGUGGGAAGGGGCGUCAGAGAGACAGACGGACGGACGGCAUCGGGAAAGGAAAUUAUUGUUGUGGGGGGGGCACGGAUGGGGGGGGGGAACCGCAUGCACGGCCCGGACGGACCGGAAUCCCGCCGCGCAGCUAAGCUAGCGCCAGAAGUGCAUCCAGGCAGCACGGCGCGGGGCAGGCCAGGCCAAGCGUGUACGUGGGUACUGUACUGUGUGUGUACGUAAUACUCUCUCUCGUACGUGUGGUGGGCGUCACCGGACAAGACCGGUCAGGGCGUCCGUCUUUGGUAGAGCUGGUGCUACUACUACUAGGAGGUGGUAGGCACGGACGGGACGGGCGUAGAGUCUUCAAAGGGUUUGGUACUUAUCAUUCGUACACGUACUGAUACUGAAAAGCCGUAGCGUAAGGUUGCGUGUGAGAGGCAGUUGGGGGGGGCACGGUUUGGUUCAUGCUAAAUAUUGUGGUGUGCUUGUGCACGGCCGGAGAUGUUAAAACGUUUGACAUUGGCGUUUAUGGUAUCAUUCGUACUUAUGACACCCGUAGUUUGGCGAGGGAGGGAGGGAGGACAUUGCUCAACAUCUAUUAUUAUCACAUCUUAGGGGAUUAUGAUGUCGCGUGCAUUGUUUAGUGCCCAUGCUUUUAUUUUAUUUUUCUUACUUUGUAUAAACAGUCUUCUCAAGAAGAAAAUAAGCUUUUGCAUCACCCUUUAAGUCAUCUUGUAAUCUCUACUCCCAUCUCCCAUCAUCCAAUGGGAGCACUUGUAAAAAAAAAAUACUAUCUCCAUUUUUUUUUAAUCGUAUGCAUGUACAUCCAGAUUUCCAAAGCAUAAUGGAUUGUUCUACUAUUGCUUAUUGUAGAUAAAAAAGGUUUAACGCUAACACCACAUUGGGUUAGGAUUUAAGAGAGAGUAGAAAUUGGAGAAAGAUCGAAUGUGUCGUUCAAUUAACUCACCAACUAGCACCUUGUCAUCGAGCUUAUUUUGUAUUAAGAAAAAUUGCAUUUACAAGUAAAACAAAUUGGAUGGAUUAAGAUUAUACUCCUUACUUUUCACAAAGGUUGGUGCACUGAGACCAAAUACGGCACCUUUGUUUUUGAAAAGGCUUUGGAAAAAAUAAUUCUGAAAUAAGAUGUGUUUUUUCAUACUACAUGAAAUUUAUACCAAAAGAUUCGUCUUCGAAGUUCUUGCUAAAAAAAUGAGUUGCGUUGUUUUAUAAUCUGCUGUAAAAAAUAAUCCAUACAUAUAAAUGUACAAUAGUUGGUUAGCGAAUCAAAAACAGGAAACAAAACAGACCAGAAAAAGAGCAUCAGUACCAUAAUUUUUCCGAGUCUAAAUCGUCCGGUCCCUAGAGAAUCCAGUGCGAGGCAAAAUCAUGAAUUCCAAGGGUGCAUUGCGGUGAAAAACUGGCAAGCUGUUUUUCAAAUCAAGAAUUCAAGGCGGGCGAAACACAUUGAAACCUGGACGAAGUAAUUAUGGAGCGUACCAGUAGUCAUACUCCACGCAGGAGCCAUACAUCGGUAGUCAGUGUCAGCAGUGAAAACUUAACUCGACGGUGGAUACCCCAGCGAAACCAACCAUUUUCAUCUACUGUACUCGGUGUGCUGUGCCGUGCCGGUGUGCACGGAACGAUUUUGGCACGUAUUGAAUGUACGCCUCUUUCCAAGGCAGCGAGGACACGACAGGCUUGCCACUGUCUCGCCCGGCGCGGCAGCAGCCGCAGCCAGAAGGCAGGAUGGCAGUCAAGGUGGCUACGUUAGGCUAGCUCGCGCGUUCCCAAGGCGAUCGAUGGCCAUCUGCUACCGCGGCAGCAGCAGCGGACGGGGUCGCCUUGCAUGCAUGCCCGUUCCCGAAAAACGUCUCGCAAAAUGAAUGCCCCCGCCCCCUCCCCCCCACGCCGGGCCCGGCCGACCGGAGCCUUCGCUGCGCCCGAGAAACGAAUCGGGCAACCACGCCCACGCCCUUGUGUGGCUCGUACGGGCGCGCGCUCACCCCCGGGCCCCGCCGGCCUUUUGGUGCUGAGCGGCGCCGCACGCACGCGACCCCUCUGCCCACCCCAGCAACCGUAGUCCGUGCUGCCUCCUGACCCACGACACGCCAGCCGCACGGCGCACCCCGCGAAUCGUUUCCUGGCACGUGAACCCUUGUACGUACCAAUAGCCAAUAGGCUGCAGAAGGGCGCGUGUGUACGUACACGUAGCACUGGCGCGCUGCGUGACACAACGUAACGGGGCAGGGGGGGUGGUUCAGGCCUUUUUUGCCCGCCGACGCACGGCAGAGUACAGUAGUCCGUGCUGUGCUGGUUCAAUGAGAGCGGCUGCUGAAUCUGAACGGGACGGGACGGGGAAGGAUGUGGUAGGGCUGGCGUCACGGUGCGAAGGAAGAGGAGGCUGCAGCGCGGGGGGGCCGCGGGACGUCAAAUCGCGCGGCGGCUGAGGCAGCGCACGAGGCCGCGGCCUGGUCAGCGACAGCCUCAAAUACCCCAAAGCCUACGCCCACCGAGCCCCAGAAACCUACUUCUACACUGCCUCCCUAUCUCCCUCUCCCUCUAGUAGCUCACGAGGGCGCCCUGCAUAGAGAGAAACCCAUCAUCGCGCGCUCCGUAUAAGACCAACGACUCCUGCGUUAAGAGUUUUCCAUAUAUUGGCACUUGUCACCGGCAACGCAGGCAGGCAAAGGCAACAACAAGCCGUGAAGUUAGGGUGUGCGGGGGAGCUUAAUUAAGCCAGGCAAUGCAGGAGAUGAUGAGAGGCGGAGAUCAGCGGAGCCGCUGUGGCGGCGCCGGCGGUGGUCGGGGGGGAGUCGUGGCGAGCGGCGGCGGGGGAGCGGGAGCCGAGGGAGGGCGGCCGUACCGAGGGGUGAGGAAGCGGCCGUGGGGCCGGUACGCGGCGGAGAUCCGGGACCCGUGGAAGAAGACGCGGGUGUGGCUCGGCACCUACGACACCCCCGUCGACGCCGCGCUCGCCUACGACCGCGCCGCCGUCGCGCUCCGCGGCUCCAAGGCCAGGACCAACUUCGGCUCCGGCUCCGGCACCGGCCUCGGCCUCCUCCACCAGCAGCAGCAGCCUCCGCGUCCGGUGGCGCACGUUCCGGCGGCGACGACCUUCGGCGGGCUCGACGUCACCCACCCCUCUCCAUGGCAUUUCGUCUACUUCCCGUCGAGGCUUCAGGACUUCCUGACGCAGGCGCCGGGCCCGGUCGUGGCGCGGGAGUUGGUUGCGCCGUCGCUGCCGUCCACGGUGCUGGAGCUCCGUACGGGGCCGAGUGCUACUCCCACGUUCGACCUCAACGAGCCCCCGUCGAUGCUGUUCGGAUCGUGAGCAAUCUCAUCCUGCCGGUCGCGGGAUCGUAGAGUAGAGUUGUAAGGGUAGGAUCAUCAGAUCAUGGUAGAGACUAGAGAGCGGAGAAGGUGAGUGGAGAAACACUGGUCCCUAUGUACAUAUACCUAGUUAAGCAAAGUUUGGCCUUCGUGAUCCAUCUCCUUUGCUGUGUCCUGUGUCCAUCUUUUCCUCCGUUACCCCCUGGUAUACUUUGCUUUGAUCUUCUUGGGCAUCUCUAAAACGGUUUUGAUUGGAGACUGGCAAAAUGCGGAGAGAAGGGAAAUAGCGUUACUUCCGGCGUUUUGCUGCAUCUGAGUUUAUGUUUGCGCAGUCUCCAUCUAACACGGUACGUCGCAUCUGCUGCAGGGGCUCACGCUGAGCGUACACAUUCGUUUGGGUGCGCCAGGGUCUGCUGCAGGGGCUCACGCCGAGUAGUUGCUAACCGCUGCAUAAACAUUCGUUUUAUUGUUUUGCGUUCUGGUGUUUAUCGGCACAAUGAAGCUUGAACGGAAUACGCUUAUAAAGUACGAUGCCAGCAGAACGCGUUCUUGAUGCUACUUCCAUUUUUGUUUUGACAAUGUUAGUGCUUUGCUCGCAGCGCCAAAACAUAUACAUCUACCAUUGCCGAUAACACACGUAUGGGUGUAAGCUCAAACUGAUAUGGAGAACAAAAGGGUUCCUUCGGAACUUAGAUAGCAUGGUAACAAGUACUUCUCCUUCUGAUUCUAAAUUCUUCGCUCAGAUUUGCCCAAAUAUGAAUAUAUCUAUUUUUAAAACACGUUUAGAUACAUGAAAUAUUUCGUCAACAAUUUAGAAUCGAAGGGAGUAACUCCAUGGUACGUAAUAACAGUCAGGGCAUUCAUGUAUUUACACGACAUAAAACUACCUUAGUAUUAAUAAAAAGCCUGAUGCGCGCCUAAGACUACUCAUAGUGAGAGCAACUUAGGUAGUAAAAUAAGAUGCCAACUAGGCAUUUUCGUGACAUGGCAUGUUAUUAAAUGAAGAAAAGAGGAAGGUGGUAAUUAGAUAUGUUACCUAAGAUGAGUAAAUUUCACGGAACCACAGGUUUUGAGGCAGCCUUCUCACGGAGCACUGGUAGAUGCUAAUCUGUCCACAGAACCACAACUUUUGUAUCCAAUUGUCUCCGUCCACCCAAAACACGGAUUUAAUCUCGUUUGACAUUAUUUCUUACAGGUGAGGCCCACACGUCAGGCGUCACAUCUUUUUCAUGAGACCCCUUGUCUUUUUCUUUUUUUUUCCUCAUUGCUCUUCUACGGUCAGAGUUUUCUCGAACUGGCCAUGGAAAUUGACCCGAACGCUGCUGCCUUGCCACCACGCCGCCCUGUUGCCCGCCGCGCGCCCGCCCCCACCGCCGCCGCCCCGCCGCCUGCUGCCUCGCCCGCCCGCCCGCCGUGCUUCCCUGCUGCCCCGCUGCCUCGCCGCCUUGCUGCCCGCCGCACGCCCACCCCCACCGCCACCUGCCGUCUGCUGCCACGCCCGGCCACCUCACGCCCGCCCCCACCGCCGCCCGCCCCGCUGGCCUGCUAAAAAUCCUCCUCUCAACUUAUCGGUACUCUUGUUGGAUAGUUUGCCUUAGAUUCUGCAAUAAAAAAGAUUACUAUACUGCAAAAUCAUUAUUUUUUGGCACAAAAGAUGGACAGUGGGUUGGAUAAUAAAAAAAACUCCCACCGCAUAAGAAGAAGAGUGAGGAAAAAAAAGAAAAAGACAAGGGGUCUCAUGAAAAAGACGUGAUGCCUGACUUGCAGGCCCCACCUGUAAGAAAUAGUGUCAAACGAGUUUAAACCCGUGUUUUGGGUGGACCGAGACAAUUGGACACAAAAGUUGUGGUUCUGUAAACAGAUUAGCAUCUAACAGUGCUCCGUGAAAAGGCUGCCUCAAAACCUGUGGUUCUAUGAAAUUUACUCCCAUAAAAUCACACAAAUCAAGGCAGGACGAGUUUACAACCUAAUAAAUGAUAUAAUGCAUAACACCACAUACAUAUUACUACCCACCAUGAAGGUAGUAAUUUAGACUAGUAAUAUAUCCAGCCGCAAUUCCACUAUGACCAGCCUAAGGAACCUCGGUUCCAAGAGGACACCAAAGACUACUGCAUCCAGCCGCAAUUCCACAGUACAGACUAAACUACUUGCAUGCUCUCGGCGAAGCUUCCAGGGUUGAUGGUUAUACUCUUCGUGCAAUUAUCUGUCUUGUAGAUGCCAACCAGCCUAUCAGCUAGUUCAAACAUGUUGUUUCUGAGGCUGCAAACAAGCGACAAAAGUGAGUUUAUGUGAUUCAUCAAACACAAAGAGUAAAAAAGAAAAACACUGUGCCUCCAUACAAUCCUUCAGAUAUGUUAUUUUGUGCACUUCUGUAGAUUAAAUCUGGACUGUAAAGGGUGUUUGGUAAUUACACUGCACAGUUGGUCUACUCGUGUAUAUCUCGGAGCUAAAUGUUUUUUCUUUAGAUUUGCUUGAUAGACAAGGACUUAGAUCAGUUUCUAGUCGUAUCCAAAGGGUCUGUGCCCAAUUAGAGCGCACUCAAACAAGCUCUAAAAGGAUUGUGCAGCUUGAACAUAUGUUAUGGGGGCAAAGCCUACAAAAAAGUAAGAUAUGAAAAAAAGACUUACCUAAUAAUAAUGAACUGGGCAUCUUUUGUUCGGUCUUUCACAUAAUGUCCAACGAUGGAUACAUUCUUAAAAUCUGUAAAAAGCUGCUUCAUUAAUCCAUAAAAUUGAAAUGUCAGAUAAUACUAGCAAAAGAAAAAGGUCACAAGACUUACCCAAGGCUGCAUCUAUCUCAUCCAUAACAUACAAAGGAGUUGGUUUGUAAUGGUGAAGAGCAAAUACUAGGGCCAGGGAGCUAAGCGUCUGUAAGACAGCAAAUGUUUAAAUUAGUAUAUCCCUAAAAGAGUAAUACUAGGAUGACAAAUAUUUAGUAGUCCAUGUAACACACGAACAUUGCAGAGCAAAGGAGUAAAGGUGAAGUAUUUUGCAUUAUAAGAUCAAACAUGCAAAAUCGAGCAACAUAUUUGAAGUACAUGCAAGCAGCAUGAAGAUCUUGCGCCAAGAUAUUUUAUGCUGUUGAAGCAGUCAACAAGAUAUAUAACCGAUUAAUUCAGAGGGGAAAACAUACACAUGUAUAAAAUAAGCAAAAGAUAGAUGUGUCUAGCAUAUUAGAACCUGUGCAGUGGCUUUUCUCAUGUGUGUCGCAUUGGGCUGAUAUAUGUGGGAUCAUAAAUGCUCAUUUCAGGUUCUGAAUAGUUGAGUUUCACUGUAAAAUCAGCUGUACCUUCAGUACAUACAGCAAUUUUAACAAGACCCGACCAAUGCCUUGUAUCAAGAUUAAUUACAUACCAGAUCUUUACAUACCCAUCUUGAAAACCUUAUAUAUUUUCAUGCGAAAUGUCACAUCAAGAAAGUGUUUUCAUUCCCAAAUGUGCAAUUAACCAGCAGCUUGGGUGGUCAGCCAAGCGAGGUAUGCUGGCUGCCCACCAGGGUUUGACCCCCGAGGGCCCCAUUCUGGUGCCUCACCUUGUGAAAAUUAAUAUAUGUAUCUAUAUACUGUCAGAUUGCUAUCGUGAAUAUCUUACAGUUUAAAUUCAAAAAUAAAUAAAGCAGUACAACGUUUCUGAUAAUAUCGGAUGUUAUGUUCUCAAUUUUUCAAGGGACAUCAUUUGUGGAGCCCAUUUUAUAGAUUAGAGAACAAACACAAACAUGAAAUGGUUUUCGCUCUUAGGAUUAUAUGCACCUUCUAUUGGUUUGAAGUAAAACUGUAAACUUCCAUUGAAAUGACCAGUUGCGAUAAAGGGAUAAUGGCUUUCUGCGUGUCAUCUUUCUCCAUAAAAUGGUACGAACUUUGUAAUACAUCUAGAAGUGUGGAAAAUGAUACCUUCUCACCGCCAGAUAGAUUGGCAAUGUUCUUCCAGCUUUUCUUGGGAGGUCUUACACUGAAAACAACACCCUCCGAAAACGGGUCCAAUGAAUCAACUAGUUCCAGCUCUGCAUCACCUCCAAGAGUAAUCAUCUGAAACCAAACGUAAUUAUUUUUUAUCAUUUCACAAUCUCUACGAAAAUAGAUAUCUUUUGAGCAAGAAGCUUUUUUCUUUUUCUUCUUGUACUUGAUAUGAUCGGUCAACAUUUUCACUACCUUUCCCCCUGUUAUUUCUUGAAAUCAUGUUUUAAGAGUUAAUAUCAACAACUUGCACGACAAAUAAGGGCAAUGCUAUCACAUCAUUGCUGCAGUGAUGAGCAAAGUCUUUCUUUCGUGUAAUAUCCCUUCAGAAUUGCAGUCUUACAACAAAUGUGUAAGAACAAACCAUGAAAGCUGCCAAGAAUUUGAGUCGACCCUCAGUUACUAGGCGGUAAGCACAGUCUAAUGAGAUUACAAUGAUGCCUUGAUCUGUCACACGGUGACGGGGUGGUUGGACUUAAAUUGUGAAAGGAUGAGUAUCAAAUUAGAAGCCCGAUAUGUGUAUUCAUACCUGGUACAUCUCUUUCAGUUUCAGAGAAAUGAUGUUGAAUCCUGCCAUGAAUUCAUCUAACCUGCAAUUAUGUAUAUUUGUAUGUAAGGAGGUAAAUCAACCAACAGAAACAUAAUAUUGAAAAUAAGGAGAUACCUUCUUUUCCUCAGCCCAUCAUAUAGCUUCUUAAGAUCAUCACGCUCCUGAGUGGUAGCAUUUAGCUCAUCAACACGCUCGCCAUAUAAACGAGCCUUCAUGUGAUACCUGAUUCAACCAAGAGAAGUAAGGAAAUUGUUAAUGAAAAACAGGUUUUGUCAAUAGGUGGAUCUCAUCAACCCAUACUCUGCAAUUGAAUCCAGGUUUGGACUCAAGUCUUUAAGCUGAGCUUCCAACAAUGCGACCAUCUCCAUUGCUUUUUUCAGGUCAAAUAUUGCACUGAGAUUCUUAUCACACAGUGUUUCUUUGAGUUUCUCAGGAUCAAUAGCGUCCUUCUGGAUUCUGAUGAAGAAAUCACAAUUAGUCUUUGAAACUGUACAGAAAACAUGCAUGAUUCACAAUGUAAUUGAAAAUUAACAUGUGGACAUACUGAUCCAUGUGUUUAACAAGAUUAGUCUGAAUGUCAGCAAGCCUUUUCCUAAAUGCCUUCAGCUUCAUUUCCCACUCCUUGGCAAGCUUUUUUGUAUCUUGCAGUUUGUACUCUGCAUCAACCUGUUUUUAUGCACAAGCAGUUCAUAUUAUUUUGGUUCAAAAACAAGUUCAAGUCAUAUGGUGGAAAUAAUUAUGAUAUUAGCAAGAUAAAGUCACAGAAGAUACCUCAGAGGCUCUUAGUUCAUCCAUCACUUUCUUUGUUUUAUUGUAGUCUUCCUUUGUUUUGUCAAGCUCAUCUUUAUGGCUGUCUAUCAUCUACAAGUUAACCCGAUUAUCAUUACCCUUCCAAACAUGCAACAACCCAGUUAGGGUCCAAACCAUAGACCAACAUAACUAAACUACCUCCUGGUUUUUCUUGUAAUCUUCUUGAACAAGAAAAGCCUUCUUCUCUAUCUCUUUGAAUACAGACAUCAACUUCUCCUUUUGAGCUAGAAGAUUCUCGUUUUCUUUUUUGGCCUCUUCGAUGCCCUUGGUCAACUUUUUCAGCAACUUCUCGCAUGUAGUAAUUUUAACUUUGUGGCGGUUGAUAUCCGAGCUUGUUUUGUCAAAUUCCUGACAUUUGAAGCACGAAAUAUAAACAUCAGAAUGAGACACCAAAGCAUCUUUAGUUCUCAUAAAGAUCUGGGUUAGUGACGGUGCAUUCACCCUCACUGAGAUUACCUCUUAAGUUGCCAACAAAACAAUUAAACAUGCUAUAGUACAAAUAUGUACCACGAUUUUUUGAUUAGUUUCUUUUUUUGCGAGGAAAGUGAGCUUUAUUAAUCAUGAAUAGGAUUACAAUCAGCAGCAACCGCUACAGAAACACACGGAUGAGGUUGAUUCAACAGGCAAUCUGAUCCUCGAACCUCCCGCGCAAAGUUUGCUAACAAAUCUGCAACCCUAUUUUGUGUAUGACUAUAGUUGAUUCUAUUUAUUUAUAUUUUGAGAUAAUUUUUUGUUCUGCACAAAGUUAAAGACUGUGAUGACACACGUUUAAACAACUAUGCAAUAAGAAAUUUCCAUGGCAAUAAAGAGCACUUAUGUAGUGUACUUACAGAUUGGAUUUUUGCAACUUUGGCCUUCUGAUCCUUUAGCACCUUCCCCCCUGCAUUUUCAAUUUUCUGUUGAAGUUCUGAUGCCUGUUUAAUGUUGCAGCAAACAUAAGUUAAGGCUGCGUAGGAAAGGUACUUGUAACAACAGUGCUUCAACAGCUUUAGUAGAGUAGACACAAGCAUUCGAGAGGUCUGAAUGUUUGAUUAUUUGCAAAAAAAAAAAUCCUGAAUUGAAGUUGAUGCUGACAAAACCAGAUUGACUUGGCUUCAGGUUGAAAUGAGUAUAGGCACUUGCCUGAUCAUUGAGCUUGCUGGAACACUUUGCAAGUCUAUUUAGUUCAUCUUGCUCAGUAGAUAUGAUGCCAUCCAGCUCUUUCAUUCUGCCAACCUCAUCUUCUUUGGGAUGUGCUGCAGCUUUCAGUGAAUCUAGUCGCUUUUCAUUGUAACUGUAGUGUGCCUUCAUACUCUCAACCUUUUACAUGAGGAAAAGGUCAGGUGAUCUCAACAUAACAAACAACUACAAGGACAAGAAGAAUGCACAUGGUUUAGCUACCUCCUUUUUAGCUUUUGCCAGUUCCAUCUCGAGACGGGAUUUAGCUUCCUCCAGGGACCGGUAGCGUUUUUUUGCGUCAUUAAUAUUUUCACGUAACCCGUUGAGUUGGUCAACAAGUUUUUUUAGAUCAUUUUCAGCAUUUAUAACCGCCUCUUCUGGAACACUUUCUCGGAUGGAUGUGCCCAUCUUGCCACCCCGUGGUUUGCUACCACCACCGCUCAUGGUCCCGGACUUCUCAAAAAGUGCACCGUCAAGGGUAACUACCCGACGGAAUUCAUUAUCUGCAGUAUAUGCAAUUCGGGUAGCCUGACAAAAUAGAUGGUAACAGUUGUCAAAAGGUUCCAUGCAAACAGAAUAUUAUAUGUCCUGAAUAAAGUAGUUCUCUGAACUAAUGACAGUUCCCCAAGGCUCGCAGUUCGAUGAAAAUGCUAGCUGGAUAAUUGGGUACUUAGUUGAGAAAGAAAGAUAUAAGGCACGUGAUAACUGCAAACAGUUAGAAGUUAAAAUAGUGUGAUUAAGGUUUUACCUGAUCAAGAUCGUUUGCAACAACAGUAUUGCCCAAGGUAGCAAAGAAAGCCAACUUCAGCUUCUCAUCUUUAACCUUUACAAGAUCAAAGAGACGUGGAACUCCUUCAGGCGUUUUUACUUUCUGUUGUAGCUUAUGAAGAUGAUGUGUUUGCUUUUCCUGUAAAGGUAAAUACAAAAAUCAUGCCUACAGCAAUAAAUCCAAUAGGGGGCUGAGUUUGUGUAUAAAUAAACAGGAAAGCACUAACAACAUAAAAGAGCAUUACCAGUAUCAUAAAAGUAGCAAUCCCAAGAUUUCUUCUGCGUAAUAGUUCAACACAGGCUUGGGCUGAGUUUGUUGUUUCAACAACAAUAUAAUCAAGUCCAUGGCAUGCUGUUGAUAUGGCAACAUCAUAUUUCGCUGCAAGGUAGAAUAGCUAAUAAUGUUACCUAGAUAGAUGCAACAAGGAAGAUAAAAUCAUGAUGAGGUUCCCACUCACCAAUAUUGUCCAAUGGUGUAUAAUGGCACCCCCAGAUCAUAAUAGAUAUAGAAAUAAUGUAAUUUUAAUCUUGACAAAUUCACUUAGGGGAGUUGACAAACUUAGCACCCUGCAUUUUGAAAUGAGGCUGUCGGGGCUUUCUGGCUAGUAACAAGAAAAUAUUGAGCAGCUGGAGAAGCCUCUACCUAACCCAAGCAUACAUCAAGAGAAACUAUUGUUGUUGUUUUUUCGAAUAAAGGUUGUAUCUUUGACCAAGCCUGAACCCAAUAUAAAUUCUUAACCUGGAAUGCUUGGCAAAAAGAGCCUGAAAUUUUGUAGCAUAUUUAAACUAACAAUAUACACACACAAUAAUAAUACUAUCAAAAAUUUAUUUAUUGUACUUUGGUUCAACGGUAAGAAUCAUAUUCGUCUAAGUAUAAGCAUUCAACUCUAAGGCUUGAGUGUGAGGAGGGUCCACAUCAUCCGUCAUCUUGAGAGGGUAUAAGCAGACACAGUUUCAGUAAAAUACAAGCAGAGAAUUUACCAAGAGCAAAUUUUCACCUCCAAUAAAGAAUUUACAAUUUUAUCUCCAGAGUCUACAGUAGCUAUUAGAAUUCAAUAUUAAUAUGUUGCAAUCUAUUUGUUUUUUAAUGUGCAAGUGCGACAUGAAAAAAAUUCUAUGGCAAGUUUACUCAUCACAUCAUAUGUUCAAUCAGAUAUCAUUGGUCAAAAGAUAUACUCCCUCCGUCCCAUAUUAAGUGCCGAAAUAUUACAUGUAUCUAAACGUAUUUUAGUAUAUAGAUACGUCCAUAUUUAGACAAAAUUUUGAGUCACUUAAUAUUGGACGGAGGGAGUAGUAAGUAUAGGGAUGGGUUCCCAUCCUAGUGGGGGUGUGUGGCUGUGUGGGUGCAUCACCCCUAUGGCUCUGGUUCAUGUCAAAGCAAACGAGAAUUUAUUUCCUGAGCAACAAAUCAAGAUGUGAUCCCACGUACCAAAUAAAGCGAGAAAAAACAUUAGAAACAUCAGCAGCCACAUGUGUAGAAAAUCAAAAGUCCUAUAAAGAGUCGGAGUAGUUUAACUGCAUUGCAUUCUAGGAUGUCAUUGUUUUGUAGCUAUCGAUUGCUCCCUCCAUCUCAAUUUAUAAGUCGUUUUAGGUGUAUCUCGAAUACCAAGGAAGUGAUGAGCUGGCCAAGUUAGCAACUGUUUUAACCACGCCGAAGGCAGAAAGCCAGAAAAUUAAAUCAGUUUGCAUGCAGACAUGUGGGAGCCAGUGCAUGCUGAUGUAUGCAACUCGAGAGCCUCUUUCUGGGGGCUUAAUUAGCGCUGAGCAGCCUUUAAUUGGUUGGUCGGCCUUGGUUACUCUUUCUUUUGUGGGAAAAGUAGGAAAAACUAAAAUGACCAUUUUUUGGGAUGGAGGGAGUAUAUCUUACCAUCAAUUGCACCAAGAUCUCCAAGUCUGCCAUAAAUACCAUCUAUUUCCUUUGAUUCCUUAGCUUGUAAAAUUGCUUUCAAAACAGUGCCUUGAUUCUUCUCAGAAUCCCUUGUAGAUUUAAUCUCCGCAACCUUCUGCCUAGCUGCUUGUUCAAGAGGAAUUAGGGACUCCUCCUGUUUUAGGCAUUCCUGUUACGAAUCCCAAGUUGUUAGGAAAUUCAGGAUCCUCAACCCAAAAAUAUUGACCAACUUAAUGGUCCCAAGGAGAAGAUAACAAAUAAAUACGGAAGUGAUUUACCUGUUCAACUUUGCGAGCUUCAGAUGCUUCACUCUGGUGUUUUUCUAUCUGUUCUUGAAGCUCCAUAAUAUGAGUAUCCUUCGUUUUGAUCUUCUCCUUAAUGCUUUCCAUCUGGUUUUGAGCAUCAGUUAAUUCUGCUCGAGCUCCAUCUUGCUGAAAACAGGUAAUGAGGUCAAAAGGUAAAUUAACAAAAGCCAGAACUUUACAUGUCACUAUUGCUUUACCCAAAAAAAAAAACUAGGCAGUUGUUACAGGACUUCGUGUGCCUUUAGCAGAACAGAUGUCCAGAACUGGCAGCCAAGUGAUUCAUAUCUUGGCAGAAACAUAUUGAAGGAAAUUGAUGAUGGGAUCAUUUUGUGUUCACAUUUUAAAAAGAACGAAAGGCAAGGAUGCUAACCUUUUCUUUCAUCAAUUCUUUCUCCGCGGAUGCAACAUCCAGCCUUCCUUUAUGAUCAAUAAUUUGUUUGUCCCAUGGUUCAAGCUCAGUCCUUACCUGCGUAAGUUCAGCACGUAGUUUCUCUGUUUCCUCUGUAAUUAAAAGAAAAUUGGCUAUCAGACAACAGUUAUAUGUGAAAGGGAGAAAUAAGCAACUAAAAAAAUCACCUCGAGAGCUUUCUUUAAUUCGCUCCAACACCUUCUCUUCUUGGUUAAAUUCGUGUUGUAAUUUUGGUAUCUCUCCCUCAAGCUGUGGAAUGAGAUUGGAUGAUUCUUCAAUCUCUUUUGUUGAUUCCUCGAUUUUUGACAUAUCCUGGAUCAAGGUAUAGGACAAAUUUUAGACUUGAUUGCUUGAACUACAUCUGAAAUCAUUUAAACUCACCUUUUCAGUUUUGUCCUCUAGCUUCUUGAUCUUCUGCUUAAGGUGCUUUAAAUCUUCCCUAUAUUUAACAUCUUUCCGCUCAAACUCCUUAAAUUUAUCCUUGCAAGCCUUCAUGUUAUUCUCAAGGUCCUGAAUAUAUAAGAGAGGGUAAAUAAAGAGGCAUUAUAAUAUGUAAUAAUAGUUUAAAACUAGCACAUCAGUCACUAAGAUAUAUGUAAUUAUAAUUCAGCUUUGCAUUCAUGGUGAUUGAGGUUCCAGAAAAUGAAAUUUAAGAACAUACCUCUUGCCUUUUGACACGUUUGUUGUAAGCAGACUCCAUUUCCUUCAGAGCUUCAGAAUUCUGUUGAAUUCUUUCCCUGGAUUGGAAAACAAUCAGCUCUAAACUCAUGAAUGGAGAAUUCAUGUAUAACCAUGCCAAUGAAUCACCUUUCAGAGGCAAGGUUUUUUUCUAGGUCUGUAACAUUGUCUUGGAGCUGGGUAACAUGUGAGGCAGCAUCUUCAGAAGCCAUUGUGGUUGCCUUUUCUUGACAUUUCAAAAGCAACAGUUCCUUCAGCAUGUAAGUUUCAGCUUCAUUUUUCGCAUUCUACAGGAAGUUAACCCCAUCAGUAGUGUUAAUUGACCAAAAGAAUCAAUUCUAUGACAACCCAAUCAGCACCUCUAAACUGUCCCUUUCCUUCUCAGCCAAUUUCAGCAUCUGUACUGAUGCAGUUCUCUUUUCAUUCAGCACUUCCAGUCUAAAGGUAUCAGAAAAUGAGAAAUGAUUAGAUUGCACAAAAAUGGACAGAAAACACUCAUCAUGACAACAUGCGUUAAAAAGGUUCUUAAGAAACUCACUGUUUGUUAGCUUCUUCAAUUUUCUCUACAUAUUGGUUUGUCCCAAUGAUGUCUUCUAGAUAUUCUAGAAACCCCUCGUCAUGUGGACUUUGGGAUUUUGGUUUCAUCAGGGAGAUUUGCUCAACCUCACCCUGUACAGUGCCAAGCACAGAAGUUAUGCAGUUGUAAUAAUACCAAUAAAAUGCACUUAGCGCGUCAUAAUGCCUACCAAAUUCCAUGUAAAACUUGAACCACGAAAUAAGCAACUGUUGGAAAAAAUUUGAAGUCUCGGUACUCAAUCAAUCUAGGAGUUAUCUAACCAAACAAAACAUAAAGAAACAGUUCUGUUCACAUGUAAAUAGGGGAAAGUGCACAAAACCUGAAGGAUCAGAAAGCGAUUAUUAUUAAGAUCCACUCCUUUGCCCUUCAACAGCUUAGUUACUUCGGUAAAACUGCUUCCACGUUCAUUUAUGUAAUAUUUAGAAUUGUUGUCACGGGAAGCAACUCUUGAUAUGGUAAAAUCACUGCCCUCAACUGCCUCGUAGUUGCCAUCAUCCUGCAUAUGUCCACAGAGAGGAAUAAAGAAAAAAAGGAUUAUGGCACCAAUAAAGCACUAAGAAAUUAUAGGUACUUGGCUCAAGCAAUACCAGAUCAAUGAUUUCUUGAAAAUGGACAGAAACCCCAGCGCUGUCUAGGUUCUGGUGGUUGGAAGAGUUGUGUAUGAGCUCUGACACCUUGUUGAGGCGCAUCUGCAGUUAUGGCAUGAACUAAUCAGAAACAAUAUGAAAUGCAAAACAACUAAAUAAAUAUAUUGUUCUGAGUUAAGAUAACAUGUAGUGAAUGGAUAAGGUCAUCUUUCAUGGGCUUGAGAUACUUAAGAACUUCAAAUUGUUAAUCCGAACAUCUAAAUAAAUCUUUGCAGGAAAUGACGAACGAAAAACGGGAAGACAAUACUUGUAAAGAAGGAUCCCACCAUGCCCAACUAAUAAACACAUCUUGCUUAGCCACCAGAAGAUUGGUAGUACCAAAGUACAAAUAUGUUAGAUUAUAUAACACCUUUAGGCAAAGACUUAUAUGCUUACUUUUGUCUGUUAUUCAAAACCACUAACUCGGAAGAAUGGUAGGUUGUUGCCCUCAACCUUUUAAAUCAUUGGGGAACUUAGACUGAAAUGCUGUCUCUGGCAUUUUGGAUCUAACAAUUGGAUAGGUGAAAUUAAAUGAUAUGAUUCACCGAGAUGUAAAUGGAUUGGAAUGCACUAGCAGAUUGAACAAACAAAUAUCAUGAUGAAACAAGAAUAUUUACAAUUUGGAGCAUUAGUGUUCACCUUAUUUGCACGCUUCCCAAACACAAACAGCAUGGCAUCAAUGACGUUGCUCUUCCCACUGCCAUUUGGCCCAACAACAGCUGAGAAGCUCUGGAACCGAUAUAAAAAUUAUCAGAUUUCCUUUGGUCUCCAUGAAUCAUCACUUGAUGAGCAUCUUUAGAGUUUAGAAAAAAAACAUGCAAUAGAAAUAACUCGAUUGUGCCAUCCUAACUGCAGCAUGGAAGUUCUGUGUUCGGAAAAUCUGUAAGGCUUAGAACUCUAGUUUACUCUCUGACAGUAUUUGUACUUAUCAGAUUAUAAUAACCGAUUAGUGCUGUGACUGUAUGACACCAAUUUUCCUCAUCCUCAGAACGGUUGCUUGUGUAUUUUGGGGAUUAAAAGUUGCUCAUGGUACUAGUUAAACAUCGUUAAAGUUAAAUGACGCUUCAAAAAUUUCACAGUUGCCACAGGACAAGUGAGUUGAGUAAAGUGCAUAAACACUAUUUUGAGCAUUAUUUGUGCAGAGUAUAUCAGUCAAAACAUGUGUUUGUUAUCAUGGUACCAAUAUGUAACUAAAACAAAUUGAACAGCACAUACUGACGAGCGAGUCAAUGCCACCUGCAGGGUUACAGAAAUUAAACCACAAUCCCAUAACAAGUAGUUAGCCAUAAACUUCCAGCUUAAAUUAUCUGGCAUCACAACUAGACGAUCCUUCGGGUUUGGUGCACCCCCAAACCCGGCAGGUGAAGCUAAAAAACAUAGUGUGCCUAAUUUAGGAUUUGGGGCAUAGGGGUCCAGAGAUGCAAAUUCCGAACGGAAAUAAUACAAAAUCCCUCCUAGGCCGUCAUAACAUACGUAAAGCUGUUCCAGUUGGCAUUUCUAGGGUUUAAUGAUUUAUAGAUCAAGUACAAAUGUAAGCUGAGCAACGCAAAAUUGCACUCCUAGGACGCUGAAUCAGCUGUCAUCGAGCGAAAAUUGGGAAGACGAAGGGGCAACACCCGUGUAUGUGACUGACCGACGGCCGCCGUAACUUUCUCUCCGUGGGUCAAAAAUAUGAGCACGUCAAAGUAAAAAUUAGCUAGGGCGCACGCGCGCGAGAAAGGAUACCUUGUGGAAAGGACCAAUACGCUGCUCCCCGGCAUAGGACUUGAAGUUACGGAGAACCAUCUCCUUUAUGAACAGCCGUGGCUUCACCGACCGGCCCGGCGACCUCGCCGGCGAAAGCGAAGGCGAAUGCGGCGGUGAGGUCUCCAUGGAAGAGCGGCACCAAAAUAUUUCAAAGCCUAGCAGCGAGCGACGGGAGCGCGAGCGCCGCCGCAGCGAUGCCGCUCGCUCAGCCGACGACACCCGCCCGCUACAAGAUCUCCACCGCAACCUUUGCCGCCGUUCGCCCGGGGCUAGGACGGAGGCUAGGGGGGCACGGUGGUGGGGAGAUUUGGGGAAAGUCGAAGUGGCCGAGAACGGAGUGUGGAUUUGGGGAUUUUGGGGGGAAUUUGGGAGGGAAAACUGAAAAUGUGGGAGAGUUUCCGUCCUCGCGUUGGAGAGCCAAGAUGUCAGACCAAAUUUAAUUGGGAAAUUCUUAGAGUUGGGCUGGACUAUGGUGGGCUUCGGCUUCCUAGCUGGAUGUGGGCAUGGAAUUGAACCGGUUUUCGGUAUGGAGUACUGCUGCGUUAUGUUGGGCUAUAUACGUGAGCCAGACGGGCCCAUAUAUGGCACAACUCAGGCUGCAAUUUGCUUGCGUCACCUCAGCCCAUCCCACUGAGAAAAAAACUCAGUCCAUAACAUAGGCCAGGCCAGGCUUAAAAAACUCCCAAGUCUCCCAGUAAGCAGCCCAUCAGAAAAUCGCCUUUCGCUCAAAAAACAAAUAAUCAGAAAAUCGCCUUCUUCGGUGAGUUAUGAGUCAAUUUUCCAUCUUCAUAUGGUUUAGCUAACUUUUAGAAAGAAAAAGAGAGUCAAUGAACUCAUUAGCACGCAGUUGAAACUUAACGUGCUUCUCCUUUUCAUUUCUUUUUUGCAGAUAUGCUCCUUUUCAUUUUAGAGUUCCGUGAGACUGUGGCUCUGUGAGAGCAGGGAAUGUGUCAUCUCGGGGAAUUCGUGUUACAACAGGAAAAAAAUGGGCUGUUGUCAGAAAUGUUUUAACAAAAUUCCAUUAGAAAAAUACAAUUAAGGAGACCUCGCCAGCCUCAUGUCAGCAAAACUAAUCAGCUAGCAGGACAGUGUAUUGUCAAAAAAAAAAAAGCUAACAGUGCAUCGAUCCAGCUCAAAGGGAGGAGUGUGCCCCCAAUAACGACCACGAGCUAACCACUUAUGUUCUCGAUUAAGCUUCUUCAUCCAGCCCAAGAGCCAGCGCAUGAUGUGCGUGAUUAGCAUGAAAUAGUUUCUCUCGGGGCGUAGCGCACGUACACAGCAACUGAUGAGAAACUGGCUCGACGAAGUGUGACCUGUUGGGUACUCAGAAGAGACGCUGCCAGCUUGAGCACGAAUAUAUAAUUACACCUAAUGCAGUGCAAUUGUUUAGACAAAUUAUCACACUUUGUCGCUAUGCGUUUGCUGUUGCAGCACUCGUUCGGCGUUUCCUUCUCUGCAGGCGUACAAUGACCGUUGGAAUUUUGUGCUGAUGUGUAUUGGUGAAGAGUUUUUUCUAAAAAUAAUUAUUCAGUGAAGAGUUUUUUUUUUCCGUAAAGACAGUAGGGAAGAUUCCUACUGCGUUAUUUUCAUUUAUAAAAGGUCGUAUUUACAAUGGUGCUAUUUACAAUGGAAAAGUAGAUACGAAGAGUUAGGUAUUUGAGUCGAGCAAAUGUAAUCAGGUAUACAUUGAAUAGCACAUUUGUACAGGGAGCCGGUGGCAUGUGCGCCCCAACAAUGUGGUGCGGUAUUGUAGCUGCAUCAUUAAUUGUGGAGGGGCGUACGUAGUCAGAGGUCCGCCGAUGUAGCCAAAAGUGGUGAACCUCAUGAACGAGCAUUGGGAUCGUGUUGAUGUGAUUGCUCGUUUCUCGGUAGAUCAUCAAACAUCAGAUUUUCUGACAAGGAGAUUACGCGCUUAACAAUAAAAAAUCCGAGAACAAAUUUGCACACGCAAAUAUACUCUAUUGUAUUGUGUUAAUUAUUUUUAUUUUGAGGAGGGCGGGGGGUCAUAAUGAUUCACCAUGUCCUAACCCUACCGGGCUUCGAGGGAAGGGGAGGCGACAGACAGUUGAUAGGAGAUCGGUAAUAGGUUGGUCUUCAUGGCGACACGAUGACCAGCACAUGCCAACAAUGAUGAGUAUUAAAUGCAACGGUGAACAAUGACUGUGGUAAGACAUGUAGGCAAUGCAAUUCCUGUUAAGGAGGAAAAUGGACGAGGAGGGAAAAUAGUGAAGAACUUGAGGGGGAGAGGACAUUUCGUUGAAGGUAACGAUGGUGGAGAUAAGGUGGCUGGACAACGAAGGAUCACUAUGUGAAUGGCGCAUGUGGAUGAGUUUAGGUAAAAGGCGCACACACCAACCCGCCAGAGGUCCCUUAAAAAGCCAGUAUAGUAAUGCACAAGGCACAUUGAGCACGACGUUCUUUCUAAAUGUAUAAGACUGUUUGUAAAUGCGUGAGGCAUGUCUCUUGUGUUGUAUCUUCUGAAAUGCAGUUGGUUAUUGCUUUUUCAAUCAGUAAAUCUCUUCGCCUCGCCCAUGCUCACACCAUCCCUCUCCUUGCUCCCCAACUUGCCUUUGUUCUGCUCCAAUGGGAGGCAGCGCCUUGAACAUGACAUUGUAAUUAGCAAAAAUGAUAUCCAAUUAUAGGCAUUCUGUAGCACGGCUGCGCUUUCAAAUGCCGACAUCAUCCCUAUCACAAGUCCACCGACAUCCGCAAUCAUAAACCGCCCACUGCCAUCGCAUAUAUUUGAGGCCAUUAGGCACAUUGGAUCGUGACGAAAUAUCCUCCUUUCACCUUGGAACGAGGCCGGGGCCCGAGGCUAAUGCUGGACAGCGGACCGGCUUCGCAGGCGUGGUCUCCCGCCCCCGCCUAGGUGCCCGUGAUGAGACCAUCUCCCACCUACUGGUUGGCUGUGUCUUCUCAUGUCAGGUGUGGCAGCAGCUGUUGACCUGUUGGGGCCACGGGGAUUGGUGCCCCGGUCCGGGGGCUGACUUGCGAGAGUGGUGGACCUCCCGACCCCUUUCGCGGCGAGGGCGGAAAGACUUCCUGACGGCUUUCAUUCUGGUCUUUUGGAUCAUUUGGCGCCACCGUAAUGACAUUAUCUUCAACGGGGUGUCUCCUUCGGUCCAUUGGGUCUUGUCUACUGUCCGGGAGGAGUUGGAUCGGUGGUGCUCUGCCGCCCUCAUUAGAAAUAGGAGUGUUGGUUCGGCCUUCGCGGCGAGUAGGUUGCUUGGUAGGCUGUAAUUUCCCUUUUGUCUUUGCCCUGUGUGGCGUUGUAGCCAUUUCGACGUUGUACUAGCCUUCUGGCUCUUCUCCUUUAAUUGAUGAUGCACCAGCUGGGUUGCAUUCUUGAAAAAAACAAAAACCUUGGAAUGAGGGGAGCACCUGAACAAAGAGGCCGUGAGCAAUGAUAUAUCUUUGUCAUGGAAGUCAGAAGAAGAGGUAUGAGUAAAGAUGUAAGAUGUUCGUUCACAGGUAUGUAUCGACUGGACACAAACAACAUAUUUUGGUGUGUAUUGCCGCAUCCACCUUGUUCCCGAUCACUUCUUGUCCUAGCGAGAAAGAUGAUAAAAAAACAUAUAAGAGAGAAGAAACAUACUCCCUCUGUCCGGGUUUAUAAGGCCUCCGUUGGGUUUGUGCCAAACUUUGACCAACAAUUAUACAAAUAACAUUUAAAAUAUGUAUAUAAAAUUUAUACCAUUAGAAAGAGUUUUUCAAUACGGAUCCAACAAUAUCUCUUUUGUGUCACAAUAAACUGAUAUAGCUAAUGUAAAUUUUGGUCAAAAUUUGGUAUAAAAUUCCGUGUGGGCUUACAUACCCGGAUGGAGAGGGUGUGGGAGCCGACCCAUCAAUUGGAUAUGUUUGAAUACAACGGAUUUUAGAUGCAUUACUCUUAUUUGCCCGUUCUCUACUUCAGGGAGCCCCAUCCAGUAAAAAGAAUGAAAACCAUGAAAAGAUUCUCUACACCCUCCAUCCUGAAAUAAGUCCCUUAUUUCAGGGAGUAUAUGAUUUCAAGAUUGGUUCCAAAUACUACAGAGAGCAAUAACACAAGGCAUUCACUUUGCCAAGAAAAGGAAAGCCAAUAGCCAUCUCUUGGUAGGAUGGUACGGUCGUGGGGCGUGAGUCUAUCACCAGGAUUUCAAUGGCCCUACACUUUGCUGCGUUUGCUAGAAAUUUAGUGUGAUACAUGGAGACGCAGUUGCUUUGUGUGCGUGUGGACGUGCGCACAUCAGUCUCGUAACCGCAAAGAAAUAACUAAAGAAAAACAUUCAUGUUUCAACAGAACUUGACAAAAUAAUCUAAAAUUACACUAUUCUAGGGAGGUUCCACCUGGUUAUGCCGGCCACUUCCCAGCUGACGCAACAACAAAUAAACCGCGAACCGUUUCGCCUUAAAAAAAUGCGAAGGGCACGAUCUCUGUUCCGCUAUAAACCCCCUCGCCGAACCACGUCGAGUUGUCCAAAGCAGUCGCUUUGCCUCCAUUCUUCCAAAGCUCAACCCCAUCACAAGUUCACAACACGACACGACACAACGAUGACUUCUCCCAGAGAAGACGCGCCGGUGUCGACCAAACAGCAGUCGUCGCCUGACCGAGAGACCAACAACGGCAGCCCGCCACGGGAUCGGGCCCGGGCGCCGCGGCGGCCCGACAUGGGCACCGGGUGCGCGCUGCUCUGCUUCCACCUGCCGAUCCGCCCGACGAAGAAGAAGAAGAAGAAGCUGAAGCAGCCCGGCCCGCUCGCGAAGCUCGGCCCAGGCGACGAGAGCACGCCCGACGACUACUACUACGCGUCGGAGGCGGCGGCGUCCCAGCGCGUCACGUUCCUGGCCUCGGCGUCGCUCUCCACGUGGUGGCCCUCGUCGCCGUCGGCGUUGUCCGCGGACGGCGGCAUCGACGGCGCGUGGAGGAGAUCACCGUCCGGGGAGGCGGCGGCGCGGGGCGGCGGGGCUGGGGCGCGGUUGAGGACGCUGUCGUCGUCCUUCUCGUACUGGCGCCGGUCGCAGACGUCGUCGUCCCGCGUCAUGCCGCACGGCGCCGAUCAUCAUCAGUCCUUCUCUUUCCCGUCUUCGCCGGUGUCCGUGUCGUCCUGCCUGAGCACGCCCAGGAUCUCGCACGGGUGCAACCGGGAGUAGAUAGAGCUGGCUUUGGGGUCGACCGAUCCAUCCGUCCGUCGAUCGCCCCUCGAAGCUAGGCAUAUGCACGCACGGGCGCGCGCUUGAUUCUGCGUCACUCUGUAUCCCGAACGCACGGCACGGCGAUGUACGUUGCCGAUCUUAAUUUGGAUCAUCCUUUCAUACAGUACAACUUUUCGUAUCCUUGAUGUCGCGAUGGUACCGCGUGUGUUAGUUCAUUCCUCGUUUCAGUUUGCUAGUAACUCUCAGUUGUCUGAAAAUCUAGUCACCUGAAAUUGCACUCAGGUGUGUACAAUUUGACUGAAAAAUUGGUGCAGCUUUUGAGCAGUUUGACGAUGUUGAUCGAAGUCUAAAUUUUUCUCAAACAAAAUCAAGCAACUGAUGGAUAUGCCCACCCAGAGGGCGCUGUCGAUUCGUUUCAAACGACUCUUUCAUGCUGUCUUCGUCCACGGUUUGCGCGAAACAGUACUGCAAUAGUAGUUGGCCGCAGGACUGAUCGUGAGUCUGGACGCAUGGACGCACGUACGUACGCGCAGAGGUGGAACCAAUCCAACGAUCGGUCACUUUCUUUUCUUUCUUUUAUAUUCCUUGACCUUGGACGUACGCACGUACAGGAGGCCGAAUCGAUCGAUUCAACGUGAUCUAGCACGAUGACCUGCGACAAUAAACUACACUGUCAGAUGUUGACGAAGAUGAACUGUAGAAUCCAGGUGGAUGUGUAGUCGCUGGCUCGUUGCGCUAAGAGAAGUCUAAAAUUUUCUUUUUUAUACUGGGACAUGGAAAAAAAAAGCCCCGUUACAAAAGAAAUUUAGUUGGCUGGAACUGGGAACUGUGGCCAACCGUCCGGUUGCCCUUGAGACUGACAGAGACAGCAUUGGCUCUUGUCUUGGCUGACACGGGCAAAGGUUACAACAUAUUCUCCAUGCACUCGCUUGUUUCAUCCGAUCGACAAAGAUUUCGCCGUUCGAUCUGAUCAGUAUAUCACCCAGACGCGGCGGCGGAACCUCAUCGUUCGUCAAGCGAGGACUCCCAGGGACCGCGCCAGUGAGCUCCGCGCGUUGGCUGAGCGCCUGAGCCUGUCUUUUUUUUUUAGGGAAGACACAACUUUAUUCAAGUCUCAACAAAAAGGGAUGCAAGCAAUGCCAGAUGUAUCAACUAGCCACACGCGGCAUCCGAAAUAGCUAAAUUAUGAGCAUCAAAGUUAAAGAUUCGCUUCUCAUGCUUGAACUGAACUUCAUAAAACCACUUCUUGCGAUCCUCGAUGUCCUUGAGAAUGGCACUAUAAUAGCAAAGGUUAGCACCCCCUAAGUUCUUGAUCACGGACAGGCAAUCCGACGCGACUAGGAAGCUUUGGAGAUUAAGUUCUUCGGCCAAAGAUAAGGCUUUGGUGCACGUCUUUACCUCAAGCGCAGAUGGGUUUGGGUCAGUAAGACCAACGACCGUAACUGUCAAAGCGCCCAAGAAUUUCCCAUGAUCAGGCGAAGACAACCACCAAGAUGCCGGUUGUGGUGGGACUCCAACCACAGCCCAAGAGGCAAGAGCCACGAAGGGUGGCCCAACCAACCCCCCAAGCAUGAUAUUUGAGCAACGAGAACUAGUUGGGCCCACAUAACUCAAAACCAACGGCAAAACCUCUCUCCAAUCGGCAUACUUCCUCAAUAAACAAAGAAUGUCUCAACUUUGACUAAAUUUAAAUGCAUCUAUACGCUAAGUCAUGUCUAGAUACAUCCAAAUUUUGACAAACUUGAGACAUCUUUUGUUGGACGGAGGGAGUAUAUGGCCCAUGUGGACAUGCUACAAUUCCUCAAGCUCAGCCUCCAACUCUCUACCCACUUUAGGACUCAAAUUCAAUUUGGAUCAUGACUCCUUAUUACACAAGAAAACACGUGUCACUAAAUCCUCUUCUCUCUACAAAAGAUGCAUGACCAAAAUCGUUAUGUCGAUUGCGAAGCCUCUUAGUUAAGAAAUCUCGAACAACUCGUUUGACAAUCAUUAUUUGGGUCUAAAAUUUCGAAAAUUAUUUUGGAGUCUAGAAACCAACUUGUUUUGUUGCCACAUAGGAUGGGACUAGUCAGCGGCAGUUGCCUAGUUAAGCCCAUCCAGCCAACGGCCCCAAAUAGGAAAGUUUCUAAUUAGCUUAAUUGGCCUAUCACUAAUAUGGGUACUAAUAACUUUUCACAUACUAGCAACUUUGGAUACUACACUGGCAACUUUGAAUCAUACUCUAGCAACUUUUGCUUCUAUAUCGACAACUUUCACUGACAUACUAGCAUCUUGCCUGUUACACUGACAAUUUUGACUAUCAUACUUGCAACUUUAGCUGUUAUAUCAGCAACUUUGACUACCAUAAUAGCAACUUUGGUUGUUAUACCGACAGUUUUGAUUAUCAUCUAGCAACUUCCACUACUAUAAUCGCCAACUUUCACUCAUGUACUAGCAACCUUGGUUGUUAUACCGACAAUUUUGACUAUCAUACUAGCAACUUUCACUGCUAUACUCGCAACUUUCACUCACUAGCAACUUUCGCUUUAUACUUGCAACCUUGACUCACAUAUUAUCGACUUUGGAUGCUAUACCGACAACUUUGACUAUCCUACUAGCAUGUUUGAUCCGCAUACUAGCAACUUUGACAGCUAUACUCGCAAUUUUCACUCACUUACUAGCAACUUUAGCUUUAUAAUUGCAACUUUGAAUUACAUAAUAAUAACUUUGGCUGCUAUACCGAUAACUUUGACUAUCCUACUAGCAUGAUUGACUCACGUACUAGCAACCUUAACUAGUAUACAUGCAACUUUCACUUAAAUACCGACAACUUUGACAUGCAGCUUUGGUUGCUAUAUCGGCAACUUUUGCUCACAUACUAUAACUUUGACUUUUAUACUUACAACUUUAACAAUCAUAGUAGCAACUUUGGCAGCUAUACCGGUAACUUUGACUCACAUAACAACAAUUUUGUCUUCUAUAUAUGCUUACAACUUUGACUGUCAUAAUAUCAACUUUGACUGCUAUACCGACAAUUUUGACACACACAAUACCAACUUUUCGAUCCAAUCUAACAACAUCCACUCCACAAACAAUUUUGGUGUGCUUGGUGGUAACUUUGGCCAAUGAGAUGACAAUAUUGUCUUUCAUGCCGUCAAAUUUAACUUGUGUACUAGCAAUUUGGGCUCAUAUGCUGGCAACUAUGACUUCAUACUAGCAACUUUGCUUUCAUAUACUCCCUCCGUCCCAUAUCAACCGACACAAAUUUGUCCAAAUAUGAAUGUAUCUAUGGCUAAAAAGCCUCUAGAUACAUGUAAUAGAAAGUCACUUAAUAUGGGACGGAGGGAGUAAGUGACAGUUUUUGCUCUGCUCAAGCAACUUUUGCUAAUGUGUGACAAUUUUGUCUUUUAUCCUUGCGACUUUUAUUCUAUGUCUAUCAACUUUGUCUCAUGUUCUCGCAACUUUAAAUGAGUGCAACAAUUUGUAUUAAAAAAUAACCACGCUAGGUAUUUUACCAACUAACUACUCAUAUUUAUCAAAACAAAAAUACAUGUUUAACAAAUUUAUAUUCAAAAUCAUCCUAGUGAUAUACCAUGUAUAACAACUUUGAAUCAAUCAGGAAGCACCUAUUUGGGUUAUGUCGCCAACUAUCUACACAUAAUAAGCCAUUCCAACCAAAAUUAAAAUGAAAAACCCUACAGAUAAGAGAUUACAAGUACAAUCUACACAUUAAUCUAAUGUAUGAUAUGCAUCAAGCCAGUGCCCCGUCACCGGCGAGCACGACAAUUGGAUGAGUUGCCAAGUUAUAUUGUACCAGUAUUUUCUUAGCACUAAAAUAACAGUAUCUGCGGUGGGUAUUGCCUGUUUGCGCAAAACAGAAAAACACAACAACAAAUUUGGACACGUUGAGCAACUCUGUCAUUAAAACCCAGCAACUUUCUGUGUAAUUGGAACAACUAAAUUACAUGGAUCAACAUUAAGCAACUAUUAGGCCUAUUUUUGCAACUAGCUACAAAUUUUAACAACUUUUAUAUUCAGUCAUGAUCCUACCUGUGUGGGAUGCAACAACUUUGGAUCAACAUUAAGCAACAAUUUGACAUAUUUUAGCAACUAACUACAAAUUUUAGAAAAUUUGUAUAUAGGCACGAUUAUGCCUUGUGUGUAGUGGAGCAACUUUGGAUUAACAUUAAGCAACUAUUUGGCAUAUUUUUCCAACAAGCUACAUGUGAUAAGUUAUUACAACUGAAAUAAAUGUGUCAAACAAUUCUACAAGUAGCACAAUAAAAGUACAUGUAAGCAGAUAUAAACAUAAAAAAUACAACUAUUGUUGGUAACUAGCAACUAACUAAAAAAUAGAGAAAUGAUUAAAAAAUACAAUCCUUGUUGAAUUAGCAAAGAUUUUGUUUCGAAAUCCUUUCAUUUAAUUUGUCAGCCGGGUCUUUUUCUAUGCUCUGAUUUCUUUGGAUAUCGCUUUUAAUUGAAUUUCCGUUUUCCAGAAUAGGAUUUACCAAAUUUUUCAUGACUCUGAGGUUCAGCCCAAUCCAGCAUUUCGUUCUCUUUCCUUCCGAUACUAAAAAAGGAUUGAAAAGGGUAAAAUUUCUUCAUGUCAUGAAGAAUUCGAUUUCUCGCAUAGCAAUAACUAGAAUUAAAAAAAAGGAAAGACAAAGCAUCUGGGAAUAAACCUGCUAAAACAGCAAACCAUAGAGUACUUAGCACAGGUGCUACAGAGAGAAAUGUUUUUAUAUUCCGCGUUGAAAAUCCUCCUUUCAAUAACUUUAGCAACUUUACAUUCAAAAAAUCAAACCAUAUCCCUCUCCCAUCUCUUUUUCCUCCUGGGCCGCAACCCACCUUUCUCUUCCUCCUUGUUUUUCCCUCCUGGGCUGCACCUCCUACUCUUGGCGCAUGUGCCCAUGUUGUGGCCGACCGCACCUGCUGGCCCAUCCGACCGAACGGGUCGUCUUCCUCUUCCUCCACAGUCCUCACGUUGAACCUACAGAAGCAACUCCAGUGGAAGCUGUUGAAUUCUCCUUCAAUUCUCUCUCCCCCAUAUGAUUUCUCCUCAACUUGAUACAUUGGAAUUAUUUCCCUUCACCCCACGAAUCGAUUCUGCCCUUUAGCUCCCCGUUUCAUCUCCUUUAUCUUCUCCAAUUUGGAGAUUGUUUUUCUGUUGUUUAUUGAGCAGUCAUAGGCCAACAUCAAAUCACUAACCUAACAGGCCGCUGAGCUGGGAAUCCCUCGCAGAAAGGCCACCUUGCUGGACCCUCACCGCUUCGUGGCGGCGCCGCCGAGGCUCCGCCGCUGCUUGGGCGCGGCCAGCCCUUCCCGCCCCGUCGGAAUCCCUCACCGUGCUGUGGCGGCGCCGCGCGGCCAGCCCCGUACCCGCCGCGCCGGAUGUAGGGAGGAGGGGGAGCGGGGGAGGAGAAGGGGAGGGAGGGAGCAGGCGGGAGAUAGGGGAGACAGGGGGACGGGAGGAAGAGCGGCACAAGGAAACGGGGAGGAGCAACAGGAGACUGGAGGAAAGGGAAGGAUAACGGGAUGGUAAGGAGGGAUCGUGUGCUCCCGUUGCGUGUAGAAACCCACCUGGUCGGGGCGUGGCCUAGCGGUCGAUCGGACGCGCGAGUCGCAGGAGCGUGCUCUCGCUCGUCUCAAAAAGUGCAGCUGCACCAUCUACCCAUUGGGUUUGAAUAAACAAACCGGGCCAAAUACAAAACGGUGGACGCCAACGACCAUCCAGCACGGCACCAAGCCACCAACCACUCACGACUUGCCAGGUCAGAACGCCAAUUGACAGCUCGGGAGCCCACCCCGCGUCAUUACUCAUUUCCAUCGGACUCGCCAAAGCGCCGGCAGCCGCAGCCGCAGCGCCUCGCGUCGCAAUUCGCAAACGCCGGCAACCGCACCGUACCAUUACCGGCGAGGGCGACGACCACCAGGAGCGAUGGGGCGGAAGCGCGCGGUGCUGGUGGGCAUCAACUACCCGGGCACCAAGGCGGAGCUCAAGGGCUGCCUCAACGACGUGGCCCGCAUGCGCCGCUCCCUCGUCGACCGUUUCGGCUUCGCGGAGGCCGACAUCCGCGUCCUCGCCGACGCCGACCCGGCCGCGCCGCAGCCCACGGGGGCCAACAUCCGACGCGAGCUCGCGCGGCUCGUCUCCGACGCCCGGCCAGGGGACUACCUCUUCUUCCACUACAGCGGCCACGGCACGCGCCUGCCGGCCGAGACCGGCCAGGACGACGACACCGGCUACGACGAGUGCAUCGUGCCCUCCGACAUGAACCUCAUCACAGGUCGGUAAGGGGGAUUCGGAUUGCCUUUUGUUUUGUUCCGUGCGCUGUUGCUUCUGUCAUUAUUCUGUUUCGAACUAGUCAAGAAGUGGGGAUCGAAUGGUAGGUGAGAUUUGAAAGGGAUGCUAUUUUGCUGGCCCGUUUACGACGACUAAGCAAGGCUGGAUUGUGGUAAUUUCUGAUUGGAUUGGCUUUAAGGUGACUACGGUUUAGACACUACUACUUUGUUCUAAAUCAGCGACAAAAUUAAUAUGGAACUGAGCGAGUAGCAUAUUGUGGUUAUUCAGUACAUAAUCGAAUUAGUAGUUGAGUGACUAAACUUUCAGAUAGAGAACAAACGAUUUCGAUAUACUCGGUAAAAUGUAUCCACUGGUGUAAGCAAUACUAUUGUUUCUCUCAAAAUGUACAUAAAUGGAAGUGAGCACAAGGAGUUCGUCUCUCCUUUUGUUCUGAGAUUCCAUCUCUCCACUAAUACUUAUUGGAGCUGCUAUCUUAUAAAUAUGUGAAUUAUGCACCUAAAACUAGGAUUGCAUAGCACAGUUUAUGUAACUAAAGUCUUAAUACAUAUUCUCUCCAUUCCUAAAUUCUUGUCGCUGUUUUAGUUCAAAUUUGUACUAAAACAACAACAAGAAUUUAGGAACGGAGGUAGUAGUAAACACUCCAUUUCCCUUUCUUGAGAGCACUAUACUUUAAGAGUUCCUGCUUGGUUCUUCAGAAUAACAGAAGCACUAAUACAUUGCCAUUUGCAAAAAAAUUGUUGACAAUUUUAAUGGGUAGGAAUAUCAUGUAAUUUCUCUAUCUGCACUACUUAAGAGAGCGCUGCAGGUUUUCUGUUAGAUGCCAAUUUUAUAUCAACAUUUGUAAAACAAGUGGAAUUUAGACCCUACUUGGUUUAUUACUCCCUCCGAUCCAUAUUAAUUGUCUCAAAUUUGUCCAAAUAUGGAUGUAUUUGUGCCUAAAAAGCAUCUAGAUACAUGCAAUAUUUCGAGAACUAAUAUGAAUCGGAGGGAGUACCAAAUUUUGCGAGGUCAGCAAAUUCUGGUUCUGUUUGUUAUAAGCAAGAGUUUGCUAAUUGUGUAGAAUUACUAAAUUUUAGGCGUGUCAGGCAUGCCAUUGGUUACAAACAUCAAACCAAGUAAGCCUCAAGUCCGUUAAACUGAUUAAGUUUUAGGCCCCAAUCUUAUAGGUGAAUUGAGCCUAUAUCAUGCGGAGGGUACCAGGUUAAUUCAAACCUGUAGUGGAACGGCACCAAGUCGAACUAAACACUAGUGAAUAAGGUAUAAAUUUAAAGCAAAACAUAGUUGACAGAAGAUUUAUAAGUUCGCUCGGUAAAAAAAGAUACGGAGUAUAUAAGUUCACUACCAAGCCAUGUUUGAAUUUGGCACUUGUUCUCGGGUUGCCUGAUUCAUGAUUUUUCCUGGCACUAGGGUGCUGCAUGCUUGCUUCAAUUCUUAGCCAGUCAAUUAGGUCGAUUCUAUGAGCGCUAUCUGCAGAUAAAUUGCUAGUGCUGUGGUAAUAUUCUGUUUUUAAGUAGUGGUAACCGAGAAGGCAACCAAUACAUAGAGGUAGAGCAAUUAUUAACAACUAACAUCUUGCAUCUCUUUCUGUCAGUGGCAUUCUCAAACUUUUUUGUAUGCUAUGCAGACCAAGAUUUCACAGAGCUUGUGCAAAAAGUCCCUAAUGGCUGCCUGUUCACCAUAGUCUCUGACUCCUGUCACAGCGGUGGCCUGCUCGACAAAGCCAAGGAGCAGAUUGGGCACAGCACAAAGCUGAAACAGGUCAAGCAAGGCAAACGUGAAGAGCGGUCUGAUUCCGGCACCGGCUUUCGGUCCUUCCUCAAAGAGACCGUCCGGGACGCGUUUGAGUCUCGAGGAGUUCACCUCCCUCAGCACGGCCACCAGCAGAGCGGGCACAUUGACAGUGAGGCUGAGGAGCCAGAGAUAGACUCAGGCACCGAUGGCAGCAUCAAGAACCGGUCGCUGCCCCUCUCAACAUUCAUCGAGAUGCUCAAGGAGAAAACUGGGAAGGAUGACAUUGAGGUUGGCUCAAUCCGGAUGACGCUGUUCAGUCUCUUCGGUGACGAUGCCAGCCCCAAGAUCAAGAAGUUCAUGAAAGUGAUGCUGGGGAAGCUCCAGCAGGGCCAGUACGGCGGUGUGGUGGGCUUCGUGGGCGCCCUGGCACAGGAGUUCCUCAAGGCUAAGCUGGAGGGCAAGCAAGGAGAAGAAGCGGAAGAUGCUCUCAAGCCGGCCAUGGAGCAAGAGGUGAACAGCGUCCAGGAGGUGUACGCCGGGACAACGGCGAGGGUGCCCAGCAACGGCGUGCUGAUCAGCGGUUGCCAGACCGACCAGACCUCUGCAGAUGCGACCACACCCAAGGGCAUGUCCUACGGCGCGCUCAGCAACGCCAUCCAGGCUAUCCUCGCGGAGAAGGACAAGAAGGUGACGAACAAGGACCUCGUGCUGAAGGCGCGGGACUUGCUGGCCAAGCAGGGGUACAAACAGCAGCCUGGACUCUACUGCAGCGACAACCACACCAAUGUGGCUUUCAUAUGCUGAAAACCUGAAACUUUAGUUGUCUUUUAUCCAUUGAUGGGAGGAUUCUCCUUGUGUCAACUGUGAACCGAGUGCCGACUGCCAUUUCCUGUGGGUUUGGACUGGAAACCUGGAUGGUAUAUCUUGUGUGAAGAAUGGUUUGUUUGAUGUUUCAGGCUUCAGGCCUUCAGCACAGAAUGACAUUCACAUGCAUACCCUGAGGAUAUAAUUAUCCACACAGAUAAUACAUACUCCACACUCAAUUCAUGCUUUCUCAAAAGCAGAAAAAAAAGGGGCACUAUAAACCUGCCUUUUCAUUAGUAUAUUUUCGACUCUGCUGCCUUUUCUCUGUUAGUGGCAACUGUGGCAAGUGGCAACUGAUAUGCAUCAUUCUGUAGUCGCCGCAAUAAUGUAACCCAGCCGCAGUUUCUACGGGCGUAUGGAAAAAAAAAAUACCAUAUGCUUGCCAAUACCGCCAGAGCCCAGAACAAUAGGACCAUCGGAGUAUCAUGCUGACACGGAAAGUUCAUCUGCAGAGACGUUGGCUGAAUAAUAUGUGGCGCCACGAGCUAAUACAAAAAGAUGGAGCACUGGCCUCUGGCAGCGAUGACCACGAGCUGCCAGAUUACAACGCCAGUCCGCACAGCUCGCCUCCCCAACAACCCCAACCGCGUCCCCCGGCCGUGGGUGCCGUUGCCGGCCUUCUCCAAAGCGCGUCGCUAGCUGCUAGUCUCUCCGGCAGAGACGAACAACGAUGGGCCGGAAGCGCGCGGUGCUGGUGGGCAUCAACUACCCUGGCACGGAGGGGGAGCUCAAGGGCUGCCUCAACGACGUGACCCGCAUGCGCCUCUGCCUCGUGGACCGCUUCGGUUUCGACGAGGCCGACAUCCGUGUCCUCGCCGACGCCGACCCGUCCACGCCGCCGCCCACGGGCGCCAACAUCCGGCUGGAGCUCGAGCAGCUCGUCGCCGGCGCGCGGCCCGGGGACUCCCUCUUCUUCCACUACAGCGGCCAUGGCCUGCAGCUGCCCGCCGAGACCGGCCUCGACGACGACACUGGCUACGACGAGUGCAUCGUGCCAUCCGACGUCAACCUCAUCAAAGGUAACAUGAGUACACGACAAGCUAGAGUGCAAGCUGCAAAGAGCUCACUUUGUCAAGAGGAUGCUGAGUGAGUGAUCAACUGUCUUUCUACGCGUUGCAGACCAAGAUUUCACGGAGCUGGUGCAGAAAGUCCCCGACGGCUGCCUCUUCACCAUGGUGUCCGACUCGUGCCACAGCGGCGGCCUCAUCGACAAGACCAAGGAGCAGAUCGGGAGCAGCACCAAGCAGAGCAAGAAGGCCCAACAGCACCGCCCUCCUUCCUCCGCCCCCGGCAAGCUUUGCGCCACGCUCGUCGACGCUGUCCGGGCCGCGCUCGAGUACAUCGGCAUCCGCCUCCCUCGCCGCGCCACGGCCACGGCCACGAGCCGGUCUCUGCCCUUGCCGACGUUCAUCCGGAUGCUCAGGGAGCAGACCGGCAAGGACGACGUCGCCGUGGGAUCGAUCCGGACCACGCUGUUCCACCACUUCGGGGACGACGCCACGCCCAAGAUCAAGAAGUUCGUCCAGGCCAUGGCCGGCGGCAUGCUUCGGCAUGGCGCAGCCGCCACUGGCACAGGGCUGAUACCCAACGGCGUCAACGCUAAGCCGGAGGGCGACGAAGAAGGAGAUCAGGCCGACGCGCUCGGCCCAGCCAUGAAACAGGAGCUGCUCCAGAGCGUGGAUGAGGUGUUCGCCCGGGCCGUGGGGGUGCCACGGCGGCCAAGGAACGGCGUGCUGAUCAGCGGGUGCCAGACCGACGAGACCUCGGCGGACUUGACCACGGCGCAGGGCGCGUCCUACGGCGCGCUCAGCAACACCAUCCAGGCCGUCCUCGCCAAGGAGAAGCGCCGGAAGGUGACAAACAGGGAGCUCGUGCUCAGAGCGCGGGAGUUGCUGUCCAAGCAGGGCUACGUCCAGCAGCCCGGACUUUACUGCAGCAACGAGCAUGCCGAUGUGCCUUUCAUAUGCUGAUUGCUCAACUGUCGGUCCAGUGUUGUGCAUAGCGACUGAUGGUGCCUUUACUCAUUGAUGGGAAAUUCUCCUCCGGGUGCCAAUUUUGGGUUUGGAUUAUAUUUUGGUGGUACUUGCAGUGAUUUGAGUUUUCAACUUAGCAAAAAGAUUCCCGCAAAAAACAAAGAAGCAGAAGACCUUUUUGUUUUGUUGUUGAAUUUGACACAAAGUAACCGAAGGCUGAGGAAAAUUGACAGAACGUGUUCUGUUUGAAUUAGGCUCGUAUUCACGUGUCACCGAAAUAUUCUGGCCCCCUCAGCCUUGGUGGGAUGGGUCUGCCUGCCGGACUUGCAAACUUUUGCUCGGGCGCCCCGGGUCCGCUGGCUCCGUUUCGCUUGGGCUGCGCCAGAUAGGCCAUUCGACCAACUUGAGCACGAUCAUGUCGCGCGGCCGACGUGGUGGCGCGUUGCAUAUUGGGGAUGAUCAGCGCGCCCUCUUCUGGCACUCCUGCUGGCUGGCAUCGUCCCCGCUUCGCGUGUUGUGGCCACGGCUCUUCGCAUGUUCCUGCCUGGAAAACGGAACUGUUGCCACGGCUUUGGACAACGAUUGCCGGAUUAGGAACGUCCGACACCAGUUCACUCAUGAUAUGUUGUGGGUUUUUCAUUUGCUUAUCGCGAAUGAUCAAUAGGCUGGCGUAGUGUUCCAAGAGGGCAUGCCGGAUACCAUUCGUUGAAAGCUUACGUCCAAUGUGCAGUACUCGGUGAUGUCAUACUUUUUUUUUCGGAAAAGGUGGUUGGAACUGGCUGCAUCAAAAUGAUUCAUACAUCCAUCUUUUAUUAAUUAUUUAAACAAGUCCAGCAAAACAGAUACAUCAAUCGAAACUCCAAAGCCACCAAGUUAUACAUACUAGCCUCAUGAAGGGUGUGGUUACUAUCGGAGCCAUCCAACAUCUAAAACCGGAGGUCACGAAGGCACAACCAGACAAGCUAAUUCCCAACGUAUGCCGAGUGCGCACACUCCAAAAUCAGGCUGCCACCGUUUUCCACCAACCCAUAUUCAGACGAGAGAAUGACGCAUUGAAAUUGCCAGGCCUGGCAACAACAACGCAUACCAGAGCCUUACCAAAUGUGCCCAGUCGCAGACCAAGAUCAUCCCACCCGCAGAUCAAGCAUUCCCCCAACGGCGUCCCCAAGGGGGAGAGCGCCGCCACCAGCGCCGCCAUAUUCUAGUCCGAGAACUUUGGAUUUUCACCCGGGAACCUUGAGAGGGGGGUUUGGGAGCACCUCGACAACGCCUCACGGAAGGGAAGAGACGUCCAGAAAUGUCACCGUCAUCGUGAUCGGACAAGUCGACCAAGAGUUUACACCGGUAUCACACCCGCACCACCAGCACUCUGCCUUUACGAAAGCCGACGAAGCGUCGACUCACAGAUCCGAAGAGGUGAAGAGAGCCACAACCACAACAUGCCAAUGGCUGCCCAGCCGGAUUGAGCAAGCCCGCUGCCUCCAAUGACGCAGCCACGCAGGCCGCUGCCUCCAAGGACGCAGCCGCGCCCGCCCGUGCCCCCGACCGUGGCCAGGGCAUCCGCCGCCUCUGCGCAGCCCGAGCAGACAGUCGCCCCCGCCAAGACUGGCCAGGGCCAGCUGCCGCAGCUGGGGCACGGCUGCCACGAGGCCCGCGACAUGGAUACCGCCACUAGGCCUGGCCCGUGCUGCCGCCAGGACAACGCAGAGCCCGACAUGCGCACUGAGGACCGAACUCUGUACUUUUUGUCAACCUAGGAUCUCUACUAUUUUCAUUACGCAAAACAUAACGAAAAUACAAAGUCUGACCAUGGAUGUCACCGGCGUCCGCAAUUGAAACGCUGACUAAGUGACAAAAAAAAUGCCCCUACACUACAGCCCUACCAAAGGAUGAGACCAGCAUUCGUCGAACUCGUACCGACCUCUGCAUAUCGAUCUGACGAUCCUCGACAAAGAAGAUGGACUAUUGCGUGGAGGAUGGCCCAACAACUACUUCUGUCCGGUCUGCAUGCGAAACUUAGAAAACCUCGGCUCAUCUUCUGGAUCAGGGUUCGGUAUGGCGCCAAAUUUGGAAGGUGUCGUCAGUGGGCUGGGUGUCGUCCCUCUGGCCUCCCCGGUCUUGGCCAUCAGAUGUCUCGGUGGAAGGAGCCCAUACUUUAAUCGCUGAUAGUUCAGCACCUGCGACGCAGGGCGCAGGAAGGAAUUCAUACCCUGGUUCUUUUAAUCUCAUGGCAAAUUUGGUUAGAGUGCAAUCGAAGGCCUUUCAAGAACAAAAGCUCCUAAAAUACCAAAACUAUCAUUUGGGAUGCAUUUCGGAGUCCAAGGGUUCCUGAAAAUGCUCACCUACACACCCUUGGUUGGGAAACAGCUUUUUAGGAAUCUUCCUCCUGCCUUUCUUCUUUUCGUUCUCAGAGUUUUUUCAUCCUUGCCCUAGAGCCCGUAGAUAGUUCUCUCUGCUAAUGGGUCUUAAAAAACAAUUUUCCUGAUUCUAAUGGGUCUCUUGAUGGAUGACCAGAUGAGGUGAGUCCAUACCGCCUUCCAUUAUUUGAAUUCUUUUUCCUUAUUGCUAAGUUGAUCUCGUCUGAAAUAUUUUCUGGGCCAUAAAAAAAUUGCUACAUGGAAAACGUGGUGUGUAUCUCCUCCAACAUCUAAUAAACUAGUGAAAACUGGUUCAUUGCCAUUUCUGCAAAUCAUUCAAGGGUGAUCGGUCUUUCGGUGUGCUCAUAAAAUUUGUUAUAAUCUACUCUUGUACUAAUAUCCCCCCUUGUACAUAAGAAAACAUGCAUGUUCUAAAAACUAGUUCCCCCUUUAACUAAUAUUCUUUUGUACUUCCCUGAUCCUAAAUUCUUUACUCAAAUUUGGUCAAAUAUGGAUGUAUCUAUUCUUAAAAAGCGUCUAGAUACAUGUAAUAUUUUGACAGCAAUUUAGGAUCGGAGAGAGUACUAUAUUGAAUUAUUGAUACAAUCUCCCAAUUAUUUCGAUUCUGAUUCAUAAUUCAGAUUUGCUGGGAAAUUUCAGGUAACUUCUCGGCAUGUUGUGCCCUGCGCUCAUGUUCUCUUCUGAUCCGCUAAUAACGCGUUAGCAUUACAAUGGAGAUACAGCAUACGGCCGGCCAUAUCAUGCAUGCACGGAGAUGGACGGCGCUAAUAACGCGCUCGCGACGAUCGAUCCGUUCGAACGGGGCUGGCUGCAGCAGAUCGAUCAGCAUACACGCUCUCCACGUCGGAGAAAUAGAGAGUUCGAGUUAUAGCAAAGAUAAUGCAAGUAUUGAUUACUCCAAAAAACAAGCCCAAGCUCUCGCCAACCUAGAUGUGAUCGAGAACAGCCAUUUGGUUCCCAGGACUAUCGAAAGAAAGAGAGAGAACAGCCGUGUGCGGCCGACCGGAUAUUUCUAAGUCGUAUAAUAAAUUUAUUUUCUGCAAAAAGAAAAAAAAGGAUUUGCUGGGAUUUCUGCAGGAUCGGACGGAGUUGUUCGAUGUAGAGAGUUGAAAAUAAUUGAUAAGACAGUCACAAAAAAUUAGAUAUGUACUUGGUCAAAAAAAAAAGAUAUUUACAAGAAUCGCGAUUUUAGCAACAUGAGGAAUUUUAAGUUGAUUCUUCAAACAUAAUAUUAAGAGUUUGUUAAUGCGUAACAUUCUUUCUAUAAUCGUUGUCAUUCUAUAAUCGCUGUUAGAGAUGUAUCAUCUUUUCUAAGGCCAUGUUUGUUUGGUCUUCUGUUUCAGCUUUUGGUACUUUUAGCAAUCUCAAAAGCACUUCUUCCGUUUACACAUGAAGCUGAGGUGUUUCUUCUCAGCUUCAUGUGUAAACGGAAGAAGUGCUUUUAAGAUUGCUACAAGCACCAAAAGCUGAAGCAGAAGUCCAAACAGGCAUGGCCUAAGUUUGUUUACGCAUCUACCUGCUCCUGCGCCACCUCUGACCGAGGCCGAGGACCACUCAUGUUGUUGUCUUCCUCUGUCUUAAUUCCUUGCUGGGCACAACCGUGUGCCGCAAACCUCCAACGAUGCGAUAGAGAGAUCAUGACGUCCGCUGCCAGGAUGGAGUUCGACAUAAAAAGAAGUAUUUGCCCCAUCAAAUCGCUAACUCGUAUAUUUUCACGUCAAGUUUCUUAUUCUAUAAACACACGCAUAUGGAGACCUAUAAUUAUGCAUAUUUGACACUUUAGGACUUGCGUGCACCUGCACACUUACUAGUAAGUAAUAAGUGGCGUACUGGUUGAUUGUGUAGGAUAAGGGGCAUGCAUUCUCUGUUUCACAAAACACCUCAUAUAAUUUUUUACUUUUGUUUCAUAACGCACCUCAUAUUUCUCUUGUUUCCCACACAGAGAAAAUCAUAUAUUUCUCCGUCCAACAAUGGAUGUCUCAACUUUUAUUAAAUUUGAAUGCAUCUAUACACUAAGUCAUGUCUAGAUACAUCCAAAUUUUGACAAACUUGAAACAUAUUUUAUUGGACGGAGGAGUACAACCCUUUGCAUGAACGACCAAGUGCGUCGACCCAGCUUCUCACCGUUUGAUCCCUUGAUUGAUUCCCGCUCCAAAUCCCAACUGCAUCGUUGCUUCCUUCAGAAUAUAUAAAUCGUGCGGUCAGUGUAGUGGUCCAGCAUUGGGUCUCCAGACAGGGGGUCGUAUAGGAUUUUCUUCCUCCCGCACCCAUUUACUCUCAAUCCAACAAGAGUGGUCAAACACUAGAAACGAGAGCUGUUUUGGUCCAAGUGCACAAAUCUAUAUGAUGUGUUUUGUGUAACAGAGAAAGUAAGGCAUAUAUAAGCCACAUGGUCGGUGCAAGUGUCCUCCGCAGUCCACACGGCACACAUAAACUUCAAGAUCCAUAUGCGUUGUACGUCGUGAAAUAUCGACCUUAGUGGCUUAAAGCUACAAGGUACUCCGUACUUAGGGCGUGUAUAAUAGGAAGCCUUCUAUUAACAAUGUCACGCAGGAUAAUUGUUGAUGUGGAAGAGAGUACGUAAUAAAGAAAAAUACGAGCCUUCUCUUAACUAAGAGAUUAUAUUUUCACAAAAGAUAAGAUAAUUUCUCCCAUUCUAUAGAUUUCAUCUUUUCUAAACAUUUUUUAAUCAAUUUUACUCAUUUAAGCAUUAAUUGUAUAUGGGAAAAGCAUUUUACCUUGCAUACUCAAUUGUAUAUAUGAAAUUAAGAGAUAAUAUGUUGUGUGUUUCUAACGACGUGAGAUGAAUAAAAUAAGGUAAUCUUCUCAACCAUUGUACGUGCCCUUAAGGCGUGUCAGUCUUCUCUAAAUGAUGUUAUAUAAGAUGAUUGCUAAUUUGGAAGAGAGAGAAGUGAAAAAAUGGCCUGGUCCUUCUUUUACCUAGACGAUCUCUUUACAAGAAAGAUAAUGACACUUUUUCGUUGUCCUAAAUUUCAACUUUGCUUCAAGUUUAAUAAUUUUAUUCACUUAAACAUUAAUUGCAAGAAGGGACAUGUAGAGAUAACCUAUUGUACAGAAACAUGUUUUAUUGUUUUCUUUAAAUGACGUGGAUCAUAUAGAAGAAGACAACUUUUUUCUGAGGAAAAACGGUCGAUUUUCGGCAUUUGAUUAAUAGGAAAUCACUGUACAAACGGGAUCAAAGGCUAGUCUCUAGGAAGAAACACCGUGGGGGUGGGGGAGGUAAAAAAAACCCGGAGGAGAUACCGUCACGUUCUUGGAUCUUUAACGUUUUCUCUGUCCCACGUAUAUUGGACUACCCACAGCUACUAGAAAUAAACUACUCUCUCUGAUCCUAAAUUCUUAACUCAAAUUUGCUCAAGUAUGAAUGCAUCUAUUUUUAAAAAACGCCUAGAUACAUGUAAUAUUUCGACAACAAUUUAGAAUCGGAGGAAGUAUAUGUCUUCGAGAGGUACGUAUCCCAUGACAUAUAUUAUCUCACUACCAUAUGCAUGCAUCUUGCUAACGGAUAUUGACACCACUUGAUAUGCGAACGGCAGGAAUGUGAGGCCGAAGAUGACGUGGUCGAUCUUCUUCCAAAUCUUCAUCCUCGCGCUGCUCGGGUUAGUGCUCGUUGCCUCUAACGAACAACAUCAUCAUAUAAAUUAUCAGUUCGAUCUUUAAUCGAUCCAAGUGAAAGCAUCUGAAAUUGCACGCUUGCUGCUGCAUGCAGACCGGUGAUGGACCAAAAUUUCUACUACCUCGGGCUCAAGUACACAGGCCCGACGUUCGCAUGCGCGAUGAGUAACAUUCUGCCGGCCAUGACCUUCGUCAUGGCCAUGAUCUUCAGGUAGUACAAUUUUAUACGUACUCUAGCUUUUAUUCGCGAAUAACUUAGUCGAUCUGCACAUUGAUCUGGUGCAUGCAUGCACGGAUCGAUAGAUCACCAGAGAGAAGUUGUUUAACGUUGCAUAUAUGCAUGGUGUUUGAAUAUUGUCAGGAUGGAGAAGAUAGAGCUGGAGAAGGUUCGGUGCCAGGCGAAGAUCUUGGGGACCGUGGUGACGGUGGCCGGCGCGAUGCUGAUGACGUUGUACAAGGGCCCGCUUAUGGAGCUGGGCCGGACGAACAGGCACGGCGGUGCCAUCCCGGAGGCCCCCGCCGCCGUGGAUGCCAUUGCCAGGGAGUGGUUCUUGGGUUCCAUGUUCCUCAUCAUCGCCACCUUUGCCUGGUCCUCCCUCUUCAUCCUUCAGACCCACACCAUCAAGCAGUACUCCGCCCAGCUCUCCCUCACCACCCUCAUCUGCUUCGUCGGCACGCUUCAGGCCACCGUUGUCACCUUCGUCAUGGACCGCCGCCCCUCUAUCUGGGCCAUCGGCUUCGACAUGAACCUCCUCGCCGCCGCCUAUGCCGUAAGUUUACUCUUACUCCCAUACCACCCGGCCGAUCUCCAUGAUCUAGCUAGCUUCUCCCAAAUUGUGACGGUUUUGUGGGUCAUUCUUGCAUGAUCGAUAAGUUGUUGUGUUUGAUUUUUCAGGGGACCGUGACGUCGAGCCUUGCGUACUACGUGCAGGGGCUGGUGAUGCAGAAGAAAGGGCCGGUGUUCGCAUCGGCGUUCAACCCGCUGACAAUGAUCAUCGUGGCUGUCAUGGGCACGUUCAUCCUGUCCGAGAAGAUAUACCUCGGGGGCGUCUUAGGCGGCCUGGUGAUCGUGAUCGGGCUCUACGCCGUGCUAUGGGGCAAGCACAGGGAGACGCAGGACAAGGAGGCGGACGCAAAGACCACGCUGCCGGUGGCCUCAGCCAGCGCGACCGGAGACGACCACGACGACGACGAUGAUGCGGAGUGCAAGAAGAAUGUGGCUGGGGUGAGGUCAUUCUCCAACGGACAUGGAAGCGAAUCAGCUAGUGCAGUUGUUUGAUGGACCGAGAAAAGUUCAGUUAUUUGCAUUGUGCUCUUGAACAUGAGAAGUUGUUGGCUAAUUUGCAUGCUAGCUAGUGUUUGUUUUUCAUUUAUCUUAUUUUCUCAGAAUACUUGAUCCUUGUACAGCUAUUCCCGUCCACUUAAUAGAAAAAGCAGUGCUCCUGCUGCUUCGUCAAAAAAGGGCAUGCUACUAUGGACUCCUCUCUCGACUGCUCGUCCACGACGCGCACACUAGAGGCGUCCGGUUGGAAUGACAGAGGUUUUCUGCUAGGAAUUGUCUUUGCUCUCCGUCGUUUCCCAUAACCUCUUCGUCAGCCCAGCUCCACGCUCAGGCGUUUAUGUACACUCAGCAUAGCCGCCUUCUCUAUCCCAAAAGACCAGUCCUAUGAAAGGAUGGCUACUCUGUAGUCCUCUUUAACUAGCAAUGACAACUCUUGAUACCGUAACAUCUCAUGUCCGUGACUAAAGUCACUAACAACAUUUGGUACGUAACAUCCCAUCGUCCUAAGACUAAAGUCACUGACAAACUUGAUGGCAAAGACAAGUUUAGAAAAUAAAGACACCACUACUUCAAAUCAAAAGUUAUUAGAGCAGACUAGUGUGCAUCACAAUGCUGCAUUCAUUUAUGUCAUUGUACGACACAAGCGGUUUUCACAUGUAUCCCGGUUCCAAACUAUUUUCUGAACCUUAAAUCAAAUUUCAGGUAGAAAAAUUAAACUGACAAUUCCCUACCUGUCUCCACCCUAUCGCUGGCACAUUCGUUGGUUUCAGUCCUGCGUUGUAGGGCCUAUUCGGUUUGUAGGGUUUUGGAAUUAUAGGAAAAGGAAAAAUAAAGGAUUGAGAUCUCAUGUCUAAAUGAGAUCUCACCUAUGUAUAGAAUCCUUAAAAAUUAGGUCAAUUUGAGACCAAUCCUUAAGAAUUUAGCAUCCCAAUUCUUAUGUAACGAAUGCUACACCUAUGAAAGAAAUUCCUUAAGAUUUUAAAUCCUACAGAAAUCCUCUAAAAUUCUUACGAACCAAUGAGCCCGUGACAAUUCCACUCCGGUCACACAAUGUUGUAGCAUGAUCAGAACAGGCCAAGCUCAGAUCAUACGAAGAACAGGGGCCAGGGGGGGCACACAAGGCACCAAUCCCCCCAAACGUCUCCAUCGCCGUGAUCGCCGCCGCCUCCCUCCCCCACACAGCCACCGCAGCCAUCGUCCCGACCUCUCACCAGCGAUAAGCAAAUCCGCCUCCCCUUUCUCCCGUCCACAAAACCCCCUUUCUUUACGACCCCCUGCCCCCUUCCCUUCCUUCCCGGCUCCCACCUCACUCGCUCGCGCACGCAUCUCCGGUUCUCCCCCCCCGCCCCCAGCAGAGGCUCCGUCCGAAAACCCAAAUGGCGUCCACGGCCGCCUCACCCGCCGCCCUCGUCGCCGCGCGCCGCGCCGCGUCGUCGGCCGCCUCGCCGCUCCGCCGGGCCGGGCUCGCGGCCGGGUGCCAACCGGCGCGGUCGCUGGCGUUCGCGGCCGGCGGCGGCGCCGACCCGCGGCUCGCGAUCCACGUCGCCUCGCGCUGCCGCGCGGCGUCGUCCGCCCGCGGGACGCGCGCCGUGGCCACCAUGGCGAAGAAGAGCGUCGGCGACCUCGGCCCCGCCGAUCUCGAGGGGAAGCGCGUGCUCGUGCGGGCCGACCUCAACGUGCCGCUCGACGACAGCCAGAACAUCACCGAUGACACCCGUAUCCGCGCCGCCAUCCCCACCAUCAAGUACCUCCUCAGCAACGGCGCCAAGGUCAUCCUCACCAGCCACUUGGUAAGCAUCGACCUCUCAGCCUUUUCCUUUCCUAGGAAUUAACGAUCUUGGUCUCGCGUAGGAACCUAGGAAUUGCAGAAUGUGACUGCUUGUAUUGUAACAGUCUCUGAUCCGAAGAUGUGAUAUAUGAACAAUAACGUCUAGCUAUUUAUUGCCAGUUUGCUUCUUGCGUCGUGUGAUUAACAGACGGUUAGUCUGUCCUAAAACGACUGAUCAUCCUUGCCAGGGAACUAGUAGAUAAAAAAUGCUGGCCUAAUCCUUUUAAUUCAUCAUCUACUAUACGCUCUACAAUCAUAGAAAAUUGGAAGCUGACUUCUCCAAUGGUGAAUUGUCCCUUUGAUUUGAAUUCGAAACUUCAGAUUCCUGUUUUAUUAGCUACCGAGACACUGGUGCUUAUAAUUGCUCAUGCCAUCACAAUGUGAUUCAUAACACUGUCUCCUAUGGAUUUGCAGGGUCGCCCUAAGGGUGUUACUCCUAAGUUUAGUUUAGCCCCCCUUGUGCCAAGAUUAUCCGAGCUUCUUGGCAUACAGGUAUUCUUUUAUCCUACAUCAUUGAUACUAAUGAGCAUGUGCCACAGUGGCUGUACUGACUAGAAUACUUCUUGCGUCACGGAUUAGGUGCAAAAAGCAGAUGAUGUUAUUGGCCCAGAAGUUGAAAAAUUGGUGGCUGCCCUGCCAAAUGGUGCUGUUUUGCUCCUCGAGAAUGUAAGGUUUUACAAGGAAGAGGAGAAGAAUGAGCCAGAGUUUGCAAAGAAGCUUGCUGCACUAGCAGAUCUUUACGUUAACGAUGCUUUCGGAACAGCCCACAGAGCACAUGCAUCGACUGAGGGAGUUACCAAUUUUUUGAAGCCUUCUGUUGCAGGGUUCCUUUUGCAGAAGGUCACUACUUUAUUUUACUUUUGUUUUCGAACUUAGGCGCUUGAAUUCAAAAGAUACAAUGCAACACGCAACUAAAUAAAAACAGUAUCUAGAGCAGAAGAUUUAAAGUCUUCUUUUGUCCUUCUAUUCCUUUCAGACACAGCCUGAAGUUCUGUACAUAGUUGUUACAAAAUUAAAUUGCAGGAACUUGACUACCUUGAUGGAGCUGUUUCAAACCCUAAGCGCCCGUUUGCUGCCAUCGUGGGUGGCUCAAAGGUGUCAUCCAAGAUCGGGGUUAUCGAAUCCCUGUUGGAGAAGUGUGAUAUCCUUCUUUUGGGCGGUGGUAUGAUCUUCACAUUUUACAAGGCACAAGGACUCUCUGUUGGUUCUUCCUUGGUUGAGGAAGAUAAACUUGAGCUGGCAACAUCUCUCCUCGCUAAGGCAAAAGAAAAGGGUGUCUCCCUUUUGUUGCCAUCUGAUGUUGUCAUUGCUGAUAAGUUCGCCCCUGAUGCUAACAGCCAGGUAUGUUACAUUUUGCCUAAUCAUGAAAGAUAAUUAUCAGUAGACCUUUACUAGUCAGGUUGAAGCAGCUCAUAAUUUCUUGUCAUAUAAUUCUUCUAUAGACUGUGGCAGCAUCUGCUAUUCCUGAUGGUUGGAUGGGGCUGGACAUUGGCCCAGACUCAGUUGCAACAUUCAACGCGGC
Molecule: long non-coding RNA, 129824 nt
Filed under: Brachypodium distachyon (stiff brome)
Lineage: Eukaryota; Viridiplantae; Streptophyta; Magnoliopsida; Poales; Poaceae
Description: long non-coding RNA (BDIS_LNC001891)
Rfam family: tRNA (bases 19383-19455)
Source: RNAcentral